CUGCCGACUGGAGGAGGAAUGAACGCCAAGGAAAGGUCCCGUGGCUAAGAGGGCGCUGGGACACUGGCAGGCAGGCAGGCACAGGGGGCACUGGCAGCCGAGCACAACAAAGCAGAAGAACGCGAGGUGCCCCGGCUGUGGAGUGUGCGUGGCCCAGGCUUGCCAUGGCAAGUUUGUCAACUCCGGACUCUGUGGCCAGAGCCUUGCUGCCCCCAAAGUGAUGGCAAUGCAAGGUCUCCCUCAAGGGGGAAAGCGCCCACCCUGUCCCCAGCCCGCUGCAAAAUGCUCCACCGAAGGCCAGGUAAGGAGACACCAACCCACACCCCUCCUAAGGGUGUCCCCAGCGAAUGGCCUCCCGUGAUGUACAAUCCCCCAGUCCUUCGGCUCCUUGGCUGUCCUGGGUCUCUGUGGACCUGUGCCUGUCCUUCCUUGGUUUCCUAGUUCCACCUCUGCCCUCCUUCGCUUUCGGUCAUGGGUUGCCCGCCCUUUCCCCUUUACCGGAUCCCUACGGCAGGGGGAGAAGUUCGGGGAGGUGGCGUGAGGUUAAGGGUUCUCUCUUCUCUGAAAUCUCAAAGCUAGUGCCAGGACUUGAGAGGCAGGCAAGGCUGGAAGGUGGGUGGAAUUCGGGUUGGUGAGUGUGCCCGCAUCCGCCGCCCUGCUCCCAAACAACCCAAGCCGAAACCCAGCGCAGCGUGCGUGCGCGCGAACACACACGCACACAUCGGAUUUUUCCACCUGUGGGGCCUCGCUUUUGUGUUGGAAGCGCAAAUGAAAACACGCACACGUGCAGACACACUUCCAUGUUUUCAUCUUCCAGGGAUUCCCGAAGGGCAGGAGUGUAGGCAGGCACAGAAGGGUGGGUCUUGGGUACCCUGGCCUACUCCAAUGCACAGGGCUGGUAUCCAGGUGAUAGCAGAGUUUGGCGCCUUGGGGGCGGGGGAUGGGGGAGACGGAGUCUGGUGAAUUUGGCAAGUGCAGUACUGUGGCACGAGAAACCAACUCUCAUCUGGGAGAUCAGCCGUCUGGGCCACUGCCUGCCCAGCCCCCAGUAGGGUUGGCUCCCACCUCCCACUGCCACUGCCCCUCCCCCUCCCCUUAUGCACCUGGUCCCUGACCUUGUCUGCCCAACCCAGGACCUUUCACUCAGGUGGCUCUUUUCUCCCUGCCAGUGUCUGCCUCUGUUCACCAGGAGCGUGGACCCUGUUGCUAGUGGCAACUGCCUGUGCCUAAAGCUCAGCCCCUAAGCUGCUUAAUGUUGAUUGAUGGGCAGAAAUACGAUAUUUUCUGGAGUGGAGCUGAGCGGUUGUGGGUGCACUGGCCCUUUUGCCUCAGAGCCUUGCAGACCGCCUGGGAUGUGGACCCUCCUCUAAGCCCCCACUCCCCACCACCAUACCCCAGCGCCUUAGAAUAAAAGGGACUUUUAGGUUAUUCUCAUCUAUCCAGGUUAAACUCGGUGCAGACAUUGCUUUUCUUCUGAGUAACGGGUAGCUACCUUGGCAUUUCUUUACAUCCUUGAAGCUUCUGUUAAGUUGGAUAAAAUAAAAGAGCCCCCUUUUGAUGGCUGUUGCCACUUUCUUUUUAUUUUUUCUCCUCACCUACUCCUACACCCCACUUUACACACAGGCAUCUAAAGGAGAUCACCCCUUUAGUACCCAAAGCUAUUCUUGCAAAUGUUCACAGAAGCAUUCUUCUGGAUUUAUUUCCAGAAAUGAAAUAAAACAUUUUAUAUAAAUAACCUCCUUUUUAGUCACUUCUUUCUUGCUUGUGUCUCUUCCCUUCUGAGACAUAUAGUUUGUUAUUUCCACACCUAGAAAUACACAGUUUAGGGGAAAAAAGAUCUUUUCUUAUAAUGCUUUAUUUGAGGGUGACCAUUGCCUAAUUAAUCCCAUUCACACUAUAGCACCCCUUCCCUUUUUUUGGUUUGGCAGCCUCCUUCUCCAAGCUAUCAUGAUUAUACAGAUUUUUUUUGACUGAUAUGAAUUCAUGUAUGCAUCUACUCCAUCAUCUCCUCCCCUUAUUGCAAAGGACUAGAUUUCAUUAUCAAAGAAAUUAUUUUUAGAAAAAUGUUUGUUCUGCAGUAUUUCUUCCCAGCACCACAUUUUUUUUUUUUUUUGGCAGAGUAUUUUAAGUUGUCCUGCUUAGUUGUGGUUAUUGUUAUUAUCAUUGCCUGUGCAGGUAUUUUUGGAAAUCAUGCGAUGUUUUUGAGUCGUUCAUUUAUUCAUUCAAGCAGAAUUUCUUUGAGGGGUUUCCAUAUGUUGGACAUCAACAUAGGCCUUGGUGUGGGAAUGAAGCCAAGAGAAGGCCCAAAUGUGUACCAGUAUUUUAAAGCCACCAUUUCAGCUGCGUUGUGAUUAUGGCUAUGAUGGUUAAUAUAAUAACAGCACACUCCAUUUGAUUAGGACUUUACAGUUUACCAAGAGCUUUCAUAGGCAUUAUCUCCUUUAAUCCUAGCAGCAAGAAUUUUAAAUAGCGGGGAUUCCACCCAAAGGUCCAGUAAUGCUCACCAAUCCUGCUUAGCUAAAAAGAAAGAGAAUGUUGCAAAUUAUCCCAACAGCUGAUGGAGCUUUAAAACACAGAAUAAACAAUUCCGAAGAAGCUUAUGAAGCUUAGUUACUGGAAUGUAACUUGGAGAAAAUAAGUAAAAUGCAUGUAACCAAUAUAUUAGCAGGAAGGCAUCCUGGGAAGAGACUCCAUCCCGCAACCUUGGUGGCCCAGUGAGCUGCUGGCUGUUGGAGGUGGAGGCUUUCCAGGGCCCUGGACUGCUGCCUUAUCCUAGGAUCUAAAAUGGGAUGAAAGUGUUAGCACAAAGUUGCUGGGAGACUAGCAAAUUAAGCAAAAUGAGUAGGCAAUGAUGUUACUUUCUUUAGCUACAAAGCAUUCUUGAGAUAUCCGCAAGUUUCUAGCAUAUAUUUACUUGAGAAGUGAAGCAAUUUUCUGUACUUAGAGAAUAAAAAAAAAUGAGUUUGUGUGCCUUGUCUGAGCCAUAAUGAAGACAAUUGAGGUUUGGAGCAUUUUUACCCAUUACUUUGAAAACUGGGCAUAUCUCACAUGGAUAAAUGGCAGUUUCUGUUUGUGUGUGUGUUUUUUUUUUUUUUGAUACAUAAUUUAUAGGGAGCCAGUACUGUAGGGCUUCAUGUAGAUUUGUCCCCUUUCUCUGCUUCUUGAACAUGCAGGGUGCAGGGCAGCCCUUCUGUGACUUCAUUGUGAGUUUCAUUUGUGACUUCCCUUCAGAAAUAGUUUCUGGAAUGAUAGGUGUUAGUUAAAAAAAAAAAUUGGCAUUUCAGAUAUUAUGCUACUGUACUUGUAUAUCAUUGUAAAGUUUGGUAAACAAGGUAGUAUAAGUUGUUAGGGCUAGGUGCUAGCUCUGGGUUUGCCUGGAUUACAUAUAAGCCAAAGAGAGAGUCACAGGGUAAGGCUUAUUGUGAUGAAGGUUAGAGAUAAUCAGAGAGGCAUUUACUGUUUCAUAUCCUGCAACUUCAUGCCACUCAUAGAUGUGUAGGUUUUUUGCUAGAGUUUGUUUAGUCAAAACUAUUAUACAUUGAGUAUCUCUUACCUGAUGUGUUAGCUUUGCAUCACUGUGACCAAAACAUCUUACAAGUACAUCUCAGAGUAGGAAAAGUUUAUUUUGGUUUAUGGUUCCAGGGUUUUUUCCAUGGCCAGGAGAAUCCAUUGCUCUGGGUCCAAGGUAAGGCAGAACAUCAAGGUGGAAUAACCUGGUGCAGGAGCACAGCUUUAUUUCUGGCAGCCAAACAAAGAGGAAAAAGGGGGAAGAAGAGAGAAGGGUCCACGAGAGAGAUGAAUCCUUCCAGGGCACCCCCCAGUGACCUACCUCCUCCAGCAACACCCCACCUGCCUAUAGUUACCACCCAGUUAGUCCAUUCAAACUAGAAUGAACUGACGAGAUUACAGCUCUCAUAAUCUAAUCAUUCACUUUAAUAUUCCUGCAUUAACGCAGGAGCUUUUGGAGAAUACCUCAUAUCCAAAUCAUAACACUGGAAAUGCUCAGGAUCAGAAGUGCUUAGGAUUUCGGAUUUUUUCUUUUUAAAUGAGUACUUGCACAUACAUAAUGAAACAUCUUGGGGCUGGGGCCCACAUACAAAUGUGAAAAUAAUUUAUGUUAUAUAUAAUUUAUACAUGUAACCUGAGGGUAAUUUUGUAGAAUAUUUUCAGUGCAUCUAUGUUUUGACUGAAGCCCAUCACAGGAAGUCAAGUAUGAAAUUUUCUCCCUGUUGACAUCAUGUCUAUGCUCAAAACAGUUUGAAUUUUGUAGCAUUUUGGAUUUUCAUAUUGUUGAGACUCCACCUAUAUUCUGUAUUUGACAUUCUAGGAUAUUAGUUUCAUUCAUAAAUGUUACAAAUUUUAGUUUACCUAUGUCUCUAGGUUAGUUAUAUGUCAAUGAAAAGGGCAUAGUAAAAAUAUCUGUUGUCUAUUUAGGAAGUAAAAUUGGACAUAGUGAGGGGGGUAGCCCUUUUCUAAGGAGAAUUCAUUAACUUUGGAUUCUGAAAUGACUUUUAGAAAGAGGUGGGGUUGAUUCCAGCCUUAGGCAUACUCUGAUAUUUUUAAUUUAACAUGAGAGAUUUUAGCAGGGAAAGUUUUCGGCACUACACUGAUAGCUAGUUCCUCCUGGAAUGGGGUUGGCUGUCUUCUCCACUGUCCUCCAAUCUAGUGUUCCAUUAAUUAUUCAUUCAUUUGAUAAAUACUUACUGAGGUGCUGUUUUAGAGAUUAAGCCACCUUGCUUCUAAGGCAUAACUGUGCCAUUUCUUGCUUAUCCACAGUCUCCUUACAGAUACCUGAAAGUUUCACCCUUUGGGGUACAUGUAGGUUUGGUUUAAAGGCAGGAUAUGGGUGUUUGAGAGAAUUUCCUACUGCGUGGAGUAUAGUGUUGCUGGCAGUAGCAGCUGCGAGGGCUGGAAUUGCAUCCUGGGAAUUGCACUCUUUUAUCCUCUUUCUUAAGAGAAACUGAGAAAGAUUUCUAAGGUGAACUCAGUUUUCAUGUAUCCUUUCAGCUCAGAUAGUAGGUAGCAAUGCAUUAAAUAAACAGCCCCUGUGAAUUUGUCACUCAUCUCCAAGUGUGGCUCUUUCAUAUUAGUAGACAUGACAUGACAAGGUGCUUCAAGGAGGAUGCUGGUACUUAGAUUUUCAGGUAACCUGGCAGGUGGAAAGAGAUGAUAGGGAGGGAAAGAAGCAAAUCAUUUUUUAUUGUGUUGGAAGGUAUUGAACAUAAGUCAGAGUCUGUAGGGCUAUGGGUAAAACUGGUGUCACAGUAGAUGGAUGUUUAGUAACUCAGUGUUGCUAAAGUGGCCUGUAAUAUGGCUUUUGGUUAUGAGUUCAAACUUUGGAAUUCUUAGAGACCUGGACUCGCAGCCUGAUUUUAUCGCUCACAAUUUAUGUGAUUUGGGGUUAAAGUUAUUAAUCUAUUUAACCUAUUUCCUCAUCUGUAAAAAUACAAAGAAAAGUUAUGUGCAUUUAUGAAAAGUUAAGAGUAAAUCUAACAUAUAUUAAGGGUUUAGAAGUGCUUAACAAACAAGAAACACAACAGAUCUUAGUGGCUGUGGUCUUCUGAUGUUUUCAUGUUGCUUUGAAAAAGGUGGCAUUUUUCAUGUAUCAACCUCAUCUCUGAACCUCUUCUCAGCACCAUGCAGAAAACAACCAUUGUAAAGAAGUUAUAGUUUAAAGCAAUUGUAGCCACUUCCAGAGGGAGCAUGAACCCUCCACAGUGUGACAGGAGAUGAUACCUGCCCUUGAGAAGCAACAGGUGUCAGUCAAUAAGAUAAACGUUUUAGUUUACAAGGUAAGCCUAGAAAGUUUCAGUUAACAUUCAGUUCACUAAAUGCCUAUGAAAGGCUCUGGACUGGGCUGCAAGAAAUGCUAAAAUGAAGGUUGACAUGAGAAGUAACAACAUAAUUAUUAGGAACAUUGAAACAAACCUACCUGUCACUUAUUAAGCCCUGGUAUGUGUCGGACAAAUACUAUAAUCACACCUUUAGACUUUUCACAUCUUUGGACUUCAUACUAAGUCUUUAUCUGUGAGAUGAUCUCAUUGUCUCCAUUAUAGAGAUUUAUAAAGUAUAAACUUAAGCAUCAUACUAAUAUAUUAAUAACAUAAUAGAGCAUGCAAAGUGCAGCAUUAUCCUACCAGAUAAACCUACUGCAGGUGGAUUUCUUUAAUGUUUUGAGUGAGUUGUUUGGGGAUCUUGAAUGUGAUUCUUUAUUAACUAUGCUAUCCCGAGUUGUAUUAGUUUCAGCAAUCUCUUGAGCCUACCACCUAUUCACAGCAUUAUAGAAGUGAGAACAAGGAAAGAUUGGGUGUUGUUAAACAGCCACUGAGAAAUUUGUUCUUCCUUUUUCUAUCUUUGUUCAUUUUCAUUGCAAAUGCCUCCACGGAAAAAUAUCUUUUCUCUCUUGUAAGGCUGUCUUAGAUCACAUUGUCUUCAAUUUUGUGAUCCUAUUAUCCUAUGACAUGAAAUUUAAGCUACCAACAUUUUCUCCUCAUUUAAUUCCUAGCAACUUUUGCAUGUGUGCACAAGCCAAGUAGUAAAUGCAGUAUUAUAAGUAAAGUUAAAUUAGCUCAGCUAACUGGCUCUCUGGUCAGACUGAGCAUACACCACACCUCCUAUGUGAUAGGUGUCUCAAUUCAACUAUUAUUCUCUUCACCUGUUUUUCUGUUGAGAUUGUAUAAAACAGACUGUCCAUGCAAAAUUCUGUCAUGGUGCUUUUAUUAAAGGAGACCUAAAUUUGGCUGAAUGACUACUACAUGAAAAGGGAAUCACAUAGGCCUAUCGACUUUGUUUUGCAUAUGAAUUUUAAUCUUUAGUAUCUUAUAGGGAAAUGCGAAUUAACUCAAGAAGGUAAGGAUGGAGAUUUACAGCCCACCUUCCACUGUGUUCUACUAUAAAGGAAUUACACUGUAAAAAUUUUUAGCCAAACCGCAUUUCUAUAUACAGGCAGAAGGUCUCCUUUCCUGCCUUCUUUCAUUAAUUUCUGUGUUCAACAGUUGACUCAACAGACUUAUUAAGUGCCCACCAUGUAUUAGGCAAUGGGUUAGGCUUAGAAGACUGAUUGCUACCAGCAGUGUGUAGUCUUAACACUGGACUCAAUUUAGCAAGACAGAGUCAUUGGUUCUCAAACCAGUAAACCAAAAAAAAAAAAAAAAAAGUCAAACAUUGCAUGUUCUGCCCUCUUAUUACUCUUGACAGCCUUUAGAUAAGACUUAUUUUAGGCUAUCUUAUCCUUGUUGUGUUCAUAAACAACAUAAAAUUGCUAUUUCCUAAGACUUUGAAAAGGUAGAGGCUUUUUUCUUCCAUACCUCAGUUUAUUCUAAUUUUUCCCUGAGACAUUUCCAGUUGUUGUUCUUUUUUUUUUUCUUGGUAUUUGACACUUAGUCAAAAUUUAAUAAAUAACUGGUGACUAGAAGGAAGGAAGGGAAGAGAAGAAACUUACUGUAUUAGGAUUUAGCAAAUUAUCUGACUUGGGAUUUAACAUACUCCAGAAGGUCUGACCCUCUUUUUUUUCCCUGUAAACCACUGUAUACUACCUUUGAUCUUAUCAGAGGCAAUUUUUUUUUUCCCAUUGGGCAAUUCCCUUUGAAUUGGGUUUGGUGCACAUGGCCUUGAGGUUACUUAUUUGUUGUUUUGGCAUUGGGGAUGUUUUCAUAGACAAUCUAGAAUCCCGGUGCAGCAUUGUAGAAACUCCUUCCUUACCCACUCUGCCAAAUUACUUCUACUCUGAGAAUUUCAUUCUAUUACAAUAUACCUCCCCCUUCCUUUUCUUACACUGAUACAAUUGGAGCAGCCCACCUUGUUUUCAUUAAAUGAUAUUUAGCACCUGCAUGGUAUAAAAUCUUAUUCUAGGUUUCAUGAAUUUAUAGUAAUUAGUUGUAAAAUAUGAAUCAUUGUGAGCUGGUGAUAAAAGUAGUUAUCUAUUCCAAAUUCCCCCUAGGGCUUACAAUUUAGGUGGAGAAAGGGAUGCCAUCAUACGGAAUACCGAAACCUUAGUGUGGAGCUGCUCUAGAAACUUCAGUGCAGCAGGACAUUGGAAGAUGGAAUGAUGGAUGAGACAGUGAGGUUAGGAUAGACCUGGGAAGGAGGACAGGAGCUGACCCUGGUGGUACUUCGACCUGAGGGGCAGGAGAGCGUAAUCCAUCAGUCAGCAGAGAGCCUGAACUCAGGAAGGACACGAACAGCACUGAAAAGGGGGUUCUGAAGGUUUUACAGUAGCAGGACCCAGUGAUAAAGGUUGUAUGUUAAGUAAGUAUGUCAAACAGUUUGGACUUUGUGUUCUGGGGCAGCUUUACCCAAAAUGCAGCUUUCUGUAUUACUGAUUCUACUGGAUAUUGUAGGGGUCUUAAUCAAAACAAGUUUCUGUGAUUGAAAAACUGAGGAAAAACUGGGAUACAUUUUAUUGAAGUUUUCUCCUGUGGAAUUUCUUAGAGGGUAUAAUAUGCUAACCUACAUUAUUAAUGUCUAAGAGCUUCUCUAAAUAGUUUUGAUCACUGAAUCUGUUUUUGAUGAAGCUCCUUGGGAGGGGAGUUGUCUGUGAAGACUAUUUUGGGAAAUGUUGUUAGAAGUCAUUGAUUUUGAGUCAGAGGCAAUACUGGGUGGCUGGUGUUGGAACAUGAAUUUUCAAAUGCUGCAAAGGAUGGAUCUGACCAGGGAGUGAUGAGGGAACUUUGACUCUGUCUAGAUGGAUGUGAUGAGGCCUGGAUUUGUUGCUGAAGCAUCUGAAUGGGAAGGAAGGGACAGAUUUGAGGACCUAUUAGAUAUUUGGGUAAAAGAACCUUCAUUCAUCUGUGAAUGUCCAGAUGAAAAAAGGAUUGCAAAGAUAGAAUUAAGAAUGGCUCACAUUUUUGAGAUGUCUACAUUAGGAGCCUGAGGUAGCAAUCUCUGUAUGGAUUUCUGACCUUCUUUAUCCUUGGCAUAAUCAUCAAAGACCAUGAGGUACUCCAAGAGUACUCAGAACCCAAGGAGACAGGGAUGUCUUUGUAGACAUGUCCCUUUUGUAGCAACUGCUCUGUUGUCAAAAUGCUUUCUUAGUAUAAAACACUGAAAACACAAUUUGGCAAGGUCAAGCUAUGUGUCAGACGUAAUAUUGCCCUAAGUGGUCCCGUGCAGUCCUGACCACUAUCUGUCCUGUGGUGUGGCUGAUAUACACCCAGGAAGGAAGUGUCUACCAUGUGAAACUGACUCUACACCCUGCCAUAGAGAAUCUGGCUCUUUGGCUUAAGUGCACUCUUUUCUGUUCAUCCUGAGGAACUCUAUCAGAAAGGCAGUGGGCAUAGUAAAAAGAUUAUAUAGGUGUUUCUGCCAACUCUCUUGCAUUUAUUCAUCUCUGGAGAUACAAAGAAUUUCAGCACACCGUGUUGGAACCCAUCAUUUAUCUGUCUCAUCUGCAAGGACUGGUCUAUAGAUUUGUUCACAAUCUUUACGUCCUGCUUUAGGUCUGGGCCUGAUAUUAUACAUCUGCCUCUUUAGUCAUUCAUGAAGUUAUGUAGAUUAAUGCUUUCUUUUCCCAUAAUUAUUUUCUAUCUAUUUGAGUAGAGUUCUUAACACUUUUAAAAAUAGGCAGUGGAAGAAAGCAGUAGUGUAAAAUGAAAAGCGGAGCUGUAUUUUCCCUCUUGAAUUGUUCAUCAGAGUACUUAUGGUAAGUUUUCCAGUUUUCUUACAUAUUUAUGAAUAUAAAUGAAUUUAACUGCUUAAUUAAUAACACCUGUAACCUCUGUGUUUGCUUCUUUUCAUGCCUACACUUGUUACAACUCCGUUCAUGUAUUUGGUAGCUUACAAAUGAUUCAAAGUAGUGGUGGUCAUUAGUGUGACUAUUUCUGAAUAUUUUUCUCCUUUAUUGUUUGCACUUCCAUAAAAUAUCUGAAUCCUUUUAAUUCUCCUGCCAUAUUGCUUAUCUGCAUUUCACAAGGGCCUUGAAAACCCUACGUUGUGUUUCUUUGUGCUUUUGUUUGAAAGAUUUCUUCCCACUGGUGUCUUAUUAAAUUAACUUGCGCUACAGAGAUAUAUACCAUUGUCCUUGAGUGUGUUGACUACUUCAGGCUGAAGAAGUUCAUGUUGAUGCAUAAAUUCUUUAUUUGACUGUCUACCUUGGAUAAACUCACUAUAUCAUUGCAAAAUCGCUCCUUUUUAAAGGUGGUGGUUAUAUGUGUGCCAUGUCUCACACACUGACAUCUAUAGAUGGAACCAUUGUGGUGGAUCCAACAGAGCUGGCUAGCUGUGGUUAUUUGGCUAGCCAGAAUUCGGGGCCUCAUGUUGCUGCUUAAUCCAAGGAGGCAUGGCACAUGAAGCCACAGCUGGGGAGGAGACUCUUAUCGGGGACAUUAAUAAAUGGCUUCUAGCAUGCUUGAUUGGAACAAGAACUUUUAACUGCACAGUGUAUUUUUCUUCCAUUAAUUUUGGAAUGAUAACCAAUGAAUGGGAGAUAAUGUCAUGUCUCUAUCAGUUCAUGUGCCCACAUUUAUUUUCUGUUCAGAUGGUUACAAUGCAAUCAAGGUAUUUUGCCAGAUAUUUUAUCCCUUUUUUAAUAAACCAAAAAUUGAAUAUGUUUGGGAAUAUUGGCUGUGCCUUUCAAAAUGUGGAUUUAAGAGUAUUUUUCAGGGCUGGGGUGUGGCUCAGUGGUAUAGUGCUUGCCUAGCAUAUGUGAGGCACUAAGUUUGAGUCUCAGACCACAUAUAAAAAAAUGAAAUAAAGGUCCAUUGACAAUUAAAAGAAAUAUUUUAUAAAGAGUAUUUUUCAGAGUUUUAUGAGUGUUAUUUGAUUAAAAAUACAAACAUAAACAGUAUAUUAUUAAUAUUCAUAAUAAUAAAACACCUUUUAGAAAGAUGGGACAAAAGACAUGCCAACUCAGCCGUAAUCAUACUAGAGUGUUCAUUACUUUGGGAGCACAAUUUUCCUACUGGGAUUGCUAAUUCAAAUAAAGGAUUUAACAUAGAGGGAUACUCAUAGUUUCUAUCUUUAUGUAAUUAGGUUCAGAAGAGUGGUUAAGGUUCCCAUUUUUCCAGUGAACAAAUGACAACAUGUCACAUAAAUAAGUGUACAUAUGUAUCAUAUACAUUAGAUUAACAGAGAUUAGUACACUUGUAAAAAAAAAAAAAAAAAAACUGAGUUGUGAAUUCAGAAUCAAAUAGAUUAGAUUUUAUUUCUAAUUCUAUCCUUAUUUAAAAAUGUUUAUUGCAUUAAGUAGAUUGUUUUUCUUAGUCUUAAUUUAGCCAUUGUUCCUUCCACUUUGAAAUGUGAACUGCAAUCUUUAGUUUAUUCAUGUAGGAAAAAACAAAUGUAUAGGCUUUGGGGCUUUGGAAAAGAAUCCUUUGAGAUCUUUAAGAGAAAGCACGUACUUGCUACUUAUCAUUUCAUUUUCAGGAGUUGGCACAUAAUUGACUCUUUAAUAAAACUUUUGUUCUUAAUUCCGUGAUCUAAGCUUUAUAUACUUAUCAUCUUAUUCUGCUCCUAAAUGUUACUUACAGUGAGAGAAUCUUAUGUAGAGUGGUGAAUACUUCCACUACUAAGUAAUGCCUUUGGAGGGCUGUUCUCAUGCUCUUAGCUGCCUGCCACUGCCCACCCAAGAGGAAAGAGCUCGUUCAUGAGAACACUUGUAUCCUAUACCAUUGAACAGAAGAGACAACUUUGGAUACUUACCUGGGCCCGUCUGUGUUACCAAUGACCUGUUUUCUACUUCAUUCCUCAUAUCUUGGUUGGAAUGAAAAGAAUGAGGUACAAACCGUGUGGAAAUAAAGAAUGAUCAAAAUGAAAUAUUGGAUAAAAAGGACUUUUGCAACACUGAGCCUUUCGUUUGUCCACCUCAGGACUGCGGACUAGACACAUUUCCUGCAGUCAUCACUAAUACCAUUUUUUCCUCUUCAGGAACAAAACUAUCAUCAGAUAGUGGAUCACACGGAUGGAAAAAUGUAGCUAUUCCCUAAAAACUAGAGGUUUUAUACUUUUUGUAGUUUUUUUCUCCAAAAAUAUUAGUAAGGAGGUGUUGUAUUAAAUAGUUGUCUGUGAGUUUAUUUUGCAUUUUUUCAAAAAGCGAUGUGCUCCAAAGUUCUUGAGACAAAGCAGUGUUUAUAUGAAUAUUUUUUCCUGGAAAGAGACAGGAAAAUACACAUAGUUUGUAUCCCGCUGCUUCUGUGAUAACUAUAAAUUGAUGAAAAUUCAAGUUCACUGAACAUUUCUUUACAUUUGUAUAGGACAUUUUUUUCUCUUGUUUGCAAAAGUCCUUUUUAUCCAAUAUUUCAUUUUGAUCUCUCCAACAACCAUAAAAUUCUAAGAAGAUAUUUCCUUUUUUAUGAAAUGAUACUUUGGGGAUUUAAAUUUCUUUUUCAGUUUCAUACAGCUAAUGAUGAGGUCAGGAGUCAAAUUCAAGUUUUGAGGCUCCUAGUCUAAAGCUCUUUUAAAUGUAAUGCAGUGCUUCCAUUUAUAUUUUUUAAAUUAAGUAAUUAACAAGUAACACUUCCUGCUCCCUGCUAGUUCUCAAUUCUUUAGCAGAAACCAGUAUGUCUGGAUCUGCCUGACCUUGGAUGACCUAACUUCAACCAGCCUCAUAUAUAAACUGGCAUCCUUCUGCCCAUAUCAAAUAGUUAUAAUGAAGAUUAAACUAGAUAAUGUAUGUGAAGGGUGAAGCAUAUAGUAGAAUUCAAAGAUCCCUUUUCUUUACUUCCUCCUUUUUUCCUAUAUAACAAACAAUCCUCAGAAUUAAUGUUUUAAAUGACUUCAGUGGUACUACCUCUCAUUUUUUGGGGUUGACUGGGUUCAUCUGGGUCCAUGCGCUCCUCAUGACCUGAUCUAGGGCUACCAUCAUCUGAGGUCUUCGCUGAACUGGAAUACCCAAGGUGGCUGACUCAACAUCUGAUGCUUCCAGGAGAAUGGGUAGAAGGCUGGGCUCAGCUGGGGUGCUGGGCAACUGGGUUUCUCUCCCUCCCCUUAUCAUUUCUCCAUGUGGUCCUUCCAUCAGGAUUGCUUACAUGAUUGCUCAGGAUAAACAUGGAAACUUCGAGACCCUUCUAAGUUUGAGUCCUGGAACAGGGUGUCACUUCUGCCACAUUUUAUAGGUCACAGUGAGUCCAGUGAGUCACAGGACCAACCUAUUUUCAUUGUGAAAAGAGGCUACAUCAGGGCAGUCUGGGUCAUGAUAGGUUGUCCUUGUUCGACUACUGUAGUCAUCAUCAUCUGAAAGUUUUUCAGUUGAUCUAGAGCCUUUGCAGUGGAAAAAUGACUGAAACAAUGCCAGCAUGUGAAAAGGAUUUCUGUUCUUCUUAAUUAUUCCCAGAGUUGAAGGAAAGCAGAUAACCUGGCAGUUCUUCUAAAGAUCAUCCUGGAGUGCUGCUUUCUUUCGUACUCUGAGGUACACCUGGUAAAGGAAAUGAUGAAAGACAUCUGGUUUUUCAGUGGUUUGGGGUAACACUGCCUCACAUUGGAAUUUAUAAUUUUCAAGUACUUAACAUAUAUUUUCUCUUUAUUCUCACCUUACUGGAGUGCACAAAGUUUCAGCAUGAGACGAGGAGUUCAAAUGACCUUUCCAAUGGCACAUAACUUAAAAAGGCAGAAAUAGCGCUCCGACUCAGAACUUUCACAACUGGGACACUGUCUCCCAUCUUGGUUCCAUUCUAAGGAUACAUAUGAUGGGAUGAGGGGCAGGAAGCCUAGUGGGAGGAGAGUGCUUGAAGUAAGCAUGGGGUGGUUAGAGAGGGCAGGGCUCUUAGUGCACUUCUUACUCCUGCCGUUGUCUGCCUUUAUGGACACCAGUGUUUAACUUAUUUUACAUCUUUCAUUUGUGGGAAAAUACUGUAUCUACCAUGGGAUAGGGAAGAAUUAUUCUUGCCUAAGCUCUUUAUGGGCUCAUCUUCAGUAUAAAGGAAAUUAUAUAAGUGGUCUAGCAGAGUGCCUGUCCUAUAGUAGGUAUAUAAGACAUAUUCAUUUUUUUUCCUCUCUCCAUUUCUUAAGUUGCUUUCUGAGGCAUGAAGCUGAACUUGGAUUAUAUUUUGAAAUGCAUUUAGCAUUUGCAGUACACUUUGUAUCAUGACCAAUGAAUGGAAAAGUUGAGGAUUGCUUGCCUGGCUGCCCAGCAGGAACUCUGUUAUGCUUACUUCUGAGACAGGCAACUUUGGCAAGGUUGGCAUCUCUGCCUGGAAACACAGGGCUCGUUAUUCUGUCACAGGACUAGUGACCUGAUUGAACACAACUGUCCAGAUCCUUACCCAUGUCCCAUUAAAGCUGCUGUCUACAGACCCUCUUCCUUGGAGCUUGUCGCCUGUUUGAGAAGAUGGUAAAGUGUGCUGGCUUGUUUUUGUAAAUGACUGUUUCAGUAGAAGAUUCUGGACAUGAGAUGAAUUCUACCAGCAGCAAGUAAGUCAUGAAUUUAAAUUUGCAGGCAUUGUGCUCUACGACUUCAAAAGCCUCCCAGACCCUUUUAUGGUUGGCACGGAAUGGAGGCAUUCUGCGUUUGUAUUUGUUGGUGCGUCUGGGCAACCUGGCUCUGGCCUCAGGAACCUGUGCUUUAAAAUGAGGUAGCUGAAUUCACUUCCCUGGGGCUGGAGGAAGUUCUUAGUAUACUUCUUUUGCUUAAAUCUAUGACAGGGUAGAAGAAAUGUAUCCUCGGAGUUUAAAGGUGACCAUUUCACAGCAGCAAAGCUCUGUGCUGUGGUCUCUUGUGAUCUGAUCUGACAGUUCAUGUAUUACAGAGAGGAAAGCAGCCUCAGUCUGUGGCAAUGCGUCUCUGAGUUUGUGACGUUGUUGGGAGAUCAUGCUUUGGUGUGUCUGCUUGUUUGUGACUAGAAAAAGAGCCCUGUGGUGACAAUGGAAGCUCAAAGUGUCUUUUUUCUCUGCAACUGCUCCUAGGCAUGCUUACAUCAAACCAAUACAAGCACAUGCAUUUUUUUUUAAGACCUCUGGGUAACGUGAUUUUACAGUUUUUCUAAGUAACUUUUAUUGUCAGGAACUCUCGCCUUAUUGCUUAUACAUGUCUUUCCCAUCUGAAAAUGAAGCCGCUGGUCUCUUGUUUGUUUAAUCGGGAGAUAUGGGGAUUAGAAUGUCACUAUCUUGUGACUAAGGAUAUUCCUGGUAUUAGGAGGACAUUAUUAACUCACUGUAGUUAACCUUAUCCCCCAUUUCAUUCACUUUUCGAUUCUUGAAUGAAACUUAGGUUCAUCAGAUACCUUUUGCCUAUUAAAUUAAAAUAAGACUGUAGUGGGUUAUGGCCAUGAUUGACAUUGAGAAAAUUCCUUAUGGUCUCACAGGCCUAAAACCUUGAUUUCAAAGAACCACUGCAAUACAUAAAAUGUGGUUGAUUGCUUAUGGGGCAGAAAUAUGCAUCUGUGUCUGGUCUUCAUUGCUAUGAAAAGGAAUAGGCUUUUUAAAUUAAUUUUUGGGAGUUCAUGCUUCUUUCUAUACACUGAUUUAAUUUGCAUUUUCUAAAUUUCAUAUAUAUGUUAAAUUGUCAGGUAGCAAGCUUCUGCUUUGGGUUAAGGUUGGGUAGAGUGUGUUGUGGAGUCAAUAAUGAAUGAUCUUAUGUGUUUUUUUGUUUUGUUUUGUUUUGUUUUUGGCAUCUGCCAUGUGCUAGAUGGUGCGUUCUUCUCCUUAAAAUCUAUGUGCCUGGUGAGGUCAGACCCAUGUCACCAAAUACAGACCAGAAUGUUCAUAUAAGAUCUGAAUGUCGUUGGGAGAGCUCAAUGGCAGUCUCAGGGUCUGGGUCAAAAUUCGUUUAUCGGUUUUCUGUUUCACUGUGUGAUAGGGACUAACAGCAGAUGUUUGCUUUAAAGGCUAAUAAAAGUAAAUCUGAGAGAAUUUGCUUCCAAUUUAGGUUCUUCUCCACUGAGAAAAUAGCCAGCAGUGCAGGAGGGAAGCGCCUGCCUGAGGAGCCAGUGGCCUUGUCCUCAGCUGCCUCUACGUGUUUUGGGAGGCAUGCCUGGAACGCUUCCCUGCAUGCCUCAAGCCGUGGUCUGAGCUGAGCUGUCUGCUUGGUGGGUACCAGGGUGAGGCAGACAGCCCAGCCAUCUAAAGGCCCAUCCAAUGGCAAAUGUGAAUUGGGUUAUUCUGGCCUGCAGGUCCUGAAUGCACAAGGCUUGGGCCACUGGCCAGCAGCCUCACUCGCUCCCCGGGUCAAUGGUCUGUUGGACUGAGUCCCUGGAGGCCGGCCUGGCUGACUGCUCACUCCAUUUGCCAUGCAUUUUUCUCAGCCUUCCCUCCCUUCUUUGCGGAACUGCUCAGUGGUCUACUCACUGAGAGAUGAAAUUGUUUCUGAUAAACUUGAUCACAUAGCUGUAGAUGAAUAUGUACUUCUUUUCCUGAGGCAUAUCUGCACAUUAAAUCAGAACCUCAAAGGCUUGAACCCAGUGUUCGUCCUUGUGUCCUGAAGUCACUUCCCUGAUGUUGUCUCAAGAGCCAGGCAUUUUCAGAUGUCCUUGUUCUGUUUAAACUUCUCUCCUUAUGCCAAAGUGAAAAACAGCAAAACAUUUCCGUGGCCCACAAGUUCUGCCUGCCUGGGCCCUGGCUUCUCCUUGGCUUCCCUCUUCACUCACCUUCUUUUCACUGCUCAAAAAGCACAUUGCUGGCUGCUGGGCUCUUUUCUCCAGCCUAAUGACUCCUCAUCUUUUAGGUCUCAGCUUAAACUUCCUCCAUCCAUAGACUCGGUCAGAGCCUUUCCCAGCCCCCACCACCUGCAGUGUGCAUCCUGUACUUCCUUUGUGGUUCUCAUCACAUUCGUACCUAUAGUUUCAGGUCAGAAUUUCUUGUUAGAGUGUCAUGAACAUAGAGACAAUGUUUGUCUUGCUCAUUAUUCAGUACUGAUGGUAGAGCUAAAUGUGGAGGUCCUCAUUCAACAGUUACUAGAAGGAACAAGGAAAGAAAGGAAGAAGGGUACUUGGCAUUAAGCAGUCUGGGGAUGGUGGUACCUAGAGGGUGUAUGAGUUUCCUAUGGCUGCUGUAACAAGUUGCCACAAACUUAGUGGCUUGAAAUAACACACCUAUAUUACCUCUCCGUUCUGGAAGUCGGGAGUCCUAAAAUCAAGUUGUUGGCAGGGCUGCAUUACUUUUCAAGGCUCUGUGGAUAGAAUGAAGCCCUUCCCACCUUCUCAAAGAUGCUUGAAUGCCUUGGUUGUAGCCCUCUUCCAGCAACCGUAUCACUUCAACCUUUGCUUCCAUCAUCAUGCCUUCUUCUAUUAAUCUGGAAUCUUUUGGUCCCUUGUAUAAAAACCCUACUGAUGAUUCUGAGCCCACUCAGAUAUUCCAGGAUAAUCUCCCCAUCUCAAGAUCCUUAAUUGCACCUGAAAACUCCUUUUUGCCAUGUAAGAAAAAGAUUAACAGGUUCUGGAGAUGAGGAUGCAGACAUGGGUUGAGGUGGAGGUGGGGACAUCAUUUUGCAAAUCACUACUGGAUUAGCUGUUGAAGCAAACGUGUCAGGGGGCAUAAUAUAGAUUUUGGGCUAGGAGAGGAGAGUGACUAAAAUGUCAGGCAUAGUUCAGGACAAACAAAUUUAGUGGCGUCUCUGAAAGAGAACAAAAAUCAGAAAGUAAGAUUAUGGGCAGCGUCCAGGGAUACUGCUAAUCUAAAACGGGGCAGCAAAGGGGGAAUUAUUAUUUUUUUUCAGGAUAGUGAAGUUGCAAAUUGAAAUUGAGGAAGGAAGAAAUAGAAUUUCCCAAGGACCAGGGCUGCUCUGAUGACUUGGUGGGAGAAUAAGCUAGAGCAGCACAGCGUUGAGUAGGCAUCUGGGCUGGAUCUCUCUGGAUAAAGGAUGUUGCCAUGAAUCUCUGAAUCUCUGUUACCCAACUGUAUAUAGAAGAGAAUUUUUCUUGAAUCUUGAUGCCACGUUUUACAAGUUAGGGAGCUAAGGCCUAGGAAAUUCAAGUAGGUUGACCAAGGACACCUGGCUCCAAUGCUGCCUUUCUUCUAGCUGUUGGAUACCUCCUCUGAAAUGUUCUCACAUGAUCCUGUCCUACGUUCAUUGCCCUCCUGUAGGAGGCACAUGGUAAAGGAGAAUCCCCAUCUAAAACUAGUAGAUUGCCUUUUGAUGGAGCCUUGGGCGGCUGGUUUGAUGAGAGAUGGACAAAAAGAAACCCUUCCUGAGAGUGUAUAGAAGGAAGUGGAACAUGCCGAUUUAGGGAUGAUCACAAGCAGUGUAGCUCAGUGGGGCACCUGUUGUCAACAGAGCAUUAUCCCACCAUCUUCUCAUGGUAUCUGUAAUGAAAUCCAGGGAGCUUGACCCGGGAGGCUGAUAUGAAAGGAUUGAUCACUAGUGUUUCCCUUUUAGUGCCGAUGGAGCCCAUUUUCUUCCUGGGCAGUAACAAUAGUUACUCCAGAAUAUCCACACUACUACUUGGGAUGAAUUUCUCAGCUGCUUGGAACACUUCAUCAACAAUAUGAUUGGUCUAUUAGCACGCAAUUAACACAUGACCUUACUGGCAAAGAGACUACAGAUAAUCUGACAGGAUCUUUAAAGUUUUCAGUUCCCUUCUCCUAGUCCAGUAACCCAUUCGAAAUACUUCAGAGUGAUUCUGGAACACGUAACCUGAGGCAAACAUGACUUAAACUAGCCACGGCAGAAAAGGAUGUGGUAAGGGGGAGGGUGUCGGAAAUCACAAAACCAUGGAGAAGCAGACAUAGACAGAACAGGAAGGGAAUAUACACCUGAGAUGUUCUGUGCCUGCCUCCGUGCGGUUGCCAGGUUUCAGAAUGAAUGUAAGUCUUCUCUGCUCCUCGGAUACACUUUUGUAAAGAAAACAUAUAUUCAUGUAUUUAAGUGGGUCUUUAACUGUUAAUGGAUAUCCUCCCACAAUAAAGGCUUUGUGAGGCUGAUUGGAAUGCUUUUACCACAUAAGACCUUGGGUUCCUAGGGGAUUUUCCUUUUAAUUUAAAGUGAUGAGGGUGGGUACAUAGGUGGAGGCUGCUUAUUGGAUUUUAAUUUUAUGCUAUAAAAUUUGAAAGGGUUGGGAAAUUUUAUGUGAUUAUAAAUGAAUAGUGCAAAACGUUAAGGGGCUAGGAAAUUAACAAAGAACAAAAUUGCUAUAUGUCAAGUAUUUUUACUGUUUCUUCGUUUUUAAUGUCAACAUCAUUAAUGAGACUAUCAUAAAACAUCCGUUAGUCUCACAAGAGCUAAAUUUAUACAGUGAAAAUUAUGUCGGGAAACAUGACAGGUAAUCGAUUAUUUUAAAUAACAACUUGGUAUAGAUUUAAGGGGUACAGUGUGAUAAUUUAAUGUACAAAUACCAUGUAGAAUGAUCAAGUCAGAAAAGUUUCCAUCGCCUUUAACGUUUUUAAAAAAGUUUUAAUACAUAAUGGUACAAAUUUAUGGGGUACAGUGUGAUAUUUCAAUACAUGUAUAUAACAUGUACUGAAAAAAUCAGGGUAAUUCAUGUUUCCAUCUCCUUAUCAUUACUUUGUGUUUGCAGCUUCAAGCUUUUCUAGUUCUUCAUAAGAUGCGUAAGAAGUCUGUGAGUGAUAGUCACUCUACUGUGCUAUAGAACAUUGUACUUACCAUUUCUUCCCAACUGUUUAGGUACCUGUUAUCCAGCUUCCUUAUGUCCCCCUCCACCAGUAUCCUUCCCAGUCUCUACUAAUCACUACUGAUAGAGCCAUUGUCUUUCUGUAUCAUCUGACAUUUUAUUUAAUGCAAUGACCUCCAGUUCCAUCCUGCAAAUAAUAGGAUAACUUAAAGAGUAGUUACAUCACAUUUCUGCCCUAAAUUUCAUUAUUUGACUCUUUUUAAGGAGAACUAGGUAGGUAACCUGUGAUUAUAAAUGAAACACAGUCUUAAAGACAAACUAACAUUACUUUAAAUAGUAGGUGGAUAUAAAUGAUUCCAUUCACAAGAUCUCAAAUUUUUGCUAGCUUCAUCAUGCUGAAAGUAUUGAAUUUAGAAAAUGGUUAAAUUCUGGCCUCAUUUCGUAUUAUUAAAAGGAACCAUAGGUUGAGGAACCUCUGGGAAACAGGGCAUCCAGGGAGGAGUAAAUAACUCUAAGACGUUAAGCAUAAAUUGAGUGGGACUCAAUAUCUUCAGAGUGCAGAUUUAACACUGCCUGGCUGCUCACUCAUUUACAAUGCACCUAAUUGUCAUUUUGGCACAGACUUUAUUAACCCUUUCUUUGUUCAAAUAAAUUCUGUAGAAUUGCCCUUCUAGAGGACUGUUUUUCAAACUUUAUUGACAAGGCUACCAAAAGAAAUACAUUUUAUGUUUCAACCCAGUACACAUAUGCAUGCAAAUAUAUACACACACCAUAGUUUCAGACUUCAUGAAAUGGUGCUAAACCACAAAUUGAAAUGAAGGGCAAGCGUGAAGAGUUGGCCACUGCAUUUGGUACCUCACCUUGCUUCCAUUAUGCCUUUCCCCACCAAUCCCAGCCAUUGGCUGCAGGAUCAGUUGCAAUAACUAUGUAAGUUUCUGCUAAGGUCUGUGCAGUGCAAGUGUUUUCUAAUCUAUCUCAUUCUUAAAGAAUAUUAGUUGCAGCACAAUGGAAAUUUUUGUUCCUUCGUAAUGUACUGUGAUCCACUUUAAAGAGUUUUCAGAAAAAAAAAUAUAUACAUAUAUAGAUAGAGAUAUAGAUAUUAUUAUAUUGAAGGAAUAAAUAUGUCAUUUUUUUUUGUACUGGAAAUUGAACCCAAGUGUGCUUGACUACUGAGCCAUAUCCCCAACCAUUUUAUUUAUCAUUUAUUUUUUUUAUUUUGAGAGAGAGAGUCUUGCUGAGUUGCUGAGGCUGCCUUUGAACUUGGCAUCCUCCCACCUCAGCUUCCUGAGCCACUGAGACACUGGGAUUACAGGUGUGCCCCACUGUGCCCUGCAUAGAUAUGUCUGUUUUUUAUUUUCUGUAACAAGCAUUUUUCAUGUUGUUAUUCCAAGGGUGGAUGGUGAUUUUUUUUCCCCCUCUAGAAUACAUCUUGAUUUUCAGUGUUUUCUUUUCCAAAGGCUCUUCCUUACCUGCCUAACCAGGAAAAUGUAGUCUGUUCACUGUCACCUGGCAUUGUCCUUAGGAGUCUCCCUCACCAGAGAGAGAGACUACUAUUUCCUGAGACUAUGGAUUCAGAUACUGUUCUUCAUUCCAUUCAGCACUCAAAUUUGCCAUUUCCUUGAGGAAAAUCUGUCUUGAUGAUUUCAGACCUGCACUAUCAUGCUUCUCAUUCCCUGUAGCUCAGCUGUUGGAACAUACAAGAGUUGGCUGCCCCAGCAUUAUAAUCAUUCCAUAUCUGCUAUUUCUAUCUCCUUUUUUUCUGUUAAAUUAAAUCUUUAUUCUUCUCUUUCUCUGAGUUAUAAACUCCUGAAGAGCAGGGUACAUUUUUCUAUAUUUCUUAUAUUUUCAUCACUCCUAAAAUCCUGGCCCCGGUGUAGGAACUCGCUGAAUGCAACAAUGGAAACUGAUUGUGAUGUGUUACCUGUUCCUCAUGCUUUCCCUCUAAAUUCUCUAACUUUAAAACUGUAUCAUAUAUCCAUUGUAAGUAGGGAUGGUUUUAAUUCUAAUUGCUAAAGAUCUUGAACAUUUUUUCAUAUAUUUGUUGACCAUUUGUAUUUCUUCUUCUAGGAAGUGCCUCUUCAAUUCUUUUGGCCAUUUAUCGCUUGGGUUAUUUGGGGUUUUGGUGUUAGAUUUUUGAGUUCUUCAUAUUUCCUGGAGAUUAAUGCUCUAUCUGAGGUGCAGGUGACAAAGAUUUUCUCUGAUUCUCUAAGCUCUCUCUUCACAAUCUUGAUAGUCUCCUUUGGUGUGAAGAAUAUUUUUGGUUUGAUACUGUCCCAUUUAUUUACUUAUUUAUUGAUUGAUUCUUGAUUUUACUACUUAUGCUUUAGGAUUCUUGUUGAAGAAGUCUGUUCCUAAGCUGACAUGGUAGAGAGCUGGGCCUACAUUUUCUUCUAGUAGGUUCAGGGGCUCUGAUUGAAUGCGUAGGUUGUUGAUCUACUUUGUGUUGAGUUUUGUGCAGGUGAGAGAUAGGAGUUAAAUUUUAUUUUGCUGCAUAUGAAUUUCCAGUUUUCUCAGCACCAUUUGUUGAAGAAGCUAUUUUUUUCCCAAUGUAUGUUUAUGGCAUAUUUGUCUUGUAUGAGAUGACUAUAUUUGUGUGGGUUUGUCUCUGUGUCUUCUACUUUGUACGAUUGGUCUUCAUGUCUGUUUUGGUGCCAAUACCAUGCCAUUUUUUGUUGAUAGGCACUAAGGGCAAUUAUCAAGAAAUCAAGUAAUAAUAAAUGUUGAUGAGGAUUGAGGGAAAAGGUACACUCAUACAUUGCUGGUGGCACUGAAAAUUGGUACAACCACUCUGGAAAAUAGUAUGGAAAUUUCUCAGAAAACUUGGAGUGGAACCACCAUUUGACCCAGUUAUCCCAUUCCUUGGCAAAGUACUCAAAAUCAGCAUACUAUAGUGACUCACCCUCAUUAAUGUUUAUAACAGUUCAAUUCAAAAUGACUAAGCUAUGGAACCAACCUAGGUGACCUUCAACAGAUGAAUGGAUAAAGAAAAUGUGGUACAUGUACACAAUGGGAUAUUACUCAGCCAUAAAGAAGAAUAAAAUUAUGGCAUUUGCAGGUAAAUGGAUGGGACCAGAGACUAUCAUGCUAAGUGAAAUAAGCCAAUCUCCAAAAACCAAAGGUCAAAUGUUCUCUCUGAUAGGUAGAUGUUAACACACAAUGUCAGAGUGGAGGGAGAAUAGAAGUUCAUUGGAUUAGACAAGGGGGAAUCAAUGGGAGGGAGGGAGGAUGGGAAUAGGAAAGACAGAAUGAAUUGGACAUAACUUUACUAUGUUCAGGUCUGAAUACACACCAGUGAAACUCCACACCAUAUACCACCACCAGAAUGAGGUCAUAAUUAGAAUAAGCUAUACUCCAGGUAUCUAUAAUAUGUCAAAAUAUACUCUACUGUCAUAUAUAUCUAAAAUGAACAAAUAAACAAAAGAAUAGAGUGGUGCCUUUAAUUUUUUGAAAUUAUUUAACAAAGUGUAACCUGCAUUCCAAUGAGCACACAAAUCCAAAGCAUAUUGUUUUUUCACAAAGUGAAUACACCCAUGUAAUGGUAUACAAGUAAGGAAAAGAAGUCAAGAAUACACUUUGUAUCCUGUUGUAGUCACCAGCAAAUACUAUCAUGAUUUAUAGUGCCAUAAAUUUGGUUUUUUCCUGUUUGAGGUUUAUAUAAGUAGGCUAUUCAAUACUUUUAUUUUGAUUUUUGCGGCUUUUUUCAUUUAAUGUUAUAAUUGUGAUGCUUACCUAUAUUAUUGCAAGCAGUUUUAUAUAUGUCAUAUAUAUUUUUAUGUUUUUUAGUUAUACAUGGACACAAUAUUUUGUUUGUUUUUUAUGUGAUGCUGAGGAUCAAAGCCAGUGCCUCACAUGCGCAAGGUGAGCACUCUGACACUGAGCCACAACCUCAGCCCCUGCAAGUAGUUUUAAAUUGUUACUGUGCGGUGUUCUAUUAACUGCAUAUACCAUAGCUUAUUUAUGAGUAUUGAUGGGCAUUUGAAUAUUUUCCUGGCUUAGGGUUUUUGUGGAGCAUGUAGCUAUUGAACAUCUUGUACAUAUUUUUGUUAAAUAUUUUCUUGGCUCUUCAGUAUACUUAUGUUUAGGUGUACUAGGUACGACCAAACAGUUCGCCAAACUGAUUGUACCAAUUUAGAUCCCACCAGCAGUGAAUGAGGGUUUUGUGUUCUCUAUGUCCUUGAUGAUGGGCAUUUGGUAUUUUUAAGUCUUUAUGUGGGUAUAGAUAUUAAAAACGUAUAUUUUCCCAUUCUGUGGCUUUCUUCUUAAUAUUUUUGAAUAUAUUUUUAUUGUGAAAAAGAGAAGCCAGUUUGCCAGGCCCCCCUUCAUGCUUAGUAUUUGCUGUGAUCUAAGAAACUUUUGCUUAUUCUGAGUGGUUGAGUUUUUUUUUUUUUUUUUAAUAGUUGUUUUGCUGCUUUCUAUUUUCUAUGUAUAGUUGCACUCCCUCAGGAAUUGACUUUCGGUUGGUGGUAUGGGCUAAGAAUCAGGAGUCAUUUUUCUCCUAUGGACUUCCAGAACCAUGUAGUGAAAAGACCUUUCUUCCCUAAGUACGUCCCCUUGUCACUUUUGUCAGAUAUAAUUAUGUGAGAGCCUGUUUCGGGUUUUCCCUUCUGUUCCAUGGGUCUUUUUGAUUUCUUUUUUUUUUUUGCUUCAAAGACACUGUAUUGAUUCUUCCUUUGCAACUGUUCUUAAUGUGCAGUGUAAGUCCUGUAAUGUUUGUUGUUCAUCUUUAAGAUUGUCUUGGGCAUCAUAGAUUUUAAUGUUUUGAGUGUCAUGCUAACUGUGCAUAAAAUAACACUCUAUAAAGAGUCCACUGUCAAUAAAUUUUAUGAGACCAAUGGGAGGUUAAAGAUAAAGGUGACAAUGAAAAACCAAUGAGAGAAAUCCAUGCAUGUUGGAAGAUGUUAUUCUGUCCUGAUUUUGCAAACUUCAAAAUUCCUGAAUUUGAUGAGGGGAGGUCUUAUACAGAGAGAGAGAUUCUGAGGGGAUUUGACUAGGUGGUGGGAAGACUCUAAAAAUGAAUUAAGGUGAUAGUUGAAGUAGGAAAAUGAAUACAAGGAAAAACAGCUUUAUUAAGUUGUGUGCCAAAAUAAAAGCUUAAAUAUAGUUAAGGAUAUAAAAUAAUAAAAAAUGAACAGUGAAAAAAAACCCAGAAAUUGAUCUCUGGAGAAGGUUCCAUUUUUGAGUGGGGUGUGAAUAAAAUCUGUGUAGAAAAAAAGGCUUUAGUGUUGCUUUAUUUUUUUUAACUUGUCAAUCAUUUUCCUACUGAGGGAGCCACAAAAGACAAAUCUUAAAUAGAAGGAAACUCUUGACCCCCAGUUUUAGCUCCUGUCUAAGUACAUGUGUGGGCACAGAAAGGAAAAACACAUGGACCAAUGACAUUGCAAGUCAUGGUGAUUAUGUGCAUUUCUACCUCAGAAGAGGAGACAGAGGGGAAUAUAAAUAUGCAAACAUUGUAUUACUUGGAGUAUAUAAGGCAGAUUUCACAGACAUUACUUCUUAUUAUCUGGACAUUCUAUUUUUUUUUUUUUUAAGUACUGGGGAUUGAACUCUGAACUCGGGAGCAUCAGAAGCACUCAAUCUCUGAGCCACAUUCCCAGCCCUAUUUUUAUUUUAUUUAGAGACAGGGUCUCACUGAGUUGCUUAGGGCUUCACCAUUGCUGAAGUUGGCUCAAACUUGGUGAUCCUCCUGCCUCAGAAUCCCAAGAUACUGGGAUUACAGGAGUGAGUCACUGGCUGGAUCUCUGAGUAUUAAGACUUUGUGAUGGUUAAUUUGAAUUGUUAACUUGAUUGGAUUAAUAAAUGCUAAAGAUUAAGAGACUUCUGAGUGUGUCAAUGAAGGUGUGUCUAGAAAUGAUUGGCGUGUGUUACAGUGAACUGAAACAGAGAGUCUCCCUAAGCGUGGGCAGCACUGUCCAAUAGGAUGGUGACUUGGAUGUAAUAAAAGUUGGAAGAACAAGGAAGCAGCAGCAGGUGCAAGCUCCAUUCUUCUUGAAUGGGUUCUUUUUUUUUUUUAAUAUGACAGCGGAAUGCAUUACAAUUCUUAUGACACAUAUAGAGCACAAUUUUUCAUAUCUCUGGUUGUACACAAGGUAUAUUCACACCAAUUCAUGUCUUUAUAAUGUACUUUAGAUAAUAAUGAUCAUCACAUUCCACCAUCAUUUACAACCCAUGCCCCCUCCCUUGCCCUCCAACAACUCUGCCCUAUCUAGAGUUCGUCUAUUCCUCCCAUGCUCCCUCUCCCUACCCCACUAUGAAUCAGCCUUCUUAUAUCAAAGAAAACAUUCUGCAUUUGGUUUUUUGGGAUUGCCUAACUUCACUUAGCAUUAUUUCCUCUAACUCCAUCCAUUUACCUGCAAAUGCCAUGAUUUUAUUCUCUUUUAUUGCUGAGUAAUAUUCCAUUGUGUAUAUAUGCCACAUUUUUUUUUUUUAAUCCUUGAAUGGGUUCUUGAUUGCUGCUGUGAUUGACUAAGGAUAUCAGACUCUGGCGCCUUCAUUCUUCCAUGCCAACUCUGGCAGUGAUUGUCCAGGGAGUUUUCUGAGCCUUCAGUCUCAGAUUUACAUAGCAUGGUUGAUCCCUCUUAUUCUGAGGCUUCAGCCUUUUGGACUUUGCAGCUACUGAUUCCUCCAGCUCUCCAGCCUGUAGACAGCCAUUUUGGAUUAUCCAGCUUCUGGUCAUGUAAGCCAAUCUACUAAAUCUUCUUUUCAUACUUCCUGUUGAUUUUUUUUCCUCCAAAGAACACUAAUAAAGGCUCCUUGCAGCCUGAUUGAGAAAUACCUCCAUGUGUUUCCUAAUUUAAAUUCAAGGUGUCCAGUAAAUAUCAUAGCUCUUGCUUGAAAUACCUGAGCUAAAGCUGGAGAGGGCUUAGAUGAUUUGACCAUAUUGAAAAAUGAAGCUUCUAACCAUGGAAUCCACCAGUGUAAGGAAGAAUUUGAUUUUAUGUGGUUUGCCCAGAAAAGGGCCAGUUGGCCUUUGAAAUAUAGUUUCCAUAGCUACUGGGUGGAAUCAAAAGCAAAUGCUGUGGCAGAAUAUUUUUCUAUGCUACUUUUACUGCUCAUGGUAACUACUAAGGCAAGCUAUUCUGGAGAUGAAAUACUGGGAAGUGCUACAGUGAGUGAUUGACUUUCUUUUGGGGAAUUUUCUCAUUUUUCUGAGAUUUGACUAGAACUGCCUUUCUGUUAAAAAAAAAAAAAAAGAUCGUAGUAAAGGUCAUCUUUCCAGAUACAACUUUAUUGAACAAUGCCCUGCUAAUUGUGAUUUAAAAAAUUUGGACUACAGUUAAAUGAUAGAAGAAUCCAGGAUUUGCUGCUCCUGAAUAUUUUUUUUCCUUUAAGAGGAGUAUAAUAAAAUGAUUUCUCAAAGGAUCCUUAAAGUGUUUACUUUGAACUUUUCAGUAUAAUAUGGUCAGCUAAAAAUGCCAAGCACUUAACAUCUAAGAAACAUUAUGACAGUUUGCUUUUUUAUUUUGGGAUAUAAAAUAUACAUUGAUGUAUAUCAUGUUACCCUAGUUUUAUAGUCAUCUACCAUUUGUAUGAACAAAAACAGACAUUUAUUCCUUCAAUGUAAAAAUAUGUGGCCUUCCCAAUAAUGACUCCCAGGUAUGAGAGGAAGAUAAAUAGACAUUCACUUUGAUUUAUUGUUUAUGUGUCUUUGAAUUUGGGCCUGUGUAUUCUUUUCUUUCUUGUUUUUCAAAAAUGUUUUCUCAUUCAUUUAUAUUUCUUUUAAAACUGAUAGAUCAAAGUGACUAUUAAGAAAGGUCUGGCUGAUAGGCAGUGACAGUAUCCUUUUCAAGACUGCUUUGAAGAGUACAUGAACAUGGCUAAAAGUUGCCUCUCUGUUAUCUGUCUGCACCAAACCUUCAAUAAAUCCAUAUUCCAAAUAACAUGUAUGAUUUGGCUCAACAGAUACACUUUGGGGACAGAUAUGUUCCUGUCUCAUCCAACCCAGCUGCUUCCUCAAAGUCUCAGCUUCUAGAAGUUCUAGGAACAUUUUUGUUUGUCUCUGGGUAUUAUCUCUCAGAUAGAGCUAGGUUCUUGCUUUUAAAGCACUUUUACUCUUUGUAAAAUUUUUAUUGGUGUGUUAUAAUUAUACAUAAUAGUAGUAUUCAUUGUGCCACAUUCAUACAUGCCCUUAACAUAAUUUGAUCAAUCUCAUUCUUCAGUACCUUCCCUUUCUCUUCCCUUCUUCCUCCCUAGUCUACUAGCUCUACUCAAUUGAUUUCCCUUCUGUUACCUUUUUUUUUUAAUUUUUAAUGACAUGUCCUUUCCCUUUUGUUGUAGUAGAGUAUAAUUCCAGGGGUAGGUCAGAGUUCAUUUUUAUAAAUGUUCUAUCUAAUGUUUUUAUAGUUUAGAAAAUGCAUGCACUUAACCAAGUCAGAUUAUGAUAGUAUUUACUCUUUUUAGAAAUUGGGAUUAAGAUGUUUUAAAAUAGGGAUUGAGCUGUUUGGUCUUGGUCAAUUUUUAUUUAUUUAUUUAUUUAUUUAUUUAUUUAUUUAUUUAUUUAUUUAUUUUCGUAGUGCUGGGAUUGAACCCAGGACCUUGUGCAUGCAAGGCAAGCACUCUACCAACUGAGCUAUAUCCCCAGCCUCAUUUUAUUUUUAAUGUCUAAGAUAUCCCUGUAUCCAGAUCACUCAUCUCAUCCUGAAAUUUAGAAGACUGACCAGAGAAAGACCUUUGAUCAAACCACAUUCCUGGGGUCUUUGAAAAACAAAGACCUGAGACAGUAGAUAAAAGUAGGAGAGGAGAAAAAGGCAUUACUUCUUGGAAUCAGGAGGAAAGAUCACCAAAGACUGCCGUAUUUUAUGUCUCUGGGAACUUUCUUUGGAAAACAAAGUCAAUCCCAGGGAUACAACUUGUGUCAACAGUUGAGCACCAGAUAAAAUGCCUGAAUUUAUAAAUACAAAUUGUAUUUUGCAAACCUGGUGUAAAUAAAUCUUCUUGGGGAAGAUCCAAAAGUCAGGUUCCAGAGCUAAAAGUCAUCAGUGAUUUUCAUAAUGUCUCUAAGAUACUUUGAGCCUGUCAGUCAAAGCAUGAAAUAUAUGUCUGUAUGUGUGAAUUUUUGUUAAUUAUUGCUGAGUAAUACAGCUGAGCCUGAAAGAAAACCCCAAGAAGGGUAGAGAAGAGAGUUCUCUGACAUUUAAAAGCAAACAAUUUCUGGAAUGAAGUUCCAGAAAACAUCAAUAAUUGUUUAUAUGCAGUGUGUGGGAAUCUUCCGCACAAAGCAUACUAGCUUACUGGAGCUUCCAACUUGCUUUCUAAAAAGCCAGUUUUCUUUGCCUGCUAGUCCCAGACUUGAAACAGAAAGCAAACCCUAUGUUGAGGAUUAAAUUAUAGAAUAAGGAAAUGAUAAGGUAAGAAAGCUUAGAAACUCAUGAUUCUUCUUAAAUAUAUCAAAAUUUUGGCAAAAUUGCCUGUCUUUAAAGUCAGUGUUGUGGGAGGGUGGAAGCAAAGGAGAAAAAUAUAAUGUACUGAAAUGUUUUUCUAUUAAAUAAGCUGAAUAUCCCAUCCUGAAGGAAAAUAGAGGCAGAAGACAACCUUCUAAUGAGUGCUUUGUGAAUCAGAUUAUCAGAGCUUGCUUAGAGCAUUCACCUAGUAUUUCUUGUGGAGAUGGUUGGUGGAGCUGCCAUAUGCCAGCUUGGGUCCGGGCCAGGGAAGCACACAGGAGAGCUUUUGCAUUCUAGCCGUCCACUCUCGCCUGGCAAAAAGCACUUUUUGUAUGUGGUAUAAGUGGCCAAGUUAUUUGUACACAAUGGGAAGCUGAAAUUUCAUUUCCACAUGAAAUUAGUGAAUAAUGGCUUUCAAGUCUCACUGAAUAAGCAUGCCCAAGACACAGUCAGCAUUUGAAGUCUGUUCCGGACGCCAGCCAUCUGGAUGAAAGAUAAAUCAGUUAUGCUGCUUCUUUGAGGGUGUCAGAAGUGGGGUGUGGCAAAGGCAAAGUGUCUGGGUACUGUACUGAAGCUUUUGCUGUUCAUUGGGACUUUUGGUGUGAUCAAGGUUUGCACUUCUGUGAGCCCAUGUCACUUUUGGUAUGGGCCUAAUAUCCUGAGCCAUAAAUGCUUAUGCUUUCAUCUCCAAUUGAGAUAUAUUUGGCCACCGUGUACCUACUAAAUGUUUUUUUUUUAUUACUAAGAUUUCUAUUAUACCAAUUCUCAAAAUAUUCUUAAACAUUAAGUUUGGAUUUAGCCUCUAAGAGAGUAGGUAUUCUGUGUGCAUGGCUAACUUACUAUAGAGUGCACAGCUCUAGACUUAAGUGAUGGUGAGAUUUAUAUUUUUCCCAAGUUGUCAUGGGAAGGUUUCCUUUUCUACUGAUUUAAAGACUAGUUGCUGAAAGAUGAUUUGAGAAAAUCUGAUUUCAUUUUUUGGCAGAGUAUGAUUUUGUAAAGUAAGGCCACAGUUGUUUAAGUAGUAAGAUGUUGGUAACUUGCCCACAUACUAUAAUUAAAGCGAAGACAUGGAAACCAAACUGAGGGAAGCAGAUGGAAGCAUCCCAUAGGUAAGUAUGAAUGUUUGUUUGCAAAAAUGAAACAAGUGUGCCAGCGAGAUGUGUGAUCAUUGUCUUUCAAUUAUACCUGAUUUUGAUGUUUAAAAAAAAAUGUGGACAGAGCUGUGUUUCAGCUUUAUUUAAUGUGGUUUUAGUUUUCUUUAAAAAAUGCUUUGCAAUUUAGCACAUGAAUAGGCUAUAAAUGAAAUGUCGCAGGGUUUGAUGGAAAUUGGUUAAUGAGCUGUAAAAUAAUUGCUCAGUUUGAGAAUUUUUUUUGGGGGGUAUAGAAAAAUCAGAAUGUAGUUGGUGUGAUCAAAUACUUUAAAAGCAGCCUGGGACUAUGAUAGAAAAGAUUUAGAGUAUAUAGUGGAAAAAAAAAAGAAAAAAACUAUCAUUAGGGUUUCCUUAAUUUGCUAGAAUUCCUGGUAUCAAGUUCAUAGAAUGCAAUAUACAUCAUGAUCUGAACUGUUUGUUUCAUGCUCUUAAAAGUUUGUUGAUUCACAUACAGCUUUAAAUAGGCCAUCAGCUGGAGUUUGGCUAUCCUUUGCAAUUUGAGCUAUUCACUGAAACUGUAUUAGUUGUAAUGGGAUUUGGCUUGUAACUUUAUAGUGUAAGCUAUACACAUUAAUUAAUUUUGAGGCAGCUGCUCAUUAAAAAUUCUUUCUAGUAAACAUAAUAAGAGAAUGUAUUUUGGAGAAUGCCAGCACAUGAUGUAUUAAAUGGAUUUUGGUAAGUGAAUUUGGCUGAUUUGAUUGGCAGAUAUGAAUAACUAUUUAUGGGAAUCUAGCAUGAUUUUUAAAGCAAUCUUAAAAUGUUUUUUUAAAUUUUUGACUAUACAUAUUUAUGGGCUAUAGUGGUGGUGUUUUGAUACGUGUAUACAAUAUGUAAUCGAAUCAGGCCAAUUAGCAUAUCUGUCACCUCAAACAUUUAUCAUUUCUUUGUGCUGGGAACAUAGUGUUCUCUUCUAGCCAUUUUGAAACGUACAAUAAAUUAUUGUCCACUAUAUAUAGUUGCUCUACUGGACCAUGGAACACUAGAACUUAUUCUUCCCAACUGUAAUUUGGUAUGGUUAACCAGCCGCUCUUUCCCUUCCCAGCUUCUGUAACCACUAUUCUACUCUCUAUAUGAGAUGAACUUUUCUAGCUUCCACACAUGAAUGAUAACAUGUAGUAUCUGUCUUUUUAUGUCUGGUUUCUUUCAGUUAACAUAAUAUCCUUCAUGUUCAUCUGUGUUGCUGCAAAUACCAGGGUUUCAUUUUUUUUUUUUAUUGUGGGAUAAUAUUCCAUUAUGCCACAUUUUCCUUACUGGUCCAUUUGUCAGUAGUCACCUAGUUUGAUUCCAUUACUUGGCUAUUGUAAACAUGGGAGUGCCUAUCAACAUAUGAUUUCUUAUGAAUAUAUAUACACAGUAGUGAGUUUGCUGGAUCAUAAUGUAGUUCUAUUUUUAAUUCUUUGAGCAAUUCCCACACUGUGAAUUCCAUCAUGAUUGACUAUAAAAUAGUAUUUUAAAAUCCUGAUGAACUAUGGAUUUUGUGUUGAACAUAAGGACCUCAUAAAAUAAAGGAAUUGGUUUUCGUUAUUAACCUGGAUAGAAGAUGCAUGACAAGGCAGUACUCAUCCAACUAAGAGAGCUGAAGGAGGAAUUGAGAGACUCUUUUCCCCCCAUAGUUUUAUUGGCAUAUUAUAAUAAUACAUAAUAGUGGGAUGCUUUGUUAUAUAUGUGUACAUGCACACCAUAGGGAGAUGCUCCUUUAUCCUUUCCUCUUGCUUUUUAAUGAGAAAACUGAGACCUGAUAGGUUUUGAUCUUCUGAAACCAGUUACAAGGUACAAGAACUAGAAGCAAGACCUUGAUCCCUCAUACUUUAAAUGUUCUGCCAAACCACCUGGCAUUGAACUGUGUCCAGAGAAGAAUGAGAUAAGUUACUGCAAAACUAUUUCACUUGGAAAUAAGACUGUUUUUCUUUGAUGUGUAUCUAGUUGGGGCUGCUUCCAUUUUCUAGAAUUUGUUUAAAGAGAUACUGGACAAGUGUAAGAGCUUGAUAGUAGAGAUACUGAGCUGACUGAAGGAGGGAGGUUCAGAUGAUACAGUUCCUUGUUAGAAUUACAAUUUACACCUUGCUUCAUGUGGUCUAGGUUUUCCCAUUCGAUAUGAUUUUGAUUAAAUUAUGCAAUAACUCCCCAUCUCUGACCUAUGCUAAAAAAAUUAUUUCAGUAUCUGAGGUGCCAGGACCUCCAAAAUGCUUCCAAAUUUAUUUCCUUGGCCUUGGGAAAGUGCCUUUUGAUCGUAACCUAGUAAUGGAAUGCUGGGAAGAAUGAAGGUCAUAGUUUUUGUCACCUACAUUUUAAAAAUAUAGUAUCUAAUUUCUAUUUCUUUGGGGGGUAUGGAUUUUUUGGUUGUGAAUUCAGAAUAAUGGACUUCAGUCUGCCUAACUUAGGAAAAGUUAAAGGGGUGAGUCAAUUUCAUUUUUUAGAAAUAUGUGUAGUCAUAGAUGGACACAUAUUUUAUUUUAUUCAUUUAUAUGUGGUUCUGAGGAUCAAACUCAUGUGCUAGGCAAGUGCUCUGCCACUGAGCUCCAACCCCAGUCCUGGUGCGUCAAUUUCUACCAGCAGAGUGCUCAGUGCAUGCCUAUGCGGGCAAACUGUGUGGACAGACAUGUUCUCAAAUAAUCCUCCUUCUCUCUGAUACAAGUGGCUUCAUCCCCCAUGCUAAGAGAGAAAGGCGGAUGAGCACAGGAAUUGAAGUGAGAGAGAGAGAUGCAGUGGAGACAUGUUACAAUAUAUUUAUUAAGUUGUCAUGACAUGUGCCUCAUUGUUUGCCCAAGAGUAAGGUACUCUCAACUGUGUAAUAGAAACAAGAGGCUUGGUUAUGGUAAAAAAUAAACUCUCAAGCAAUAAAAAUGUAUUAAGAUUCAGUGAUUAAGAUUCAUUCUCCACAUGCUUAUUCAAGGGCCCAGGCUGAUGGAAGCUCUGCCAUCUCAAACUGAGUCGUUCAAGGUUACCCUUGGUUCCUCUCCAUCUAUCCUGGUGUUGAGAAGAAGAAAACUGAGUGGAAGCAUCUGUGGAAUGUCCCUAAGGGCUUAAUGUAGAGUCACAUAUGACUGUAUGCAGAUAUCAUUGGCUGAAAUUGUAACUGCAGAGGAUGCAGGAAAAUGUAGUUUAUCUCUGUGUCCAGAAGAAGAAGAAAUGGAUUGAGAUAAGUAUUUGGCAAUCAUACACAGACACACAUUUGUAUAUAUGAUAUACAAUUUAGUAUAUGUAUAUCAUAUGUAAUAAGCAUGGUGUAUGCUCUUGUGUGCACAGCAAGAUUAUAUAUAUAAACAAUAUAUACACACACACAUGGUCACAUAAAUGAAUAAGUAUCUGUUUUAAAUCAGUCCUGAGAUUGAAUGAGUGUUUUCUGUCAACUCCUUCACCUGGUUUAUUUUUGAAUGAUUGAACUCCUUUGCUUUCUCUUUCUGCUCAUGCUUUGGUGUCAGGAUCCGGGUCUUUUAUCAUGAAGCGUAGGUUCAGAGAUGUCUAAGCCUUUGUGUUACUUUUUGUUCUCCAUGAAAUUGUUGGUAUCCCUGUUCUAACAGGUAGAUUCACAGUUCUCCCAGUUUCAUGAGAAGGAUGUCCUUUGUGUUACUUUUUGUCUCCCUAGUGCCCAGAGGGGAGGGCCUCUGAGUAGAGAGAACUAAGGAAAGAGAUCUGGUGAGAGACAGACCUUCAAGGUUAUGUGAAACACAGACAGUUCAGUUAGAGCGGGCAUCGGGACCUCCUCCAUUUGGGGCAGCACAUGUGCAGGGGCCUCUCCCGACUGACCUUAAUUUCACUCCUUGCCUGACCACUACCUACCCCGCACCCCACCACCAAUUCUGUCCUGGAAUCUCUGCUUCCCAUGCCACCUCUUGACUUCUCGUUAAAGCUCCUGCCUUCCUAGAAGCAUGGGGACAAGAUUCUGUAUUCAAAUAGGAGGGGCCGUGGUGUUAAACAGCCUUCGCUUCCUUCUCUUUAUCACUACAUUCUCCUAAGAAAUAAAUCAUAUAAUGCAUGUGAGACAUUUAAUUCUGUGGGUGUGUCAUGUUAAAAACAAAAGCUGUGAUGAUUUUUACUACGAUAACUGAUCCAGUCUGAUGGACUCUAUGUAUUCCAUCACAUUUGAUUCCUAAUGAUCUUGGUUUGGAGGACUGGCCAAGGACUGGCCUUGCUAGCUCUUAGACUGACUGAAAUAGAAAAAAAAAAAAUGCAGAGCUGGAAGGACUGUGAAUCUGCCUGUUAGAACAGGGAUACCAACAAUUUCAUGAGAAGGAUGUUCUUUUUUUCUCCCUCAAGAAUGUGAAAGCAUUCUGUUGUUGGUCAGGGAGUGAUCCCCCCAGACUGUGCUGUUGUGAGGAGACCCUGGCAGUGAGGCCUUGGUGAUGGGCUGUUGUGUGUGCGGAUGUCGGUGAUUAAGUUCUCCCAACUGAUCCUGUUUCUCUUUAGGAACUUCAAACAGAUGAGCCAUUCAGAUCCUCAGCCUGGGAAAGGACAUUAAAUCACAGAUAUUUUGUAUUAUAAACAAAGGAAGAUCAGAAAGGAAUAAAACUAUGUGGUAGUACAAUGGAAUUGUCCCUUUUCUGAGAAAAGAUGAAGUGAGUGAACUGUCCAUCACUGGACUAAGCAAUCAAUCCCAAGACAUGGAACUCCCUCCGGUUCUUUCUCCCGUGAGCACAUCGUAGGUUUUCAUGGGCUAGGAGGGCUCACUCUGUGACAUCCUGGAACACCCAAGCAGGAUGCCUGCCUCUACUUUGUGGUGACCUUAGUCCCUUUCAAUUAGUUGAGGUCUGGAUGACAAAAGGGACUGAGGAUGAGGGUGAGCAGUGCUGGUAUCCCCCAGGUCUCCCUCUCACCUCCAUGGAUUUAUAACUUCAUUGUUUUUCAAGUUUUCAUAUGAACUAGAACUGAGUUGAUAAAGGGGCCUCAGAAGGACCCUUAACUGUGCCAGAUUGAGGUCCCCCCACUUUGGUUUUUUAAUUAAAUUAUUUAUCUUUAUUGGUUCUUUUCAGUAAUAUAUAACAAAAGGAUUCAUUCUGACAUAAUUACAAAAGCAUGGAGUAUAAUUUGUUCUAAUUCAGUGCAGGUGAGAUCCCUUUUUAGGGACUAUUUUCAGUCUUGCGUCAUCUGGGUGGCAUUUUCCCUCCUUUGCAGUUACAGCCUCGGUUGUAUUUGUCCUCUUUCAGACCUUCUGUUUAGACCCUUGACUACCAGAUAGCAAGCUUCAGAAGCCUGGUCCUGUCUUUUCCUGGGGAUUUCUGGUGGCUGGUUCAGAGUGAAACUUAAUAAAUGCAUAUAGGAUUAAUGAAUACUAGAUAGAUAAGUAAGUCACAUGUAAAUUGAUGCUUUUAAGGUCCUAAUAUUUUCUCUAAAUUCUUCUAUAUUUGAAAACUUUGGCCCCUUUUAAUAUCAUUUAUACUUUGUCCUACUAAAAUUUGUGGAAUAAAAGAUCAAUAUCUAGGGCUGGGGAUGUGGCUCAAGCAGUAGCGCGCUCGCCUGGCAUGCGUGCGGCCUGGGUUCGAUCCUUAGCACCACAUACAAACAAAGAUGUUGUGUCUACUGAAAACUAAAAAAUAAAUAUUAAAAAAAAUAAAAUUCUCUCUCUCUCUCUCUCUCUCUCAAAAAAAAAAUAUCAAUAUCUAUCUAGGGUCUUGAUUCUGAAUUAGUGAAAUCUAAAUUACAGUGGCCUUAACCAAUAGUUACUUUGUUAUAAUUGUAUACAGAAUUUAAAAUGUCUAUCUCUGCUUGGGAAUACCAUAAUUUGUUAUAAUUAGUGAAAGUACUAUUGUUUUUAAAAAACUGAAUGAUACACUCAUGUUUCCUAAAGUAAAUUCUCUAGUUUCGUCGUUUCUUGGUGUGUUUCUGUUCUUACCAGCCCAAUGUGUGGGCUGCUAGGACAGCUUUGUAAUUGAAACUUGCAGGGUAAUAGGACUUGUCACCAAUAAGCUCAAGUCCGAACUGCCAUUGUAAUUAGAUUUGUUGGAAGCAUUUAUGAAUGAAAGACUGUGAUUUUCUAGUUGGCAGAGUGGAUAGAAAACUUUCUGUCAAUGAUAACCUGAUCUAGAAUCCAGAUGCCUUUUGACUGAUGGUAAAUGAUAGCUUAAUAUUUCCCACUUCUAAUAAUGUUGACUUAAGUGAUAUAAUGAAAUUAAAUUUCAUUUUUCCUGUCCUUCUCUAUGUGAUAUAGUGGAUCUGAGAUUGACAGUUUUAAUUGUGUUCCUUAUCAGACACUUAAGAACUCUGGUUUUGCAUUGAGGUAGACGAGAUUCCUCAAAUGUCCACUUUCACUGGUCACUUUACCAGGUUGUUAACCUACAUUUCUUUAGAACCUAAAAAUAACAACAACAACAAUUGGCAGGGCAUGAACAUGGAAUUAGCAAUACUGAACCAUUGCUUCUAGAGGAAGAACACAGGUUCCUGUGAGCCUCUGGUCAAAAUAUUUUCAUCAGGAGGUGAACAUGUAGUCUUGUGUGAGUUUUACAUGUAUUUCUGUUUAAAGAUACCUUAUUAUACAUAAACUCAUUAUCAUUGAACUCCAGCACGGUAGUUCAUACCUGAAUGAAGCUAGCCUGAUACACAUAUUUUUAUCUAUAAGACACAUCACAGCCUUUUUGUACCUAGGAACACUGGAUAGCUCUUAAGCGCUGUGCUUGGAGGGGCAUUUAAACCAGGGAAGUCACCAACAGAAAGCACAAAAGUGCAAAGAGUAUGACACUAAGUGGAUCAUGAAAAGGACAACUGCAACACUGAGAAGUGCUGAGUGUCCCAUUGUUUGACCUCAGUUGGGAACACAAAUACUGGUACCAUGCAUUCUGUCCCUCUGUGCAAUUCUGCAAAAGACUGUGAAUGACCAUGGGUAUUGAUUUGGGGGUUGGACGUUUGUUUUAGUGAGAAGGUAGGCCAGCUUGUAAGUGUGGAAUGUAUGGGUAGUUAGAGUGGACUGGAUUAUCACCUGAGAUUUAAGAUGGAGAUAAUGAGACUCAGAUGUUAAGUAAUGCAGUUAAGCAAGCAUCUACUAAGUAUCCAGUGCACAUCAACACCAUUCAUCGUCAUAGAUCAAUGCCCUUAGUUGUUAUUUAGCCUUAAGGAUUUUUUUUCUGUAUUCAUUUAAGUGUUUUCUUUAGAAUGAAUGGCUUACUAUGUUUGUUUAUCGCUUUGUGCUUUCCAACAUUUGUUAGUCUUCUAAAACACAGGGUCAACCUUUAAAACUUUGAAUACGCAUUUGAAAAGUAAACUUGAUAUUGAGUCCUCUUUUGCUUUCCUCUAAGGGAAACUGCUUUGCUGCUAUUGUUGUUGUAUCAGAGCCUCAAAAUUAGAAUGGAUGCAUCUAUUCAAAGGUGUCCCUUCUUUUAAUAGCCAACAACCAAUUGUAGCAUGUGAUUGAAAGGAGAAUGGUUCCAUGAGUUAGAGGGUAGACUGUGAAGUUGCAUGUUCUGAUUCCUCAUCUAUCAGAAGGAGAAAUUUGUAAAGAUUUGUUGGCACAGUUCAUACAAAAGCAUAUAGGAUAGUAGCUGCCACGUGGUAACAACUUAAAAAGAUAUUAGCUGCAUAUUGUUAUAGUACUCUAUUCUACCAAAUUAUUAGCAUAGUUUUUGAAAUACCUCAUCACAUUGCACUUAGUAUGUAAAACUUGGUAUUUAUGCGUAGCUAAGUGUGCAUAUUAUGUAUACAAAAAUUUGAAGUAGGAAACAUCCAUAUUCAAGAAAUUGAAUCUUUUUAUGAGUCUGUUUAUAAACAUUCAAUUCUAUUUUAACAUGAUAUAUGUGUGUUCCAGCAAAAAGGAAAAAAAAAUGCUUAUAGGGAUGCUGUCCAGCAUUUGAAAAUAACUUCAUUUAUAGAGUUGAUACUAUUUUAUGCUUAUGAAUCACGAGCAUUUGUAUGAUCGUGAACCAGAGUAGCGUUUAACAAGCCGUAGCUCUUGGAGAGCAGGGACCAUAUGCUGUACACACUUUUGUCUUUGAAUUGACCUAUAUGUAAUAGGUCAAUGGCUCUAAUGUUGAAUGAAGAAUUACAAAGAGUUUUAUUGUCCUACUUUCCUCUGUUUUUCUGUAAACUUAAUUCUUUUAACAUUUUCUUUCCCCAGCCUCACUGGCAUGGGCCAAUUCUUACAGCCCUGCAGGUUUUCCCAGUGUGCAGCAGUUAUCCAUUCUUGGACUCACAUAACAGAGAAGCUGGCCAGUUGAAUGUAUUCAGUGUGGCUCCUUCUGCAAGUGCUUAUCUUGUUCACUGGUUGCUUUGUAAUUGUUAUUACUUUGAAAAAGUGUUUCUUUUUCAUCUGUACACUCAGUUUAUAUAGGAGAUUUUUUUCCAUUGAAUAUAUUCUUAUCAGGAUGUUUUUCUUCCAUUUCACAAAUAAUGGUAUUAUUAGACAUAGGAUGAAGCUCUCUUGCUGUUGGUGCCAGAGGAAACAAUACAAUAGGCAUGUGCAGUGGAGGGUUUGCUAGAGAGCAGCUAUCUUGUUUUUCUUGCUUGCCUUUAAUCAAUGCUGGUAUUCUCUUAAAACUUUCCUAUCCAUCCUUUGUGGGCACUGUGAAUUUCCUUCCUUUCUUCUUUUUCUUUCUGUGACAGUGUUUCUGUUUCUUUAAUUUAUCAAGGUGUCACACACAGCAGUCUUAUUGUGUUGUGGCUAAAGACGUUUUCCAUUUGCCAAAGAGUCUGUGCUGGGUUUUCUUUCCUUUUGGACUUGGACAUUGCUAGUUGUUUUGUUUUUGGCUUUUGAAUGUGUUUUAGUUCCCAACUUUGUUUUUAUUUUCCUUUUAAAUGGAUCAAGCCCUUCUCCAAAGCAGAAAUAGUGUCUUCCUGUAAUGGAAUUCCCAUCUAUGACAAUCUGCUCUUUAUUGUAACUUUAGACUAUUGCAGCUUUCUUAUAUAUAGGUGUCUGCAGAAUGCUUUUCUCUUUGUUUUGUUUUCUCUUGUAUCUUUUAGACCUGAGAAUUUGGCCAAGGAGCAGGCUUUUGUGAUCAUAAACUACAAAUCUCAGUUUUAUCAUUGUCCACUAAAAAAAAAAAAAUCAUCUUUUUGUUACUUAUUUUGUUAUAAGGGAAAUUGUUUUCCUAGAAGCCACAGGAAGCUUUAGGUAAUGUGUUUCUUUGGGGUUUGGGAAAAUAGCUAGAAUAAAAUUAAAGGGAACAAAUCCCUUAGUAGUUUACAUGUUCCGUUUGUUUUCUUUUAAGACUUAGUGAUGACUUCUACAUUUUUAAAAAAGUUUUUUACAGAAAGAAAUUUAGAGGUUACUAAAGUGAUAAGGGAUGGAAGUAACUUUUGGUUUUAUUUCCCAACAAUAGCAGUCAGAAGCAGCCAGGGAUAUCUAUAUUAUCUUUCUUCCAGAUCUUUCCCCCUUCCCCUUUCUUCCUUCCUCCCUCCCUCCCUUCCUGUCUUUCUUCCAACAGACUCUGCCUGUUUCAUUCCUUCAUUGGAUAUGAUAGCCAUUCUAAUCAUUAUUGUUUGGAGCAAUUAUCUAGUGAGUUAUUUAUAUAUCAGGUGAGUACCAAAGAAAGCUUUUAGAUAGAAUGAGUAACUGGUUCUGUUUCAUAUCUGAGCUUAGAUAAGCUUUGACACUGAUUCAGCCCCAGCAUCCUGCUUGAGACAUAAGCUUGGUGGAGCCUAAUUAAUCCUGUUGGCUUUUGUGAGUGUGCCAGAUCAAAACCCAGUAAGACGCUAAGAAAUAUGAAACAAAUUUCUGGGUUGGUUACUUAACAUGUUGAUUGGUUAUUCCUCUUGUUUCCAUGUUUUCUUUUUAAAAGAAAUGAACCCUGAAAAUAGGACUAGUUUGACCCUAAGGAUGAUGAUCCUGCUUUAAUCGAGUUUACCAUUGAACUCACGUGUAUUUUUCUCAGAUGGUCAACCUUUGUGCCUCUAUUUCCUCUUUUCUCUAACGAGGGCAUUGGUGUCAGAGAUGUCCUUGAGCCCUCACUAAGAUGACUAGGAAGGAGUAUCACACUAUCUUCCCCUUGCCCAUCAGAGGACUCAAUAUCCCUGCCUAUUACAACAUAUCUAUAGUGGUCUUAGGCAGCAUACCCUGAAGGCAGUCUGUGGAACAUAAAUUGGCUUUACUAUAAAGAUCUGUGCUUUAGUAAAUGGAAACCUGCCCAAACUCAAGAAACAGAUUUAGCAAAGUGAUCUAAUCCUUCCUCCAUAAAAACAAAGUGGUGAUAGCUAUUAAGAUACCCACAAAAAUUGUUUGCCACAGAUCAGAAACUGAUAUCUAACUGUAUUUCAAAACAGAAGACUAAGAGGAAAGGAGGAAAUUUCAGAGGAAGAUCUUUAUGGCCAAAGCAACUGACUAAAUCUUGUAGAAGAAAAACUGUUUUGAGUAUUGAGAUCAGUAAUAUUAAAGUCCUGAAUAAUAAUAAAAAAAUAUAUAUAGGAGUUUUCCACAUUGAUAAGGGAGCAUCAAAGAGGUGGUAAAUUUGCAAAGAUCCCCAAGGGCAGCCAGUCUAGUAUUAGAGCAAAGUUGUAAAGAUUUGAAAACUAGAAAAGCAUUUGAUUUGAUCUGUAUUGCAAAUGCCUGUUUAUUUCUCUACUCACAGUCUUUUCAGGGGAGUACCUGGGUCACUGAUCUGUUACUGAUGUGAGAAGAUAAUCAUAAGGGUGAGCACUUUUGUGAAGCUUGUCAGUGGCAGCCACUGGUACAUGUGCUUUGUAAUAAUCACUCAUUUAAUCUCACAACAUCCUUAGAAACUGGGAAAACAUAGAGGCUCAGUGUAUGGGUGUGGAGAGGCAGUUACAUUAAAAAAAUCAGUCCUCAAAUCAUGGUGGGCUAGAACAAGGGUGUAUUUCUUGACCUAGUAGAUGUCUGGGUGGGCUUCUUCAGGGCCCAGGCCAGCCUUCUUGAAUGUUGCUGGUGCUAAUGAGAAACAUGGCGCACCUUGUCCUUGCUCUCAGAGUCUCUGCUCAGACAUUCCAGGUUUCUUCUACUUAUAUUCCAUUGACCAAUACAAGUCACAGGUCAAGCCUGGGUUCAGUGGGGUGGGAAAGCAAAACCUUCCCCCACCUGGCGGCAGUGUGUGUUUGUAAACAUCCGAGCACUCUAACUCAGAGGGGGCCAGUGACCUUCUCAAGGUCAAUGAGCUGGGAAGGGGAGGGCUGGGAUUCUAAGAGACAUUUGUGUUAGCUACAACUCUCUUCUGCCUUUUCAAUUGUCUGAUUCCCAAUGGAAUUAAAAUGGGUUUUGAGAGCUUCCCAUGAAUUCAUUUAGACUUUUUUACUGUCUGUAUUGUUGAACAAUCAUAUGCAAUGUAAAAAUAAUAACCCCAACUGAAAUCACAUUGACAGCAUAGCUUUUGGUUAAGAAUGAGGACUUUGGAGCUAAGGGUGCCAAUGUCUCAAUUGUGACAUCAUCUUUUACCAGCUUUGGGACUCUGGGGAUGAUACUUAUCUCUCUACCUUGUGUUCAUUAUCUGUAAAAUGGGGAUAUUAUAGUUCCUACCUCAAUGUUGAAGUAAGGAUUAAAUGAACCAACUAAUUAUAGUACUAGGAAUAUAACCACUGUGUGAGAAUUCAUUAUUGUUUUGAUUAUUCUUCUCUAUCUUAAAUGUAAACAAAUUGUAUUCAAAGAUUUUUCGAGCCAUCAUCUGCCUCCAGGAAAGAAGGGUGUCUGUCAUCGUUUAGAAAGUAGAUUUUGUUGGCUUUUUGUUUGGAUCCACUCAUUACUUGCCUUUUCUCUGUCCUUUUAAAAUACAAAAGAGACCUUUAUUUCUUUAUUUCUCUCUCACACACAAAUGGUGUCAGCAAAACAGAUGAUAAUUAUAAAUGCUUAGACUUAUUUAUGUAUAAACAGAAAGUUUAUAAUAACCUGUCUUGACAGGAUUAAUUUUCCUUUCUGGUUGUUGUGCUGUUAUUAUUUUGCCAAAACAUUUGCUUAUGUGUGCAUACCAGUUGCUGUCUUGUUUUCUAAAAUAUGUUUUUCUUUUCACCAUUGAGAGUGUCCUCAAUGGUUAUGUAUCUUGGGAACUAUUUCCUUUCCUCUCAGAAUUUUGCCUGUUAUGAUAUAUAGAGGGUGAACCUUUUUAAUUCAGAAAUCUGGAAUGUAAAAUCUUUCAAAAUUUCAAGUCUAGCAGAGCUUGGAUUUUUGGAUUGAGGCUGCUCAACUAGUAAAGUCUAUGCAAAUAUUCUGUGAUCUGAAAAACUCAUAAAUCUGGGGGCUGAGGCUGUGGCUCAGUGGCAGAGCACUGGGUUUGAUUCUCAGUACCACACAUAAAUAAAUGAAUAAAAUAAAGGUCCAUUAACAACUAAAAAAAAAAGACCACUGAUCCUCUAAACCAAGCAUUUUGGAAAUCAUUAUUAAAUGAUUUCAUAGACUAAUAUCUGUUCAUUUCUCAUCUCUUAGAUUUUAAGCUAUGUGUGUUUUUCUUCUUAGUUUCUUUUGCCCUUUAAAAAUUUUAGACAUUGGUCAGGCAUAGUGGAACAUGCCUGUAAUCCUAGUGACUCGGGAGGUUGAGGAAGGAGGAUUACAGGUUCAAGGCCAGCCUCAGAAAUUUAGCAAGAGACCCUAAGCAACUUAGUGAGACCCUGCCUCAAAAUAAAAAAUGGCCUGGGGAUGUGGGUCAGUGGUUGAGCACCACUGGGUUCAAUCCUCGGUGCCAAAAAAGAAAAAAAAUGUGUGUGUGUGUGUGUGUGUGUGUAUUCUCAGUAUUGACUAUUUUUUGUUUUUGUAUAUUUCUCUGUUUCUCUGUUAUAUAUCAGCUCAGAUAUUAAUUAAUUAUGAUGCAUAUUUGGCCACAAUUAUUUACAUUAUUUAAGGAAUACAAGGAAGUGUGAUUUUCUCUUUUAUUAUCUAGUCUUUUAAAACUUUCUGUGUCUUUUGAAAUCCUUCUGUUGGUACUUGGAAUAGUCUUGCUGCACUGGUGGGAAAGACAGGAGCAGCAGGAGAAGCUUCUGAUGUGAAUGUAUCCUGAGAGGCUACCCUCUGGCACUGCUCUACAUACUGUUAGGAACCUGUGCAGAGUCUCUUGGUUGAUCACCUUUUUGUGAGCAUGCUCAGUGUAAGUUAAGUGUGCUCACACUGGAGGCAUCAAGAUCAUUUACAGAAAGCAGCAUGCAGACCAAAUGCCAAUUAAGUGUUCUGGAAGGAAGAAUGAGGAAUGAGCUCAGUAUAACUUUGUAAGUCACAACGACAGUGGAGGGGGUCAAGAUGGUAUGAAGAAAGCAAGAUAAAUCCUCAAUCCUACUUAAAUAUUUUAACAGGAAAUUCCUAGUGGAGCUAAUCCAAUAGAAAUUAUUAUAAAAAUUGAGUUAAAACAUUUUAGAUGUUUAUUUUUGCUACAGGUUCAUGUAAGAAUGAAAAAAAUAUGUAAAAACUUUUUUCCAAAGAAAGGGAAUUAUGAAAAUACAAAUUAAAUUAAAAACCCUCUGGUGGACUCUUACAAUUAUUUCUUCCUCUAGAAGAGUCCUGAUGCAUAAGGAGUAGGAGGAUGUCUACCACACUCCUGCUUGACCAAAGCUGUUCAAUCCAACAUGUGCACUGUGCUCAAACUAUGUCAAACAGGAUCUCACUCUCUAAACAGGAUCUCACUCUCUAAAUGUAUGAUUUGGAAGUGAUGGUAAAAGAAAACAGCAGUCCUCAGGACUCAGCCUAGAACAUCAUAGAAACAUCUAGAAAGGAGGCAUAAAAUUCUUGUUGCAGAAGUCCUCAGAGGUGACCUGGUUCCUGUCUUUCCUAGGAUUUUGGUGGUUUAAUUCCUUCUGAAACAUUUUAACUCAAUCAAUAUAAUGCCUCAUAUUUCCUACUCUAGCCAUGGCAUAUUUCUGGUACUUGAAACCAGGAGAAACCCAACUCACACAGUCCAUAUAGAAAAAUUAGAAAAGAAGAAUAUAACCAGUACAUAAGGUUAAUGGUGAAAAUUAUUUUGAAAUGAAAAUGAGCUUGGUUGGGAUAAGUUAUAGACUAAUAAAAAUCAAGUGGCAGAUGACCAACUAUCAGAAAUUACUAUAAAUACUUUAGACAAGGCUAUUAAGUUGAUUGGUUUAUAAAUAUCAGUAAAUUUAGUGUGUUCCUGAGGGUUAAAUGGCUCAGUUGGUAGAGACCUGAGUUGAUGAGGACCUUGCAUGGGAACCCUCUCUGUGUAGUCCAGUUCCAAGGUCACAGGUCACCUAACUCCUCACUGCCCACAAGUGACCAACAUAUACCCCUGUAGUAUGGCACCCAGAGAAUGUGUAUAUGCAUUUGUAAAUCUUAGCUACUCCAGAAAACAAAUUGAGUGUUCUUUCAAUAAGCUUAUGGUAACAUCAUAUCUUAUGCUGGACAUCAUGGUAGACUUAGUAGGAAGAGUAUGAUAAUGAAAGUACUAAAAUUAUCCCUGUCCAACAUCAUGUGUAUUUGUGGAGGUUUAGCUGUGAAGUGUGUCAUUUUAAUCAUUUUAUAUAGUUAUCUUUCAUUCUCUUGAGAAAUGGCAUUUAAAAGAAGUGAGUUCCUUAGAUAAAACAAGCAAAAAAGAUCUUUGUAGUAAUUAGUUCAUGAUCCCUAUUGUUGUGAAGUUCCCUUUUGGCCAGUUUGUCUAUAAAGACUUCCUUGAUUUUGUGGACAGAAUUUAACACUUCCUUUGCUGCACAUAUAAUGCAUUUUUUGGGGGGACUCACUUCUAUUGUCCCAAGUUAUAUGGAUGCAUAUAUGAGGACAAGCAAAAUUCCCUAAUCUAAAAUGCACUUGGUCCAAGAACUAUUUCAGAUACUGGAAUUUUCCAGAUUUUGGAGUAUGUGCAUAGACUAAUGAUUGAGAGUCUAUAAUCUGAACUGUAUCAUGGUGCUCACAAUGUUUUAGGUUAUGGGUUAUUUGGACUAUGGAUGUUCAGCCUCUAUAUAGAUGGGUUAUAUAUAGACAUACAUAGUUGAUAGAUUUCAUGAUAAAAUAUAUCUGAAUAUAUCUAUUUGCUAGGGCUACCAUAACAAAGUACCCAAACCAGGUUAGUUUAAACAACAAUUUAUUGUCUCGCAGUUCCAGAGGUCAGAAGACCACAAUCAUGGUUUCAGCCAGAUUAGUCCUUCUGAGGGCUUUGAGACUGUCCUAUGCCUCCUGCCUUGCCACUGGUGUGUUGCUGUUGAUCUCUGCUGUUCAUUAGCUAGAAGCAUCACUCUAAUCUCUGUUUUUAUCCUUUCAUGAGGUUCCACUUUUGUGUCUAUCUUUUAAGUUUUCCCUUUUUAUAAGAACUCCAGUCAUAUAGGAUUAGAACCUACUCUAGUAACCUCAUUUAACUUGAUCACAUUAGGAAAGAUUCUCUAUCUCCAAAUAAGGUCACAGUAUGAGAUACUACAGGUUAGGACUUCAACACUUAAUUUGAGGGGGAGGUACACUUAAGCCCAUAACACUUGAGUAUAGACCGAUGUAUUAUUAUGUGUAUUCUGGGAUAGAAUUCUCCCUGGUGUACAAUUGAGCCUUACCUACCCAGGUGUCUUCCACAGAGCCAAGCAAAGUGCCUCCAACACAGUAGGUGGCAUAAAGUUUGUAGAAUGAAUUGUUGGCAUUUAUAACCUGUCAUAAAAGUUGCUGUUUUGUUGCCUAGAAUUCACUCUGGGGUUUUUGGAUCAUUGUACAAAGUACAGAAGUUUUAGUUUAAAAACUGAGAUGUUUUCCCACCAGGGCUUCCUUCAAUGUAUCUUUCGACUUUUUUCUUUUGAGACUCAUUCUCCUCCUUUUUCUGAGUCUAGACAGAUGGCUUGAGUCUCUCCAAAGACACUGUCUUGGGACCUUCAACCAAAUAGAGACAGAAUGAGAUUUCAGGGCCAUUGAUAAUUGAGAGCCAUGGAAAAGUAAAUUAGUUGUCACAUAAGGGCUAUUUUCACAUGUUAGGACAUGGUUAGUGUGUGCUUUCUUUUCUGUAAGAAUUUCCUUUUCAUAUUAAGCUACAUAUAGCCCAUCAGUUUUGCAUGUUACCAAAACUGAUGGAAGGAAAUUGAACAUUAUAGAACCGGAUUUUGUUGAUAAUGUUUUUCUUAAUUGCCAGCCUUAAUACAGACCUAAAUAUCUUUUUGUCAAAGUUGUAAGAAUAAAAGAAGAAAUAUAGAGGAUACAUAAAAAUUAGGGAAUUCCACAUUUCUUUGAAUUGUGGAAACAAAAACCUAGCUUUUUCAAGAGUGAAAAUUAAGAUUGAGAAAUUAAAUGUUAUUCAAUGACUCAUAAAAGUAUAUAUCUCCAAGAAACCUCUUUUGAAGUCUUCGAACUAACUUUCUGCUUUAGAAGUUACUGCAAAAAUUUAGGCUAACAACUGAAGUUAGGGGAGUUUUUUCUCUUAUAUGGAUUUUAGAGACAUGUUAGGUAGGACAGCUUUGGUAUUUCAUUUUGUUCCAAAGAGAGGUGGAGGAGAAAGUGAGUUGCUUUAGUUCAGUAUUAUGUUAAAUCCAGAUUCUUUUGACUUUAUUAAAAAUAUAGGGAUGACAGCACUAUUAUUCUAGUGAAAGCUAACAGUUGUAAGUGUAAAAAAAGAAAAAGAAAACUCAAGACAAGUUCAUUUCUCAUUUCUUUAUUGAUGUUUUUAAUUGACUACCAGGAGUACAUGGAAUGUCUAAAAUAUACAAAAUGCUUCAUUUAUAAGUGUAGUAGCAGGGUUCACAGCUGACUUUUGUGGUCUUAACUAGCACAUUUUAUUAAGCUCUGGGUCAUGGGACUAACUUCUGAUAUCAAAUAAGCACGAAGGCAGCUUGUAAUCUUCCCUUAAGUUUGUGAGACUGUUUUUACUCUGAAGCCUGGUCUUUCAUUUACUGAGGAUGUGUUCAUGCUCAAGACACACAAAGAUCUUAAAGUCCUCAGCCUUUAUGGGCCUGGUAGGGGAGAAAAACAGGUAAGCAGUCAACUGCAGCAUAGUGAGUUGUCUGAAUAAUUGUAUGAAUGAAUCAAUAAAUGAGCAUGUGGGUGUCAUUUGAGGCAUUCUUCUUGAGCGUAGAGGAACAAUUUUGAGAAUACAUAUAUGGGGUAAAGAUUUAGCAAGUUUUUUUUUUUUUUCCCCUGAAAAGCAGGCAGCUAAACAGAGCUUCUGUUUGCUUUUGCUUUUAUAAUUACUGUUGUAUUCUAACACACCAAAUUUUUAAAAAAGUCUCUUGAUUUUUUUGGGGGGUGGGGUGGGGAGUGGGGAGUGGGGAGGAGCAUUCCUUAACCAAACUAACACAAUGUGAUUGAACAACCAUUCUCCCCCAAAGUCAGUAGGAUGUGUGUGACAACUGUUCUGAGUUUCCUGCAGAAUGACUUUUUUUUUAGUUGUUUAUGCACAAAACUGUGCAAAGAUCAAAAAAAAAAUAGAAUGCACUCUCAACUUACUGAUUUUAUGCAUUAGGUAUGCUAAUAGACUCCCUGGAAGCAUGAAAUGAAAAGAGUGAUUUUUGGUGAUUUAAAGUUGUGGGGGCAAUUAAGGAUUGGAAGAAGUUUCUUUCAUUACUCUGUGGCUCUCAAAGUUUAUAUAAAAUCUGCUCUUGCACUGAGUAUCUGAGAGGAUGAAUAAUUAAAUGAUGUUCUUUGGAAAGGCUAAUUAAUUUAGCCAUGACUCAGGGACUGCUGCCACCGGUCUCCCCAUCUGCCUACACGACAGGUGCACCUGGCCCUCGGCAUUGUCAUGGUCCCUGCAGCGGAUGACUCCCCAGGAUGCUUGUGUGUGUGAAGAGAAUGAUCCUGGGCCUCCUCCAGGGAGUGAACCUGUUCUUCCCACACACGUACCAGAUCGCCACCAGGUUCUCUUUCUUGGGGCGCACUAGAAAUGGGAAAGGCUGAUGAUUAAUUGAAACUUUUCUCCAGGAUGUUAGUGUAUGACUCUCUGCCCCAAGGCAUAAAUGGGAGCAAUCUAUCUAAUUCCCUUCUAGGCAUUUGGUGGUAUCUUCAUGGGAAAAAAAUAGGAAGGGAUCUUAAUAAAAAAAAUCUUGCUUCUGAGUUUUAUUUGUAUGUUUCUCUGUGAAGACUAUUAUUAUUGGAGUUCAGUGCCUUAUUCAAAAAUUAUAUUAGUGUUUUUCUCAUCAGUUCACAUUAAAUUGGCCCCAAACAUGUUACAUCCUUGAAGAUCCCAGUCAUUUCUUCAGUUAUUUGUGAUUAUGUCCCUAGCAGUAUAGGCAGUGCUAGUAUAGCAUGGUAGAUACAGAGGUCCAAGUUCUAACAAAUAGGAUUUGAAUUAAAUGUAUAUUCAUUGGGCUGGGGAUAUAGCUCAACUAGUACAGUGCUUGCCUAGCAUGCAUAAGGCCCUGGGUUCAAUCCCCAGCACCACCAAAAAUUAAUAAAUAAAUAAAUGAAUAUGUACUCAUGCCAUUCUACAAAUUUGGAAAAAAAAAUAGUGGUGAUAUUUUAACUUUUCAGCAAUGGAUUGAUAGGCAUGUUUUCCAGUCUACAUGUGCAGCUUCAUUUUCCCCAUGGAAGACAGAUAUUUAUUUUUAUUAAUAUUAAUUAUUUAUUCUAAUUUGUUAUAAAUGACAGCAAAAUGCAUUUCAAUUCAUAGUACACAGAUGGAGCUCAAUUUUUCAUUUCUCUGUUUGUACACAAUAGUUAAAUUAUGGAACCAACCUAGAUGCCCUUCAAUAGAUGAAUAGAUAAAGAAACUGUGGUAUAUAUACAUAAUGAAUAUUACUCAGCAUAAAAGAGAAUAAAAUCAUGGCAUUUGCAGGUAAAUAGAAAGUGUUGGAUAAUAUAAUGCUAAGUAAAAAGAGGUAGUUUUACACAUUAAUAAUAUUCAAACUGUGGCUUGGAGGCCUCCUGGAGACCUAUGACCUUUCAGUAGAUCUAUAAUGUCAAAAUUAUUUUUAUAAGAAUACUAAGAUGUUAUUUGCCUUUUGAACUCUCAUUCUCUCAAAAGCAUACAGUGGCUAUCUCACAUGUGACAUGGGAGCAUAUUGACUAUAGAAGCAUAUGUGAGAGAAUCCAGAUGUCUCAUUUUUGUUAGCCAGAUGUUUGUGAAAGUAUAAAACAGUGCCACCCAUUUUACUGUAGUUUGUUUAGAAAUCUGUAGUCCUAUUUCAUAAUUAUAUGUGUGUGUUAACCUGUAAUAGAAUUGCUAUUGUUAUGUGAAGUAAAUUAAUACAUACUUUUGGAGCUUCAGUUUGAAUUGUGAAUAUAGAAAGGCUGAUACAUAAUACUUAUUUUAAGAACAAAAGUUCUUUGGGAUCUUCAGUGAUUUUUUUGCAGAGCAUAAAAGUGGUACUGAAUCCAAAAAGUUUGAGAAGCAUUGUUGAAUAUUAUGAAGUUUAUAAUUCUGGCCUCAAGAAUAUUUCAUGUAACUUAUUUAGCCUAGUGCCUAACAUUGCAACUCUUAUUAUUCUCUUUAUAUUUGGAAAAGUUGGGUGAAUGUCUAUCAAAGAAGUGACCUGGAAUAAAAUGCUGUGGCACAUUUGGAGUUGAACAUGAACUCAACAACAUUGUAUUCAAAAGACCUAAGAAAUUAGAGAAUAACAUAAAAUAUGUAAUAGUUAUCGGCGGAUACAAUAUCUUUGUUUUGUAUGUGGUGCUGAGGAUCGAACCCGGGCCGCACGCAUGCCAGGCGAGCGCGCUACCACUUGAGCCACAUCCCCAGCCCCUGUAAUAGAGAUCUUUAUAAUGAAAAUAUUUAUGAGAACAGACCAGUUUUAUAUUAUUUGUUGCUGAAAAGUAUGAACUUGAAAACAAAAACUUUUAGAAAUAGCUGAAGAUAUCGUUCUAUAAAAAUAUAUCUUUCUAUUAAAGGAACUUUAAUUUCAAUCUUUUGGUAAAAAUGGUCACUUAACAUUUAUUUUUAAAUGCAACUGUGAGUAUGAAGGACCUGUGUCUAUGUGCUUAUAACAUCUCCUACAUGCUGUCUAUAGGGCUUGACCUCUCUGAAUUGGCAGCUGUCAUAUGCUUCUUGAGCCUCCAUCAGGCUUAGAAUAAAUGCACACUAGUGUUUUCUGAAUGGAUUAGAAUAUUCAUUAUGAUUGGAUUGUAUACUUUCAUUUGCUGAAAUAUUCUAAGUAAAUUAAAAUAGACAUAGAUGUGCAUAUUAGAUGACACAGAUAUUACUAAAUUUUAAAUUUUGAAAAUAGGAACUUGAACUAAAACUAACAUGAGCUUAGAUUUUUAGGGGGAAGGGAGAGUAUUUUAUAGGAUUCCUUAAUACUACAAUAUCUUUACCACAGUGAAGGAAACUCACUUUAAAUUUGCAAGAUUCAUUCUUUUUUUUUUAUACAUAUGUGAACACACUUAGGUGUUACACUCUGUUUUUCUAGAAAAUUCAAGCAGAGUUCAUACCCAUUACCUGACCUGGCACGUUAAUAGAAACACAGAGUUCAUAACACAUUAAUUGCUUGUUUUCUGGGAGGUACAGUUGUCUCUUCAGAUUAUCACCUUGCAUUUGGCAUCCUGUAGAGCAGUUUGGGGCGAUGAGACUUAACAUGAAUAGAGUUCUUCACAUUUCCACCAGGUGCCCUAACUGCUCUGCAGGGCAUUCCCACAGGGGUACCGUCUGCCUGGGGAGAGCAGGGUGCAUGGCAGCUCCGCUGUCUCCAUUUAGCAUGACUGGGGAUCCUAGGCUGCAUGUAGAGUGACCAGAGAACUUUGAUCUGUCUCUAGACAGGCUGGCCUUUUACUCUCAUGCAACAGAUGGCUCUGUAGCACGCUGCAGUCUACGGUCUCCACACAUCGCAAGAUGAAUAUAUUCCCCCUUGUGAGACCUUGUCCUUGGGGAAUAUUUUCCAACCAUGCAUGUCUUGCAGGUAUUUUCUGGAUUUGAAAGUAUGCCAACAUCCUCUUGGAUUCUUGCAGAUGUGUCCGUGGUAUUCUGAUAUCUAUGUUUCAUGUCAAAAAACAAUUGUUAUAUCUUUAGUUGAGAAAGUCUAGAGUUAUAGUGAAGGAAUUAGAAGCCAGUUGAUAAAACUGAGACUGAUUCUCCAUUUGGGUAUAAAUUAGAUGAGAAGAAGGACUCUGUUUCAUUUUUCUCAGAAAGAAAAAAAAAAUCUUUUUGCCUUUAACUGAAGGAAGUAAAUGUUGUGGCCUCUUUUAUUGCAUAUAUAUUUAUUAUAUUCUUCUUUAUCCAUAUUCUGUAAAUAAGGAUCCACAGCUUUUGAUAAAAUAUCCCUGGGCAUUUGUUUUGUAAUCACAAAGUCAAUACCCACUUCCUAAUGAGCUACUGGCUUUGCCACAGACACAAAACAGUAAUGCACAGUUGUUCCCAGCAGAUGAACUGGCACAAGGGCCUUGGUUUAUGUGAGUGUAUUUGAUUUGCUUUGGGUAGCUUGCAAGUCAAGUAUUCUUUAUAUUUUUACACAAAGCUGUUUGUAAGAACUUUCAAUUUGCAUGAAAAAGAUGCUAGUCCCAAUUGGUUUCACACAUAUUGGGACCAUGGAGGUUUGAAGAUAGGGUUUGCCAGGGACUAAACCCAAAGGCGGAUGAGAUUACCAUAAAAAAAAAAGACAAAGCCAUUUAUUUUUGAUAGUUUAAGUUGAUAAUUUGAUCGCAGACUUGUUAACCUCUAGAAAUCCUGAGUAUUUUAUUAUUGAUGCUUUCUCCUAUUUGGCAGCUUAUCACUUUCUUAAUUUUAAAAGAAUAACAACUUUUUUCAUAUAGAAAUGAAAUGGAAAUACUACUAAAACCCGAUAUGAAAUGCACACUUGGAAGACUAAGGACCUGAAAUAUCUAGAAUAUAAAAAUUAUUGAACCUUAAAGAAUCCUUUAUAUUGUUUUUUCUCUCUAAAACCCUAUUUUUAAAGGGAAUGUCAUUCAGAAGCUGUAUUCAUAAAAUAGCAGAGUUGGAGUGUUCUUGCUGUGGGAGACUGAGCUUCCCUUGCUGUGCCUACUUACCUCAUAAGGACCUUGAACUAUUGGAACCAUGAAGGUCCCUACUCCAUGACAUUGUAUGUUGUAUUUCUGCAUAAGUGAUUUAAAACAAGUUUAGAGCAUAGUCCUAAAGAGACAUUUGCAUUUACUCUUCUUGCAAAUUCUUCCCCUUCAACACCUAGCUACUCUGAGUUGCGGUAUCUCUGAAUUGUCUACACUGGAACCAUUUUCUCACUUUUUGAUGAGGAGGGCUGGGGAGCAGGGUUGGGGUUAGGGUUGUUUUCCUGUGGUCCAGGUUACUCUGAAACUUCCCCUGUUUCUCUCAGCCUGUGUCUCUGUGUGCUUAAGUUAAAACUGAAGUUGGUGCUUCUAGUUUCUACAUAAUUUACUAUUUCACCAAAUCACAUGGCUAAUGUGCAUCCGUUUAGAGAUGGCCCUGUCAUGGUAGGUAGUUUAUUCACUCUUCACUGAAUGCCUGAAAAUAUAAUAUAUGGGCAGUCCACAAAAUUUCAUGAUAUAUUACUACUGUCCUUUUAAAAUGCUAUGUGAUUGUUGAAACCAUUGAAGUUUUCCUUCAAAUUGAAUUUAAUAAGAUUACAUAAAUGUCUGUACAGUGUGACAACCUCUAAUAGUUGUUAUGAAGGCCACCUCUUUUGGACAUAAAAGAGUGAUGUUCCUAACCUUUAUACAGAAUUAAGACUCUCAUUUAGUAGGAUGAUGGUGAUAAGAUAGACUCUUGGUCUGUUCCUAGAAGUGUCUCUUUUAUGUUAAACCACUCUUGUGAAAAAUUAACACGCUAUUAGCAUGUAUAUUAAAGCACCCUCUGAGGAUUCAGCAAUCAAGAAUGAUGACUUAAGGCAAUUUUCCAGAACAUUCCUCCAUUCCUGAUUAUGUAUCUGUCUUUUAGUUGAUGUUCUCAAAGUGUGGGUCCUGGGACCCUGAGUGUCCCCAAGACCCUUUGAAUGGAUCUACAAGGUCAAACUAUUUUUAUAGUAACUCUAAAGUGAUAUUGCCUUUUUCAUUCACCUUCUUGCAUGUGUGGGGCUUUCUAAAGAAGCUACUUAAAAAAUUCUAAAGCAGUGUUAUUCUUGGGAAAUUUAUUUUGCUUUGGAAUAUAGUUUUUUUUGGGGUUUUUUUCCCCACUAUAAAGCUGUUUGUUUAUAUUAGUAUGGGCUUGUUUAUUUUUUGUAAUUAAUAUUUUAGAGAAUUAUCAGUUUUCACUUUUGUGUGGUUCAUAUCAAACGACAUAAUCCAUAUGAACAAAAGGUUUUGACACAGGUAUUGGAAUACUGCUCUACAUGUUCCUUAUUCAGGGUCUUAUGUAGGAAUUUACUUUGUUGAGGCUUACUUGACUACUUACCUGGUGGCCUAUGAAAGGUAUGCUUUUUGUAACUUCAGACUUUAUUUUAAAAGGCUUUUGUUCCACUCCACUGGAAGGUGGGAAUCAUUGUGUGUGGGCAUGGACCUGGGAAUUAUGCCAUGUAAGUGCAAAGUAGUCAUAGAAUCUAAUACCAGGUAGGCUGGUAUUAGAUUCUGUGACUAAUGUAUCAUUUAGCCAGUCACAGGUUGUUAUUUUGUGAUAUUAACUUCACCACAAUCGACAGGAACAUGGACAUGUUCACUAUGUUUAGAUUUCUUAAUUUUUAAGUGCACUUAACUGUGUACUUAUGCUUUUCUUAUUUUUGUGUAUAUUUAUUGCCCUCCUAUUUCUAUAUCGAUUGUUUUAGAAAGUUAUAUUGUCUUCCUAUCAUGAAAGGUCAGGAUUUAGUGUUCCAAUGCCUCUUGUCUUUCCACAUUUCCCCUUCUCUACAAUUUUUUCAUUAGAAGAUUAAUUGAUUUACUGCAUUAUAAACAUCAAGUAAUGUAAAUGCCACUUAUGGAUAUGUCUUAAUUCUAGCAUUGCAAAUCUCGAGUAACACUGAUUUUUCCUAAAAUACAUAUUUGCUACUACCUGAGUUGGCCUAGGUUUCUGUGUUUUAAUAUCUGAUUCUUAACCAAUUCUGCAUUAAAACUCAAACUCUUGGGACUAGGGACUUGGCUCAGGGGUAGACUACUUGUGUAGCAUGUUUUGCAUAUACAAGGACCAGGUUCAACCCCCAGCACAACUUAUUUAUCAAGGAUUUCUCCUGAAAUCUUUUGAACACUGUCAAUAUGUGAAACUAUUUGAGUGAUAUUUCAUCCCUCAGUCUGCCCUCUGCACAGGAUCAGUUCCAUGCAAAACACAGAGGAAAUAAGUAAGUAAAUAAAUAAGUAAAUAAAAUAAAACUCAAACUCUUCUCAAUGUUUACAAGCACCUAGGUAUUUUUUUUUUUUUUUUUGGAUCCAUCUUUGCUUCUUUUCAUGGAGUCAUUCUUCUGAGCUUUCCAUCCUCUUGCUGAAGUCAGGUUGGGUGAUUCUCUGAAUUCCUGCGUAGAGACUUCUUUUUAAAUACAACAACAACAAAGACAAUAAAAGUGGAUUCCUUUUUCUCCUCUUCUGUGUGGGAUUCCUUUUUUCCUAUAGUCAUAUCUUACUCUUUAUUUGCUUUGGCAGAGUAAAAGAAUGUAUAGAUGUGGGUGGUGCACAUUUUGACACUGUAGUCAUAUUAAGCCCUCUACUUCAUGUAUGUGGUAUCUAUUUCUAUUUAUUGGUCUCUUUUCAGUGUUCUUAACAGUGUUCUGUAGUUUACAAUAUGGCAGUCUGGCAAGUGUUGGUAAGUGUAUUUUCUAGGUAUUUUGUUUUUCACAAUAUUAUAAAUUGAUGCUCCUAAAAUUUUAUUUUCCAAUUGAUUGGUGCUAUGAUAGAAAAAAUAUAGUUUUUAAAAAUAAUUCUGUGACUUUACUAAAUUCACAUAUCAGUUGUAUAAUUGUUUUAAAAAUCACUUAAAUAUUUUAUAUAGGAAAUUGUCAUGUGUGCAUAGAGCAGUUUUACCUCUUACAUUUUGAUAUUCAUGUCUUUUUUCUUGUCUUAUCAGAUGGGAUAGAAAUUCUGUGUAUAUUUUCAGAAGCAGAAUACAUAUGCUUUUAGGCACUUGCUCAUGUUUGUGAUAACUCCAUGUAUUUUGAUUAGCAGUAGAUUAUUCCUUCUCAGUGCUUUAUACUAUUCCCUUGUAUGACUGUGCUAAUUUAUUUAUCUACUCUGAUGUCAAUGGGUGUAUGCAUUCUCAGGUUAAGGCUGUUACAAGCAGUGUUUCUAUGAGCAUUCUAGUCUGUGGCUUUGAGUGAACAUGUAUUUGCAUUUCUGCUGGGUUUGCAUUCCAAAGUAGACUUGCUGUGUCAUUCACCAUGGGUGUAUUCUCUUAAAAUACUUACAAAAUGUUUUAUCAUUACUAUUCUUCUAUUGCAUUUUUAAUGAUUUCCUGGGAAAGAGGAGAUGAAUGCGUGAGUUUAAUUUUCAUAUCAAAUUAAACAUUAGGCGUAUGCAUCCCUUCCAACUUCUGCUCCUUGUAUUUGUCCUUUAAACUACUCAUCAGGACUUGAGUCAGAACACACAUGGACUCUACUUUGUUUGUAACCAGAAGGGGACUAUGACUUUCAUUUCUUUAUUCUUUUCUUGUCUAGUUUAUUGCCCUUUCUCACGGGGACAAGGAACCCACAGGUCUUGCCCCAGGAUCCCAAACUUGUAACUCGGGAACAUCUCCAGUUUCUUGUUUCCUUUGGUCAAGUUCCUACUGGAAGCUUGCUUGGCCUUAACACAACUAAGGCACAUGCUCUUUUGGCAGUCGGAGGUGUUUCAAAAACCAAGGCAAUUAGGACAGAAGAAAUCCUUUCACCCCUCUGGGACUCCAGCAGCCUCCUCUGUGUUUUGCAUGGAACUGAUCCUGUGCAGAGGGCAGAUUAAGGGAUGAAAUGUCACUCAAAUAGUUUCACAUAUUGACAGUGUUCAAAGGAUUUCAGGAGAAAUCCUUGAUAAAACUAAGAUUUGGGGAUUUCCAGAAGAAGCCGCCUCUAUGUUAACCACUAUUUAAGAAGAACCCCCCCUCCCCAGUUCAGGUAUCUAAACUCAGAAUUUCAAUUAUAAGGAAUAUAAAAUGAACCCCACUGUUAAACUGAGAAUAUUAAAAUUACUUGAUUUUUAAGUCUACAUUUUUCAUGUUUCCUAGACCCUGAAGAAUGAUUUAUUUAGGCUUUUAAGUAAGGAAAUCUAAACCUUUAUCCUAAAACUACUACAUGACAGAUAGGGCUUCAGGUUUUUUUACACAGCCUCUGUUACCCUCAGUUUACUCUUUUAUAAAACGGGGCUAAUGGAAUGUAGGUUAGUUGUCAGGCUCAUAUGAGAUCAGGUAAAAUGCCCAACAUAGAGAGUGUUACAUAGCAAGCCUCUGUAACAGAUGGUUUCCUAUUAUUAUUUUAAGAACACUGUAAAGUUAUGUUUUCUUUGCUUUUUAAAAUGUGAUAUUGGUGUAGAAUAACAAAACAAAGAUGAUUAAAAACAUAUAAGCAAAGUUGACACAGGAAGAACAAUUGAAGAAUUUCAGCCUUGGGAAAUGUAUGUAUAAAGGAUAUAUGCUAAUUAACUUAAAGCAGAGCUUUUAUUCAGUAUUCAACCUUAAUAUGGUUAUUACAAAUCUAAGGCAAAAAAAAAAAAUCUCUCUCUCAUAACACUGAAUGAAAGUAAAGCACUAAUGGCCAAUUGCUUUAAAUAUUUAUAGAAAGUAUCAUGGAGGAUGUAAGGGACAGGAAGGAGGGAGUUCCUCUGGGGAUCUCCAAGGAAUGCUUCACAGCCACUCUGGAAUCGCCUCUACCCUGGGAAUGGUCAACUCAUUUUGUACUUUUGUUUCUCCAGGGAGAAGUUGGCUGUGGCCCGACUACAGCGAGAAGUUGCCCAGAGAACAAGCCAGGGGGCCAUGGUGAGUCCUGACUGGUCUGAACCUCUUGUUCAGAGGUCUCUGGCUUCAAGGUCAUUUUGUCCUUUUAAAGAUACUAAGCAAAAUAUUUGUUGCAGCAAACUUAAUGACUCUUUGGUAAAUUAUACAUUUAUAGUGCAGUUUAGGCUGUUCUAUCAUUUGCAGAGAAAAAGAGAUUAAUUGACAGGAAAACUACUUGGGCUUUGAAAAAAAUGUUCAAAUAUUCAAAGGCUUGUAAUGCUUUAUUUCGAAAAGCUCCACUGGCUGCCCAGGCUUCCAGCUGUGAGCACAAGGUCCAUAAAUGAGUAAUCUUAGAUUUUCAGAUAAGGAUGUUUAACAUAAUUCAACCCUCUUAGUUCUCUGACCUUAAACAAAUAACUGAAAAAAGCACCAAGAUGCUUGCUAAUGUAAUUGUCUUUUAUUCUAUUCCUUCUCUCCACUAUUUGCAAUACAUUUCUCCCUGUCGUUUUCAGCUUGUGCCAUUUAGAAAAGGGAUGUUUCCUUGUGGUUUGAAUUGUACUAAAAAUCAAUGUGGUUGUUUUGGUCCCUAGCAACUUCAUUUUAUAGACUGUCUUUGCCAAAAUAUUUGCCCAGGUGACACUAUAAUAUCCGAGACGACUGUCUCCAGUACCCAGGGAAUGCAUGUGUGUAGAUUAACUGCUAUUGCUACCUCUGAGAAGAAAAUAUGACACCAAACUUAUUUUUCCCCACUUAUGACAAAGCAGUGGUAUGUGUGUAAUUUUUCAGCUGAAGAUUUUUUUUUUUUUUUUUUAAAGAGAACGGACACAUUUUCAGCCCCUGAAAGGCUGUUUCCAUUUGAUUUGUAGGGGUAAAUUGAUAAUGCAUCCACUGAAAGAGUAAGAAGUUUGUGAAAUAUACUGUCCUCUCACUUCUCCCAAGAUUGGAGUGAGAGGCUGAAUGCUAAGUGGAUUCUGUAAGGUAUAGUGGCCUGAGAACUUGCCCAAAUCUUAGGGAAGGUGAUUACAUUGCUUGUUUUGCUAUUGAUCAUAAUGCAAAAAGAAUCUUGAAUGUUCAGGCAAUUUGAAGCAGCUACUCAAAACAUCGUUGAGCAAUGAAAUGGAAAAAUAAGUUGGAAAAAAUAAAGAUCUAGCUGAAUGGUGAACUGAACAUUUCCAAUCUAGAGUUCUGUCUGCAUUUAGAAAUGUUGAUAGGCAAGGCCGAUCUGUUAAUACUUUAGUCCUCUGGGAUGAGCUCCUGCUUACCACUUCAUCAGCUAUGCUUGAAUUGAAUUGAGGAGGUGCCUUUCCUAGGUCUCGGUUUUCUCAUCUUGAAAAUGAGGAGGUUGAAAUUUUAUGAUUCCCUUAGCUCAGUGGAUCAUGCUGCCAAACAUUUGCCCAUGUAAAGGUUUUAUGAUGUGCAGCUUUUUUUUAUGGUAAUAACUAAAUAUUAUUGAAGCUCAGAAAAGCAAAGACCUUGGAACAAUGAAGUUUCACUCUUUCUGACUCUGAUGUUGAAUGUGCCUGAUUUGAAAUGAUUGCAGAUGGAUAAAUGUCUACUCUUGUACAAAAACAAAACCUUCUUUUAAAACACGAUAGAAGUAAUGGUUCAGUGUGAAAACAAAAGCAAAACCAGAAAAUCUAUAUACAGAUAGAAAGCAGCUGACUUUGUAGAAGUUACAAGUUACCCAUGUUCUCUUACUGUAUUUUAAUGAUGUUACUGAAAAUGACAAUUUUAUACUGAUAUAUUGGAAAAAUAAUUAUUGAGCAGCUACUAUAUGCCUGGUACUAUCAAAAACAGUAGUGAUUAAAACAGGCAAAAAUCUGGUUAUUAUAGUGCAGUGGUUGGGUAAACAGAUAUCCAAUAUGAUUAAAAUGUUAGCUGGUGGAAGGAGGUAUGAGAAAAUAAAACAGCAAAAUGGGAGAUCUGGGGGUCUAGGGGCUUACCAUUUUAAGUAGAAUAUGCAUAGUGAUGAAUCACUGAAAAGUUAAUAUUUGAGCAAAUCUUGAAGAGGAAGUGGAGUUUUCCCCCAGGUAUAUCUGGAGGAGGGCAGGAUAUCCAGGCAGGCAGCUUAGUUAAUACAAAGGUGGGCCAGAGCCCAGGGAACUGUGUGGGCAAGGUUGGCUGCAAGGGAUUCCAAGAGAGGGGAAAUUGGAGGAGAAAGUCAGAAGAGAUGGGAGCAGAGGAGUCAGCCCCUCAGGUCCCCCUGAAUCACUGGUGCAUGCUUUCUGUGAAAGGAAUCAUUGGGAAACUAGGGACAAGGCAGUGACAUGUUAUGGAUCAAUGCCAUUCAUGUCCCUGUCAUUUCCCAUUCCAUCAUUAAUUAUACCUCAGUUCUUUUGAGACACCAUCAUCUCUAACUUUCAUUACUUUUAUUUUCUACUCCUCUCUCAUUUUUCUUUUUUUCCUUAUAUAGACAAUCAUUUGAAUUUUGUAAUUUAAUUUUAUGUUUCAGCUUUUCUGCUCCUGCAAUUCUUGAUUUCUAAAGUCUUCGUUCUUUAAGUAUCUGAGAGCUCCUAAAACAAGGAAGUUCUGUUAAAAUCCUUUAAAUUUAAUUCUUGCUGCUAGAAAUUUUUCUGUGGAACUUCUGUUUCAUCUUUAGCAGAAGUGGAGAGUUUGCCUCAACCAGAUUACCUUAUGCUUUCAAAAACCACUGUUCCCCAUUUUCUGUUUUUCCACAUGAAAGAAAAAAUGGGAUGGGAAAAAAUAUGUAAAAGGUUUACUUAAAAAGCCAUAUGAAUGAAUUGAGGCAGAUAUUUAUUUUUAGAAGUCAUCAAUAAAUUUGUUAUAAUCAAAGUCCUUAAUGCAAAAUGUGCUCUUUUUAAAAUUUGCUUUUAUGUAAUAGAUCUCAUCACUUAUAUGUUUUCAGACUGUUCCAAGGCACCAUUUUGAGAAAUUAAUGUUUUAAUAAUUUCUUUAUUUAGAAUAAUUUUAGAUUUACAGAGCAUUGUGAACUUGCCUAUUGUUUGCCUUAACAUUAACACCAUACAUAACUGUGGGAUAAAUGUCAACAUGGUGAUGAAUAUUGGUAUAUUAUUAUUAAACAAAAUCUCUAUUAGAGUUUCACCAGUUUUCCUACCUUGUCAGGGUUUUUAGCCCCCCAUUCCCUCCUGACCUGUGGGAAAGAUUGGGGGAGCACGCUCUGACCAGGACAGGCCAUGAAAGGUAAAGGUCGACUGGCUGCCUGCACUCAGUCCUCCCCCCCUGGAGGACAAGCAGAAGUGCCAGGGAGAACUGUCAAAGCAGGAUCUCGUUUAAUGAGAAAACAUACACAGCUAAUAUAAUGUACAGGAGCCAAUCAGGAUAAAGGUCAGCAGGGUGCGGAGAAUUUACAUCUACACCCAUCCUACAGGCAGUAAUGUCUGUGGGGGCAGAAGGGUUCUGAGCCUAUCCUAGAGGUGGGCCGAUUCUUCAUCACAACCCAUGGCAAUGCCUUCUGGCUAAUCGCUAGGUGCUCUCUUAGCCACACGUGGCCCCAGGACUGGGAAGCGGGUAGCAGCCAGCAAGUUAAGUUUCCUCUUUUCUGAUGCAACAUGCCCCACUUUACAUCAUGCCCUACACCACCUAUGUCCCCUUUUCUGAUCAGGGAUACCACCCUGGAUUACACAUUGCAUGUAGAAAGGAUUGUUUUUAGUGGCUAGCUGAACACAUAUGUGGAAUUAAAACCAGAGCUUGGGGUGAGGCAGGUCUGGAUUCAGUGUACAUCUCCACUGGUGGUUAAUGAUAUUACCUUGGAUACAUUGCUACUUUUUAUCAGUUCUGUUUGUGAUUCUGUUCGACUAUCUCAGAUAUUAAUUUUAGGAUACUUUCAGCAUAUUGAAUGCUUUAUUUAUUUUUUUUCCUUCAUUCUCACUUUCAAGAAAUAACUCUCACCAGUAUUUUUCAUACUUUGGUUAUUUUGCAUUAACUCUCUAAGAUCCUUCAUCUUCCUUCUGUGAGAUUAUUCCAUUUUGUGGUCCAUUCCACGGGCUCAGUGUACUACAAGUUCUGUUCUGUCUUUAAACUUCCAUGUCAUCUUAACUUUUUUAUGGAUAAAAAAAUAUUCAUUUCACCUGUUAUGUUUGGAUAUGAGUUGUCCCCCCCAAACUCAUGUGUGUGUGUGCAAUUCAAGAAAGUGUAGAGGAAAAAUGCACUAAUCAGUGCAUUAAUCCCCUGAUAGAGAUUAACUGGGUGUAGGCAUGUAGGGUGUGGCUGGAAGAAGUGGGUUCCUGAGGGGGUAUACCUUUGGGGUUUACUUUUUGUCCCUGGUGAGCAAGUUUUCCCUUGUCUUCCUGAUGCCAAAUCUUGAGCUGAUUUCCUCCACCACACCCUCCCACCAUAAUGUUCUGCCUGGCUGGAGCAAUGGAAUUGCCAUCUAUGGACCAAGAACUCUAAACUGUAAACCAAACAAACUUUUCCUCCUCUCCUUGUUCUUGACAGACAUUUUGGUCACAUCAAUGAAAAAGCUGAUUAAAACACCACCCCAAGCGUAUCAAUUCAUUCAUUCUCACUAUCUUUUAUAUUAUAUUUUUUAUAUUUUAUAUUAUAUUUUUAUAUCUUUUAUGUUUAUAAUUUUGGGUUUUUUUUUCUAUGUAAAUCUUCACAAAUUCUAGGUAGUAAUGCUUGGCAUGAUGUAAGGAUCGGAAAGAUUUUUUUUUUUUUUACCAAACUGAUAAUUAAUUUUCUAGCAUCAUUACUGAACAAUGUAACCUUUACUAUCUUUAACCUUAUCUAGUAUUCCCAAAGUUAAUAUUAACCGAGGUCAGCAAUGGGAAUGCUGAUAUUUUUCCAUUUAAAGUACUGUUAUACAAACUGGUCUCCAAAAAAUAAAUAAAUAAAAGAAUAUCCCCUACUCACUUUUUAAAAAUAAAGUCAUUACAGAAAAAAAUUUCAGGUUAUGUAAAACAUUCCCAUGUACCCCAUAUCCUGUUUCCCCUAUUAAGAUCUUACAUUAGUACACUAGUACGUUUGUCACGAUUAAUGAGCCAAUGUGAUAUGUUGUGUUAAUAAACUACAUAUUUCACCAGAUUUCCAUCAUUCUAAUGUCCUUUUUUUGUUGUUGUUGUUUCAGGGUCUCAAUCAAUGAUGUAUGUAACAUUUAUUUUUGUGUCUCCUUAAGCUUCUUUAGUUUUCAACAAUUUCUCAGAUUUUCUUUGUUUUGGAUGACCUUGAUAGUUUUAAGAAUAAUGGUUAGGGUUUUUUGUUUUGUUUUGUUUUGUUUUUGGCAUUUGUCUCACUGGCAUUUAUCAGAUGUUUUUCUCAUGAUUUGGUUUGUAUUUCAGCAAAGUAGUUCACAUGUUAAAAUACCCUUUUUAGUCACAUCAUAUCCAGAGUAUACACUGUCAUCAUGACAUUUCAUUGUUAACAUGAAUGUUGGUCUGGUGGGUGAGGUAGGUUUUGUUGAAUUUCCCUACUAUAUAGUUACUUUUCCACCGUUUUCUAUCUUGUACUCUUUGAAACCAACUCACCAUGUGUAGCCCACACAUAGGAGUGGAGAGUGAUCCUACCUUCUCGAGGGUAAUAGCUACAUAAGUUCUUUUGAAUUCUUUCAUGGUACAUUUCUCUUCUUCCCCAUGACUUUAUUUGUUCCCUUGCUUAUUUAUACAUUCAUGAAUGCAUUGAUGUUUGUUUUAUACUUUGGGUUAUGAACAAAUACCAUUUUAUUUAUUUUUUAACGGAAAUGAUUCCAACUUUGACUAUUAUGAGCAUUUUUAUUGGCUUCUUGAGUCAGUCUCUCUGACAGAUUCCCAUCAUUGUGUUUACUUUUUUUUUAAAAAAAAAUUCUUCUUAACACUCUCUUUCUAUAAUUACAAGAUUCUGUAAGCUCACUUUGUAUGCUUCAUGCCCCUGUCAUAGAAUCAGUAUUUCUCCAAGGAAAUCUGGCUCCUUUUAAUGGACAAGUGAAUUUGAAAACAUGAAUAAUGAGUGUCAACUCACAUAUUUUAUAAAGCUUAUGUAAGGUAGUUUUUAUUCCAGGGUUGUAAUGUCUGCUUAACACCAGAAAUAUCAUCAACACAAUUGGCAAAAAUAAUAGAUGAAGAGGCAAAAUACAAUUCCAGUAGUCUCGGGGGAAAAAAAAAAACAUUAAUAAAAUGCAGUAGUGGAAUUUUAUUUAGUUAAGUUGAUAAAAGGAUGCCCAGUGAAAAUCUUCAGUCAACAUUGUUCUUAAUAAUGAAGUAUUCAAACAUUCCUUUUAAAAUCCAUAACCAGACUAGGAUGUCUCCUGUCACUGCUUCUGUUGAAGUUCUUGUCUUGGCUAGCACAGUAAGGCAAGACAAAUAAUUGGUAUAAGGGUUGAGGGGCGGUUUGUACUAUUUGCUGUCAGUCACUUCUGUAAACAGAAAAAAUCUCAGGGAAUCUUUACAGAAGCUUUUGAAGAUUGUUGAAUGUAAAAUGAAUGGAAAAAAAAUCAAUAGACUUUCUCCUACAUCAAUCCUUAUAAAGUAUAUUUAAAAAAAUAUUUAAAACAUGGAAAAAGGGAUGUAGUAAUAAAUCUCAGGCAAAAUGUUAUGAGAUACUGAUGGAGAAAAAUUAUUAAAGGGCUUAAAAGGAGACCAAAAUUAGUGGAAAAUUAUGCCAUACUUGUGAAAGGGAAGACUCACUACCAUGAAGAUACCAAUCUGAAUAAUGUAUACAUUCAAUGUGAUGACAAUCAGAAUCCCAGCAGGGUUUUCAUGGAAUUUAUCUAGCAAAUACAGAUACUAACAUGAAAAAAAAAGUUUCACCAUAUAUGAUACGGUUUUAAAGAAAAAUAAUGUGUAUAUUGUGUUUUGUCAUGCAUGAAGAUUUAUUGCUGAAACAGUGUGAUGUUGGGGAAAAGAUAUUCAAAUCAACCCUAGAAUAGAAUGGAGAGCCUUGAAUUAUACCUGUGUAUAUGGGAGAUAAUGGAAGUAGAAUUACAAACUAGGAAGAAGAGAAUGGGCAAUUUAAAAAGGCCACUGUGGCAAUUUAUAUAGCAAAUGGUAUAAUUUAGUUGCUACCAAAUACCAUGGAGAAAAGUGAAUUUUGUAAAAAUCAAAAGUUGGAAAAUUAAAAGUGAAAAUAUACAACUUUUCUGAGUUAAUGUAGGGGAAUAUGAGAUGUAUAAAUAAGAAAGGAUUUUUUUUAAAUACAAAAUGCAUAAACCAUAAUGGGAAAAGAUAGAUACAUCUGAAUACAUUUGAAAUAAAAAUGUUUGUUUAAGAAAGAUGCCAUUAACAAAAUGAAAAAAUAUGAUAUUUGAAAUAGAAGCUAGCAGAGUAGCAUGAUGAUCAGUAAAUGCUGAAAAGUUUCUUGUUCAGAAAAAUGCAGAUGAUAAAUUAAAAUCCUUUGCCUAUCUAUUUGGAAAUAUUUUUGAAGGUUGAGAACUCCACUAGGCAAGGAUAUGUAGACAUUGAAAUUCUUCUGUACUGUUGGUGGGAUUGUAACUAAUUUAAAUAUUUAGAAGAUCCAUUUUGUAUUAUCUUGUAAAGUUGAAGUCCAAAUUGCUUGUGACUUGAAAAUUCCAUUUUAUAUUUCUAUACUAGAGAAUUUUUUUAACAUACAUACAAAGUAGUUCAUAGAAAACUGUACACGUUAGCUCCAUUUUAUAAGAAAAAGUAAAAACAAUGUCAAGGUCUUUUAGUAGAACAGGGCAAUAAAAAGAUUUAUUCAGAGAAAUAAUAUGCAGAUGUUAAAAUGAACUAGAUUUGCAUGUGUGUACAUGGAUAAAUGCCGGAAGCAUAACAUUAGAAAAAAAAAAGAUGUAUGGGAAUAUCAUACUUCAAAUUUAUUAUAAUGAAUACCUUAGGGAGGAGAGGUCUUAAGUUGUAUCGAUUUAUUUAAUUUUUUAAUAAAGUACAUACAUGAUUUUUAAAAAAUAUGGUAACACUGGAUGGAAUAAUGUAGUAUUGCAUUUUCUGAAAUACUCUCUGAAUUUUAAAAAUACUUUAUCGCUAAUGAUCAUAAGUGAAUUUAGACUAAAAUAUUGAAGUUAAAAAUAGUACCAUCAACAGAAUGAUGGGAAUAAUAAGAAGAUAUUAGAAGAUGUGUUAUUUCUAUGACCUGGACAUGGCAAAUACAUGUCUGAGCAUAACUGCGGUGUCAUAAACUGAAGGUAAAAGAUGGAGAUCAGACAGAGAAGGUGAUAACUUCUAUCAUACAAAAGGUUAAAUAACAUGAAAUGAAAUGCCAUUUUUAUUGCAACAUAUAAAAUCAACAAAAGGAGAUAAAAUACUAGUAAUUUGUAGAGAAAUCCACAGAAUAAUGCUGUGGAUUAUGUAGCUGAAUUAGUGCAAUAUUGAACUGUGCUUGAAAAGGUGGAUGGCCUUGGAAACUUCAGAUUGCCCCAGGAUUCUUUCAAGGAUAUAAUUAGUUGUCAAAGAUAACAUUACUAUGUAGCACUCCCCUGUCCAGGUCAAGUAACACCUGGAAUAUCCCAGGUCCACCAUCAUAUUUAGGGAAAUUUCUACCUUUUUUCCAAUUCAGCUUUUAGAUUCUACCAGAAAUAUGGAAGCAACAGUUAUAAAUAUAUAUGCCCCAAACAAUGGAGCAUCUAUGUUCAUCAAUCAAACUCUUCUGAAGUUCAAGAGUCAAAUAGACCACAACACAGUAAUUCUGGGUGACUUUAACACACUUCUUUCACCACUGCAUAGAUCUUCCAAACAAAAGCUAAACAAAGAAACUACAAAAUUCAAUAAUACAAUCAAUAACUUAGACCUAAAUGAUUAUAUAUAUAUAUUAUAUAUAUAUAAAUAAAGUAUAUUAUCCAUCAAUGAGUGAAUACACUUUCUUCUCAGCAGCACAUGGAUCAUUCUCCAAAAUAUGCCAUAUAUUAUGCCACAAAGCAACUCUUAGUAAAUACAAAAAAGGUAGAGAUACUAUCCUGCAUUCUAUCAGAUCACAAUGGAAUGAAAUUAGAAAUCAAUGAUAAAAUAAAAAAUAAAAGAUACUUCAACACCUGGAGACUAUAUAAUAUGCUAUUGAAUGAACAAUGGGUUGCAAAAGACAUCAAGGAGGAGAUUAAAAUAUUUGAAUUUUAAUUGAAUGUUCCAUUCAUUUUCCAACAGAAGUUUCAGAAGACAAUUUAUUUCAGCAAUAAGUCUCAUAGUUCUGGUGGCUAGAAUGGCUUUGUUUUGUGUUUGAAGUAGGGUGAAGGUGAGAAAGGACACCAUGAAGCAUGACACUCUCCUUUUGUUAUUCUUUAAAAAUCUGAAGUAAAAUUUCAAAGUCAGAUGCAAGUGUCUUAACUAUGUAAUUUGGUUAGUUUAGAUUCACUAUGACACCCGCAGCUGAUUGAGGUGUAGAAUAUUUUCAUCACCAAAGUUGCCUUUUCACUCUUGUCAAUCCUACCUCCACCUCUGCAUAAUUAAUUAUUGAUAUACUGUAUUCAUUCUGCCUUCUCUUGAAUUCUAUGUAACUGGUACUGUACAAUUUUCUUUCAUGUCUGCAUGCUGUAUUUCAAUAUAAUGUUAUUGAGAUUCAUGCAUGUUUUGUGUUCAUUAGUAGUUUUUUUUUAAAAAAAAAAAAACAACAACAGCUAAGUUGUUUUUUUCAUUGUAUGAAAAUACCACAGUUUAUUUAAUCUGUUUUCCUUUGGAAAGAUAUUUGAGUUUUUUCCACCUUUUUUGAAUAAGGUAAUUAUGAAAUUCUUGGGUAAUACUAUUUGUGGAUCUAUCAGUCCAUUAUUGAAUAUAUGAUUUGUGAAUAUUUUCUCCUAUUUCUUUUCACUUUUUUGAUGGUGUCCUUUAAAAACACUGAACUUUUUUUUUUUUUUUAAUUUAGAAGAGCUCCGAUUUCUUUUCUUUUUUCUUUUUUUUACUUUUGGUAGCUUAUUUAAGAAGGCAUUGCCCAACCCAUGGUCACAAAGAUUUUCCUAUAAGGUUAUGGUUUCAAUCCUUUUACUUACAUCUGUGGUCCACUUGGAGUUUUGUGUGUGAUUUGAAGAGUCUGACCUCACUUUUUUGCAUGGGGUUGUCCAUUUGGCCUAGCACAAUUUGUUAGAAAGACUGGUUUUCUCCUUUGAAUUAUAUUGGUGUCAUGUUGAAAAUCAAUUGACAUGAAUACAAAGGUUUAUUUCCGUGGGUUUCUACGGAUCUGUCAAUCUCUCCUAUGCCAUUAGCACAUUGCCUUGAUUGCAAUAGUAAUCAAGUAACACAAGUACCACUGUGUAAUAAGUUUUGAAAUUGAGGUGUGUGUCCCCCAUUUGUUCUUCCCUCUCCUAAGGUUUGAUGGUCAUUCUAGGCCCUUUGCAUUUCCACACAAGUUUUAGCAUUAAGUUGUUGAUGUCAGAGGGAAAAAGUCAACUGGAGUUUUGACAGGAAUUGCAUUGAAUCGAUCCUAUUAAUUUUGAUCCAGUUUAAUUGAUUCUUGGGUUUCAGGUGAAUGAAAUCUAAAGCACAGGCUCUUUUGUGUCUUAAAUCUUCCACAUAGCAUAAUGCUGAGAUUUAUUCACGUCAUUAUAUGUAUUCGUGGUUCAUUCCUUUACUUGGCUGAGUAGUGUUGCAUUUUUAAUCUAUUCUAUUGAUACAAAUCCAUUUAAAUAUUUUCCAGUUUCUAGCUAUUAUGGAUUAAGCUAUUAUGAAUACUUUAUGCAGGGAAUCAUGAUGGUAGGGCAGUGGAGAUUGGACCCUGGGCCUCCCACAUGCUAGGUAAAUGCCCUACACUGAGUUAUAUAUCCCCACCCCAAAUUGUUGAAUCUUAGGGUAAAUGUAGGUUUAUCUUUAAAAGAAACAGCUCUUCUGUAUUCCAAAGUAUUCUGUUUUACCUUGCCACCAGCAAAAUGAAAGAGAUUUUGUUGGUUUUGUUGCCAACAUUUGAAAUCAUCAGUCCAUUUGAUUUUGGCCAUUGUAGUUUAUAUGCAAGGUGAUCUUGUUGUGUUUUGAUGUGCUCUGCCUAUAUGGUAAAAUAAAUGAGCAUUUUUUCAUCCACUUACUGUCCAUUUAAAACGAAAAUAUUAUAAUUAGUUUAUCCAUUUUCCUUUUGACAGAUAUUUUUGUUGUUUCUACUCUUUAUGAAUAAGGUAGCUGUGAAAUUCUUGGACCAUACUUUAUGUGGAUAUUACAGUCCAUUAUUAGAUAUUUGAUUUGUAAUUAUUUUCUCCCAUUUGGUUAGUUUUCUUUUCACUUUUUUUCCAAUGGUGUCCUUUUAAAAAAAUAAGGAUUUUUUAUUUUUAAUUUUGAAAAGCUCCAAUUUAUUUUUUUCACUGUUUUACUUUUUAAAAAUAUUUUUUUUUAGUUAUAGACACAAUAACUCUAUUUUAUUUGUUUAUUUUUAUUUGGUGUUGAGGAUUGAACCCAGCACUUCACACGUGCUAGAUGAGGGCUCUACUGAUGAGCCACAACCCCAGCCCCCCCCCAUUGUUUUACUUUUGAUAAAUUAUUUAAGAAGGCAUUGUUUAAAACCGGGUCAAAAAGAUCUUCCUUCUAGGUUAUGGCUUUAGUCCUUGUAUGUACAAUCAUGAUCUAUUUUGAGUUUUUAAUGUGUGAUUCUGCUAAAUUCCUUUGCAUGCUCAGGGGGUACUUUUCUCUUUUAGUUGUGUGAGUUUUUUUAAAUAUAUAUUUUCAAUACUUGUGAAAAUAUGUCUUGCUAACUUCUUCUUGUUCUUUGCUUUGCCUAUCCAUUUUAAAUAAUGGUGUCUUUUGAUGACCUGAAGUAUUUAAAUAUUGAAGAUCUAUUACUUGUUCUUUGACAAUUAGUGCUUUCUGUAUUUUAAGAAUUUUUACCUACUCUAUGUUUAUAAAAAUGUUAUUUUGCAUUUUUUCUAUAAACUUUAUAGUUUUGGGGCUGGGAAAUAUAGCUCAGGUGGUAGAGUGCUUGCCUCGCAUGCACAAGACCCUGGGUUUAAACCCCAGCACCACACACACCACAUACACACACACACACACACAGCUUUAUAGUUUUGGGUGUUAUAUGUAGACACAUGAUCCAGUGGGACUUAAUGUUUUCUAUGAUGUGGAUCCAGUUUUGCCAUUAUUAAAAUUACAGACACUCACAUAUGCUUGUAUACUUUUUAAAAAAAAUAAAUAAACUUCCUUUCAUGGAUCUUCUUGGUAACUUGUUGAAAACCAUUUGCCUCUAUGUGAACAAAUUUAUAUUUGAACUCUCACUUUUAUUCUUUGUAGCUAUUUUUAUAUCCUGUACAAAUAACAUAUUUUAUGAUUAUCAUGAUUUUUAUAAGAUUUCAAAUAAGGUAGUAUAAGUCUUUCAACUCUUUUCUCUUCCUAAGACAUUUUUCCUAUUCUAAGUCCCUUUGAUUUCCAUGUCAAUAUUAGAAUCAGGUUGUCAAUUUCCUUAAAAUGCCUCCUGUGAUUUUUGUUUAUAAUAGCAUUGAAUCUUCAGAUCAAUGUGAGCAGAAGUGAUAUCUCACAGUAUCAAAUUUUUCAAUCCUUACACGUGAUGUAAACCUCCAUUUAUUUAGAUCUUCUUUAGUAUUUUUUAAAGAAAUUUUUUAGUUGUAAAAUGGACACAGUACUUUUAUUUUAUUUAUUUUUAUAUGGUGUUGAGGAUUGAACCCACACGAGUCAGACGAGCGUUUUACUGCUGAGCCAAAACCCCUGCCCCUUCCUUUAUAUCUUUGAGCAAUAUUUUCUAGUUGUCUGGAGAUCUUGAACUUCAUAUUUUUAAACUUAACCCUACUUAUUUUAUGUUCAUUGAAGCUAAUAGAUGAAACUUUUUGCAAAUUUUGUUUUAAGUUAUUUGUUGGUAGUUCUUUUCAGAACAUCAAAAAUUGUUCCACUCUCUUGUAGCUUUAAUAAUUUCUAAUGAGAAACUCAUGGUCAUUAGUAUUAUACCACAAUUUCUAUUUCUGACAUUCUUGGGAUUAUUAUUAUUUUGUCUUUAGUUUUCUGCAUUGUGAUUAUGAUGUGUUUGGAUGUGGAUUUCUUUGAAAUUAUCCUGUCUUGGGGCUCACUGAGCUCUUGAAUCAGAGUUUCUCUUUCAUCAAACUAUUUCUUCAAUAUAUGCAUAUUUAUACCACACCUUUUUGCCUUUCUAAAAUUCUAAUGUUAUAAAAGCUAGACUUAAUAUUUCAUGAAUAUUUCCUGUGUUUCUUGAUUUUUUUCUUUCUUUGUAACAUUGGAUAAAUUUUGUUAAUAACUUUCAUAUUCAUUGAUUCUUGAUCAUUUACAUUCCACUACUGAAUCAGACUAGUGUCUAUUUUGAUUUUUUUUUCUGUUUUUCAGUUUUAAUGGUUUCCUUUGUUCUGUUUCUUUGCUAAUAUCUUCUGUGUUAACAGUUUGCAUUUCUUGUUAAAAGAAGUUAUAAUUUCUUCUCUAAAGGAAGGUUUUUUUUUAAAAAAAUCCUUUAUUUAAAAAUAUUCUAUGAUCUCUGCUUAGUAUCUGUUGAUUGACUUUUUUGUUCCCUCAUGAGUUAAGAUUUCCUGAGUUCUUCAAUGGUGAGUAAUUCUGUGCCGUCUGCCAGGCAUUUUGAAUGUUACAUCAUGAGAUUUUACAUCAGAGAAUUCUGAGUUGUUUUAGCUGGCAGUUGACCAGGUUGGAUUCAGCCUCAGGCUCUGACCUGCCCUCUGUGGGCCAUGUUCCUGGGUUUCCUUUCACAGUGUUCACAGUACUGAUUGGAUUCCCACCAGGUGUGCACUGCCCCGAGGCCAGUCUGUGAUUUGGCUUUGGUCCUUGUAGCUCAAUCUUCAUAGCCGGCGUAGGCUGUUGAGAUCACAUCUGUGCAUGUGUAGCUGAGAGAUGAACAUAGGUGUUCAUCGCAGUGUUGUAGAAUUGUUCCUGGGCUCUUCUGCCUCCCUAUGACCUGGCUUUACUUUGUGAAACCUGGGGCUUUACUUUGCCUUCUCCUCACCUCCCAUGAAUGCACCUAUGUGUGUAGCUCAGCAGUCAGAAGAUAGGAGAAAAUAGCAAUAGGUCUGCACCUCUCACUUUUGUAAUCACAACUUUCUGAAAAGCACCUUCAGAGCUUUAAGUACUUAAUCUUAGUGACCCUCCUUUUGCUGUCACCAUCAGUGCAGAAAGGGCUGGGAAAGGGAGAAAGGGAAACAAAAAAAAAAAACUAGUUAUAGUAUGUCCUCAGUCCUUAUGAUCCCUUAAGCUCUCUUACCUGCUUCUCAGAGUAGAUAAGGAGAUGUUCCUGGAGCUGGUUCUAUCCACACCUGCUGUAUGAUUCUGAGACUUGGUCCAUAUAUGAGUCCAGGCAAGGUGAUACCAGAGAGGGGAAAGAUGGUGAACUCAUGGCUAGCUCAGGGAACUCUUAAUUCUGUUCUCCUUCUUGAGUAUGCCUGCUACCAUUUAUUUUCAGAGACUUUAGAAGGGCCAGGGAUGUAGCUCUGUAGUAGAGUGCUUGCCUAGCAUGUGUGAGGACCUGGGUUCAAUCUCCAGCACCACAAAACAAAGCAGGGUCCUUAGAAAGCUGUUCAAUGCAUCCCGUCAAGGAUUUAUGUUUGUGUUCAGUGGGAGGGACAGCCUGCAGUGUUCUUGCUCCAUCAGUCCUGGAGGCAGAACCCUCAAGUGAUUCUUAGGCAGGAUCAGGACCUCUCCUUCAGCAAGGCUUGGAAUCUGAACACGAUAAGGACCCUGGAGAAUGCCUUUGCAUUAUCCAGAAGACCUCAUCUGGAAACAUGGGAGCCCACAUAAGCUCUGCUAUACAAGCGCUCCUGAUGGCAUUUUGGGAAUUCACUGUGAAGUUCUCUUUGCUGUUAAUCCCACUGCCAGAUUUUCUGUGCCUCAAGGACUGUUCCCUGAUGCCCUCUGAGCAGCAUUAAAGGCUGUAGAAGUGUCAUCAGUGAGGGCAUCAGGUGCUGUGUGCCCAGACUCUUUAGAAAGCUCUGUGCAUAUGCUCCUCACAGCAGCUCCCUCUAGGUCUCCUGGAUCCUUCCUCAGUGGCUUCCCGUUCCUGCCUCUGUCUAUUGGAAGCCUCUAAUAUUUCAGCAGUUUUUUUUUUUUUUAAUAGCUUUGCCCUUAGCUUUCCAUGGCCACUACGCUCACACUGUGGUGGGAUUCUGUCUUCACGCUCUCUCUGGCUUAUUAUUUAUUUCCAGGUGAAGAUUCAGUGAAAGGUCAUCACCAAGGAAAAAAAAAAAGAAAGAAAAGAAAAGACAGAUAGAUGCUUAGUUGGAGCUUCCUAGGGAUUCUGAGUAAAAUCACCAGCAUAUUCAACCUUGAAGCUUUUUAGAAAAAGUUUAUCUGAUAUUUAUUUGCUGACUCCUGUUAAUUGCAGUUUCUAUUCUAUGGUCCUACCCAGGCUCUCUUUCUUUUCUGGGGCAGGGGGAGGAUUCAUUGGUUUCUGGGUUUCACAUCAUUUAUGUUUCUUAAUGGCUUUAGUCCUCUCAUGGGGUUUUAAAAUUCAUAAUACUCACCAUAUCAGCCUGGUUUUCAUUGUUACAAUGGAUGCAAUGUUUUCUUGAGGCUUUCUCCAUCCUCAGCUAAAUUUGACUUUAUCCCUCUCAGUAUUUUGCCUCUGUUUGAGCACUAUUUCUUGAGCAGAACUCCCUAUCAGUGUUCACUUGCCUUAGCACAUUUGUCAUGAAUUCUUUUUUUUCCCUAAUGUUACUAAAAUCCAGUUUUUAACGCGUGAUUCUCAUGGUAUCUCAAGGAGCAAUGAUAAGACCACCAUUCAAGUAUGAUUGUGUUGAUUUACACACUGGUUAGUUUCCACCCUCACCUUCUCCACUCUUCAGAGGCUUGGAGGAGGAAUAUGUCCCCCUAAGAUUUAUGGGGAACUGUUUUCAGAUGCCUUUGGUUAGUGGUUGACAGUGAUUCAAAUGGAGGAUGGAAUGAAGUAAGAGCAAAGCAUGACUUGUUUGUGCCAGUUUUCACGCUCGUUCUAUAGAGCCUUUUGCCUUCAAGGAAGCUGCACUGUCAAGGAUUCCAGUUGGUUAUUCACAGGACAUCCCAGCAAGUGCUUUCACUGGGUCCUUGGAACUCUGUGUCAUCCAAUAACCACACCUUCUGAAACUUCACAUUGUGUUAUUUUGACAGCAGCAUUUUUCAGAAGGCCCUCAUUUCUUUGAACUCCUCACCUGAGGGUGUCUUGAUUUAAAAGGGUGACUUGCGUUAUCCUGACAAUCUCACACAGCGUGAGAGGAAGUGGUGUGAGGCAGCUUUGUACUGUUUGGUCACUGCUUCUGAAAUUAGCCUUCAGCUCUUAGUGUCUGGAGUAUACAGUGUGAAAAGCAAGAGCUUAAGUAAACUGGAAACUUCAGCAUCUUGCAUACCUUUCCUAGUGAUUGGGGGUACAUGCACUUACAUUAUAAGACUGAAGAGUCUUUUUCUAUUAUUUGUAUAACUUUGCUUGACAAAUAAAAAACUUAAUGGUGAGAGGGUGCUUUUUUUUCACAUGUACCAGUUAAUAAUCAGAUGUCUAAGACCUGUCCAUACUGCAGUGAUCGCUUUUACAGGAUAACUAUCUCUUUAUUUUCUGGGUCUGUGGGUGCAUUUUUUUUUUAGAAACAUACACCUCACAUAACUGGCACAUGGACCUAGCUAUAAAAUUAAAUUUUAGUAUUGGCAUAAAUAUGAAUAAGAUUCCAGAUGUGGGGAAAGAGAAAGAGAAUGUGAAUGUGAGAAAAGAUAUUAAUCAUUGGAAGUGCCAGAGAAAAUUUAACCUGUAAAUUCAAGAAAUAAAAACCUUCACAUUGGAAAUCUUAGCAUGGUAAAUGUGCUUGGUAAGUGUAGGAUUAGAGAGCAGUAGACGCCCAUCCUGUAUAUAACGCAGGGUAAGAGAGAGUAAGAGGUCCCAAACCUAAGGGACUGAUUUGCAGGUUCCUGAUUGUAAAUACUGCCCCUGCCUUUCACAGGCUGACUGUUCUUAUCCAAAAUGUUUGGGACCAAAAAGUUGCAGAUUUUGGAAUUUUUAAGAGUUUGAACUACUUAUGUCCCUAAAUUGAAAAUCAAAAAUACUCCACAAACCAGAAUGUUUUAGAUGCUCAAAAAAUUUUGGAACAUUUUGGAUUUCAGAUUUAUAGAUUGAGGUGCUCAGCCUAUAUCUAGAGAAAGAUGCAUUUUAAAGGUUUGUGAUGGAGGAAAGUAUUUUUUCAAUCACAAGAUAAAAAGUUUAUUCUAUUAGAAUUACAACAUUAUAUUUUCUGAACCAGCAGUUUGUUGCUUGCAUAUGUAUAGUUGAGCUAUAAAGCUGUAAAUUUGGAUCGAUUUUAGGUAUAGGAUAACUAAAUUCAAACCAUUUUUAGUUGGAGAGAUUGUGGCCUUUAGUUUCCAUUAGUGGGGGGUGGGUAGAAAAAGGAUCCUUAAAGAAAUUGUCAUUUUCUGUUUACCUGAGUAGAUGCUGAGAAUGUCGUUUAUAUGCAUGUGUAUGGGUGCACUUGUUCAAAAAUGUGUAUUAAAUUUAAGAGCAGUGAAUUCACUGUCAGGUUGUCCUUAGCAACAGUAGCCUAGCCACCAAGCCAAUUUUAAGUAGCAAAACAUCAGUGUCCUUAAUUUUUUACUAAAAAAUACUAAUAUUUUACAGAAACCAUUUUUUCAAAUGUAAUUUGGAAUUAAAUGAGAAAUUUCCUUUUUAUACUACGGACAAGAUAUAUCCAAGUGACAGGGAGUGCUAUGUCAUGUAGUACUUGUUUCUUCUAUUUUUUUUAAAGAGAGAGAGAGAGAGAGAGAGAGAGAGAGAGAGAGAGAGAGAGAGAAUUUUAAUAUUUAUUUUUUAGUUUUCGGCAGACACAACAUCUUUGUUUGUAUGUGGUGCUAAGGAUUGAACUAGGGCCGCACGCAUGCCAGGCGAGUGUGCUACCGCUUGAGCCACAUCCCCAGCCCUAUUUUUUUUUAAAGGAAGUAUUGUGUGUUUUCUGUAAUGGCUGUGUUUAUUUAUACUCCCACCAACAGUAUCCAAGGGCUCACUUAUUAAUACACUCUUACUAAUAGUGGUUAUCUUUUGAAACUAGACUUCCUCACCGGGGCAAGGUGAUAUUUUUCUCAUGACUUUGGUCUACUUUUCCUUAAUGACUGGUGACAUUUAAUCUUUUUUCUCCUCCUGUACCUUAUCCAAAAUGUUGGGGACCAAGAGGUUUAACAUUUUUAUGUCAUCUUUGGAGAAAGUCUAUUCAGACCCUUUCUCAUUUUUCAGCCAUUGUAUUAUUUUAUUUUGCUUUGCUGUUGAUUUCAGUUUAUUUUACUUUAUAUCAUUGAUUAAUUUAUACUUGCAUAUAAACCCCUUAAUGGCUGGUGUGUAAAUAUUUUCUCUCAACUGGAGGCUGCCAUUUCAUUUAGCCAGUUAUUUCUUUGUUGUGAAGAAGUGUUUUAGUUCAUGUCAUCUCACUUGUUUAUAUGUGCUUUGAUUGCCUGAGCUUUUGGUGUGAUACUAAAACCAACAAAUGAAAAUUCAUUGCCAAUGCCAGUGUUAAUGAGAAUUUUUCCCAGUAUUUUCUUCUGAGUUCUUUCAUUUCAUAUUUUACAUGCAUGUUUUUUUUAAAAAAAAUAUUUAUUUAUUUAUUUUUUUGUUUUUUUUAAUUUGUUCUAAUUAUUUAUACCUGACAGUAGAAUGUAAUUUGACACUUUGUACACAAAUGGAGCACAACUUCUCAUUCCUCUGACUGUACAUGGUGCAGUCACACCAGUAGUGUGAUCCUACAUGUACACAGGGUAAUAACGUCUGUCUCAUUCUGCAGUCUUUCCCAUCUCCACAGCUCCACUCUCUCCUGACUCCCCUCUCUCCAAUCCAGAGUUCCUUUAUUCUUCCCUAUGCCCCCCAUUAUGGAUAAGCAUUCGCUUAUGGGAGAAAACAUUCGACCUUUGGGGGGUUUAGCUUAUUUCUCUUAGUAUGAUAUUUUCUAGCUCCAUCCAUUUACCUGCAUAUGCCAUAAUUUCAUUCUUCCUUAAGGCUGAGUAAUAUUCCAAUUCUGCAUAUGUACCACAUUUUCUUUAUUCAUUCAUGUCCUGAAGGGCAUCCAUAGUUUUGCUAUUGUGAAUUGAGCUGCUAUAAACAUUGAUGUGGCUGCAUCACUGUAGUAAGCUGAUUUUAAAUCCUUUGGGUACAGAUAAAGGAGUGGGUCAAAUGUUGGUUCCAUUCCAAGUUUACUGAGGAAUUUCCACACUGGGUUUCCAUAAUGGUUCCACCAGUUUGCAGUUCCACUAGCAAUGUAUAUGUGUACAUUUUUCCCCAUAUCCUUGCCAACACUUAUUAUUGCUUGUGUUCUUGAUAAUUGCCAUUCUGACUAGAGUGAGAUGAAAUCUUAGAGUUAUUUUGAUUUGCAUUUCUCUAAUUGCUCUUGAAGGUGACUAUUUUUUCAUAUGUUUGUUGAUUGAUUGUAUUUCUUCUUCUGUGAAGUGUCUGGUCAGUUCCUUAGCCCAUUUAUUAAUUUUUUUUUAUUGUUGUUGUUACUGGGGAUUGAACUCAGGGUCACUCAAUCACUGAGCCACAUCCCCAGCCCUUUUUUGUAUUUUAUUUGGAGACAAGGUCUCAUUGAGUUGCUUAGAGCCUCACUGUUGCUGAGACUGGCUUUGAACUCAUGAUCCUCCUGCCUCAGCUUCUUGAGCCACUAGGAUUAGGUUAUUUAUUUUUUUGGUGUUAUGUUUUUUCAGUUCUUCUUUUUUUUUUUUUUUUUUUUUUUUUNUUGUGCGGUGAGAGAUAGAGGUUUAGUUUCAUUUUGCUACAUAUGGAUUUCUAGUUUUCUCAGCACCAUUUGUUGAAUAGGCUACUUUUCUCCAAUGUAUGUUUUUGGCGAUUCAUUUUUUUAAUCAAUUAUUUUCAGUUUAGGGAUCUUUCUUUAACCAUUCCAUUAGGACAGGUGUGACACAAUUUUUUUUUCAGUUUUUCUUCAUCUGAGAAUUUAUUGAUUUCCCUUCAUUUCUGUGGGUCUUUGGCUGGUUUUGCAGUGCUGGAUUUGACAGUACUGAUUUUACAGCACUUGAAAAAUAUGCCACUUCCUCCUAGCCACCAAGGUUUCUAAUGAGAAACUUGUUGUUGCUCUAAUUGUUUUACCUAUGUGUGUCUUACCAUUGUUUUCCUCACUACUAUCAAGAUUUUUUUCUUUGUUUUUCAUUUUUAGAAGUUUGACUGUGAUGUGUCUUGGUACCGACUUCUUUGGGUUUAUCUUUCUAGGGAUUACUCUGUAUUUUAGGCCUCCAGAAUUAUGUAUUUUGUUAAGUUUGCAUUUUCAUUUAUUAUUUCUUUGAGUAUUUCUUCAGCCCCUCUCUCGUCUCUUUCAAGAGCUCUGAGCCAUGAUGAGGACAUGGCUUUGUUUUAGUCACAUAAACCGUGAGGCUCUGAUUAUUAUUAUUUUUUUUAAGCAUAAUUGCACUUUGCCAUUCAGAUUGUGUGUUUUGUAUUGCUCUAUGUUCAGAUAAACGGAUUCUAAUCUCUUUUCCUCCAUUCUGCUCUUGAACUCUUUCAUUGGUUUUUUUUUUCAGAUCUUGUAUUUUUCAGUGCUAGAUUUCCAUUUGAUUCAUAUUUUUAAUUUCUUUGUUGAGACAUCCUAUUUCUUUGCUAAUAAGGACUUCUCAUUUUCAUUUAAUUAUGAGCAUAACUACUCACUGAAACAUUUUUUCAUGACCACUUCAAAAUUUUUGUCAGAUAAUUCUAACAUCUCUCUUGUCUUAGAGUUGGGAUUGAUUUCGUUUUAUUUUUUUUCAUUCAGUUUGAGAUCUUAGUUGUUUUUUUCUUUUUUCUUUUUUUUUGCUAAGAGCCAUAGCCAAGUAGGAAUGACGCAUGGCAAUUUCCUUGUCAGCCUACCCAAUGUUGCUUAGAGGGAGGACUCUAUUGUGGAAAUGGGCUUGCCUUGGACCCAGGUCAUUUGCAGUGACAUUGCUUGAAAGGUGACCCUGCUCAAGGACCAGGGCGGAUCUGGUUUAGGGCGGUUCCAGGUUUAGGGUGUGGAUCCUGCUGGGAAUAGGGCGUAUCCUGCUGCCUCAGGCGCCCGCUCCUUGGGUUCCCGUUGAGUUCUCCUGGGAUUCAGAGAGUAUUUGGGAUGCAGAGCCCGGUGGAGGUGAAAGAUUUUCCCAGAACGUGCGUUUAGAGUGCCGGGGACAGUUCGAGAAUAAAGAGUUGCUGUUUGAAUCUACAAGGUGUGUGGUGGCUAGGUUAUUUUGUGCCCAGCCAGACUGCGGCAUUUUUGCAUGACAAGUGGUUUGCUUUUUUAUUUAUUUGCUUAUUUUUUUGACUGAUAUCUGGACCUUUGGGGUAUUGUAUUAGGGACCUUGGUUCUUAUUUAAACCUUCUGCUUUUUCUGGCUUCUGCAUACACUCCUUCAGCAAGGGGAUGGAGGGGAAGGCCAGUCUCAUGUCAGUUGAGGGAACUAGUCCAGUUUCCCCAUCAGCCUCCAUUGACAAGGAGGUAGGGGACUUUUGAUUAUUGCUGGGCAAGUUUAGAAGUCCAGGCUCCCUAGGAGAAUCUCUACUGCUAUCCCAUUGCAUAGGAAGGGAAGGAGUGUUUUGUUAUUGUUGCUUGUGUGGCCUCCAUUGACAUAAGGGGUGAAUAUCCCCAUUACCCUGAGUGAGGCUGAAAAUCCUGUCUCUCUAGAUAUGCUCUGACACUGCCCCAGCAGAGGGUCCUGGGUUCAAGUCUUUGCACCAUUAAUGUCAUUUAUAAGUGGAAGUCCAGGCUUCCCAGUGUGUGUCUAUUUACACCGUGGGACCCAGGGGGCUUUCUGUGGCCUUUUCUGAUACCUCUUCUUAUAUUGGAAUAUCUCCUCUUAGCCACCCAACUGUGGAAAUUUAGAAUAGAAAAUACUGGGCAUAGCCCUGGAGACUUCAAAUAUUCACUCCUUUUACAAACAAACGUGUAGUAUGAAAGCAGCCAAAAAAAUGUGUGUGAUAGCUGGACAUAUGGGGUAUGGGAUCAAAGGAGGAGUGUUCUUUGUUUUAUUUUAAAACAUGGCUAGAGCUAAUGUGUGUUUACAUUCUGAGGACAUCUGUGUUGUUUAAGAGGGUAAAGUGAGGCUGCCCUCGAAUGACUUGGACCAUGCAUUCUGGAUCCCCCACCCACUGCAUUCGUCUUCACAGUUGGAUUCGGGGCCUUCCAGAAUAGGGAAUGUGAUUAAAUCCUUGUUCCUUGGCACACACACAGUUACUUUCUUCAUUUUCUUUUCUUGGCUUGCCAUGGCAGUGAACCCUGCAGGGCCUGGAGCAUUAUAAGCCUAACCAAAUGCUGUGAUUGUAGGUAGGUGGCAAGUACACUUCAUGGAAGCUUCUCAUGUUGAAAACCUAGGAAAAAAGCCUCCGGUGUCACCAAGAUUCUUAGAAUAUCGACUCUGGCAUUUCUAAACUUAAAUUACCUGCAACCUGGGUUACUUAGUUUAAAUCCAUAAAAGCUUGAGAUAUUGUGUUUAUACUGGAACAUUUUCGUGUCAGAUUUUAAAAGUACUGAUUUCUUAAUACCUUUUGUAGUGGGGUGUUAUGUAAUAACAAAAUUUUCAGCUCAAAGAGAAAUUCAUUAUAGAAUAUUACCUAUCUAGAUGUAAGUGCAAUUGCUCUACAAUGUGAACUUUAGAAACCUGAGGUUGGGAAUAUGGGAUGGAGCCUGAGGAAGCUGGAUGAACAAAGAAACUAUUGUAGAUAGACCUAACCACACAUUUUAGGCAUUGUUUAUAGAUUUUAAAAAAUAGUUGUGUUUACAUGUAGGUCCACUCAUAAUUUUCAUAUAGAUGUAGAUGCCAUUAUGACGAAAUGCAAAAUCACUUAAAAGUGAAUCCAUGCUUCUUUUGCUUACCAGGUGUUUGCUAAUCAAAGACACAAAAGAAACAAAACCACUAGUGCAUGAAAAUGUUUAAAGAUCAGGAAUCAUUGUUAAGCAAUUCUAGAGUUGCUUCAAAAAAUAUAAGUGGUGUGUUUAACUAAAGGGUUACGAGUGAUGUUGCGUCCAAAGUACACAACCCUGUGUGAGUGCAAACCUCAGUGCAAGUGUAUUUAAAAAAAGGCACCAGCAAUUCCAAAGGUUUCUCUAAGUGAUGUUCAGCUGAUUAAAAAAGAAAAAAAAAAUGGUUCCAUCUGUUACUUUCUAUUCCUAACAAAAGAGAGGAAAAAAAGGAGAUCAUUUUGAUCAAUGUCCUUUUAAUUCUUAGACUUGGUAUAAAAUAAAUCACAGUGUUAUGGCAAUUCAUUUAUAGAGGUUAAAGUGAUAUGUUGUGUCUUUUGGUGGUAACAUGGAUUUCACUUGCUGAGCGCCUGGGACUUUGAUUUGCCAUAUUACCUGCUGUGGCUUAAGUGAUGCAAAAUAAUUAUUGGGGCUUCCAUGUCACAGUGGCCUAUUCCACACUUGUACCCUUUUGUUGGGAGCCCGACAGGGAUGCUGGAUGUGAGGUCUCCACUGAAUAGACAUCCUCUCUGAGUAGUCCUCCUACACAGGAUUGAUUUAUGGACAUAUCAGGCUCUUUGUUAGCAUGUAAACCCCUAAUUAAUUUAAAGCCCUCUGUAGAGAAAUUAAACUCCUAGUUAAGAUUUUUAACAGACUCAGAUGGUACUAAUAAUGGAGAAGCAAAUCCUAUGAAUGGAUUUACCAUGGUCGCUGGUGUUCAUCCUUCACAAUGAAGGUUGGUGUUUGGAGCUGAGUGUGUACCUCAAAUAAAGAAUGGGCUGUCAGAAAAUCAUUCCGUUGUGGCUCCUAACCCAAUUAGGCUUAUCAUUUGAGUUCUAGCUUCCCAUCUGUGGGGAAGGAAGACAGACAGAGGCAGACAUGGAGCAAGAGAGAGGAUGAGGGAAAGAGGAAAACCUGUAUGGAUUAUACAAUCAUCAAAAGUUUUCUUUCAUCUAGUGACUCCAAGUCAAAUAUCUACUACCGGAAUUGGUCUUGGUGUAGGUAGAGUAGACAAAUCAUGGCAGUUCUUAGAACUGUUUUUGUGUAAAAAUGGAUAAAAGGCCCGAAUGCUGGAAAUUAACCCCACAAAAUUCAGUCAUUUCAAGUUGUUGUAAACAAUGAAUUCAAAAUAGUUUAGGGAUCUAAAUGUAAUAAAUGAACCUAUUUGAGUAUCAGAAGUAAAGAAAGAUGAAUUCCUUUUUAAGGCUUUGAUAUGACUAAAAAUCCAGAUGCAGUAAAAAAAAACUGAUAUAUUUCAUGUGAAAAUUAGUAUUUUUUUGUAUGCAGAAAAUAUACAAAGACACUUGGGAAACUCUGGGAUAAAAUAUUUGCAACAUGUAUCACAGCAGAGCAGUAAUAUAUAUACCAUAGCAAAAGAAAAAUAAUAUUUAAAAUUGAAGGGCAAAAGGCCAAAAAAAAAAAAAAAACAAUGGAAAGGGGGAAGUGGAUAUGCACAUACAAUUUCCAAAAUGAUAUUAAAAUGACCCUUGAGCAUAUGGGAAAAUAUCCAAGCUCAAGCCUAACUAGAGAACAGCAAAUUAAAACACCUCUGAGAUGCCAUUGACAGCAGAGAUACCAUUCUUCUGCUAUCAGACUGGUGAACACAAGAUAAUACUACAACUCACACUACUGGUGAAGUUGCAAGGAUACAGACAAUCUCCCAUAUUACUGGAAACAUUGCAGAUUGGUGCAAUUCUUUGGGAAAAUUUGAUACUAACAAAAUGCAUAUGCACUUACCUUUGGAUUUAGCAAUCUCAAUUCUAGAAAUGUACACGGAUGAUGCAUCUGAAAAAUAUAGGGUACAUGUAUAAAUCAUUUAUUGUAGCAUUUUUUUUAUAAUUGCAAAAUAUUGGAAUGAACCCAAAUGCUCACACAUAGGAGACUGGUUGAAUAAACUAUAUUACAUAAAAACAAUGGAAUCCUAUGCAGUUGGUAAAAAGAAUAUAUAAACAUUUUGUGUGGUUCUGACUUUUAGAAUCAUAAUGUUUCACAUACCUUCUGCAAACUCCAAAAAUCAAAUAAUUAAAACAAAUCAGGAUAUAUGGGAAACCUAAAAUGAAUUACAGACAAUAACAGACAUUAUACCUAUAUAGUAUAUGUAAUAUUAGUGUAGAUUCAUAAUAAAGUGAAGGAAGUGGGAGAAGAAUCAACCUAAGUAACUAAAAAUAGUUCUUUGGAUGCUGCUAAGGCUAAUGAUAAAAACUUGUGCAUUAAGGUUGUAAUUUAGUAAUAAAGGUGUUUCUCAAGAAUAUGAGCUAAGAAUUGAGAAGCUCCCUCAUCUAUUAGAAUUAAAGCACUAUAUUGUAGAUAAUUAUAGAUUAUAGGAGGUGGUUUUGUUAUGUGGUGCAGGAAUAGAACCCAGAGCUUAUGUAGACUAGGCAGGUAACUGCUGUAUGACUGAGCCAUACCCCAGCCCUGAGAGCCGGGUUGUUAUUGUUGGAAAAAGAAGUUUUAAGUAACAACAACAAAAAAAGAAUGCUAAAUUGAAUUUGUGGUUUCAGGUUGGGAUCAGAGUUAUGGCUAAGAACUUAUGUUUAUGCUUAUGUAUAUACACAUACAGAUACACACAGUUAUAUGCUCAACAUAUAAUGCAUAUAAACACACCAAGAUGAUGUAUACAGAAAUAAAGAUAUGAUGUAUAUGUGUAGGUUACUACAUAUACACAGAUUUCCUAGUUCCAUCCUCUGGAAGGUCUUAAAGUGGUGACAAUCCAGUCACAGCGAGAACAGCUAGAACCCAGAUCGUGGCUUCUAAACACCUUUAUACAAAAAAUGAUUGCAGGCUCUUUGAAGAAGUGGCAGAGUCCAAAGCCAGAAAAGAAGGAAGGAAGAGGAAGGAAGUUACAAUGUUUUAUUGUGCUAGAGAGUAAGAAUAUGCCCUCCAAAAGGUGGAGAUUCUGUAAAAGAAGACAAAAUCCAACCUAAAGUAGCCCUUAAUUGAUCAAAGCUGGAAUAAUCUGAGCAACAACAACAAAAUAACUCCAGCAAUGGAUUUUAAUGAAUAGAAUAAAAUAAAUAUCUAUAAGUCCAUACUGAUAGAGAUGCCAAAAUGAGCAGUUUGAAAAAUAGAAUUUGCCUGUUCCCAAAGUAUUUUAUCCAAGAUAUGUAUUAAAUAUAAAAUCUUUAUGGUAGAAAAUCCUGGCAGACCCUACCUCAAUUCAGUGAUCCAAAUAAACAUUUCAGGUAUUAAGGCAUGAUAGCAUGAUGAACCUUUUAAUAUGAUGCACUGAUUUUUUUCUUUGUACUAUAAUUGCCUGAAAUGCAUAGUUUUGUUCCAGUAACUAGAAAAAAUAUUAAAAACACAGAGGAUUAUUAUAUUAAGGUCAUAGAAGUUAAGGAAGAAAGAUAGAGGAACUGCUACAUCUUAGAAGACAUGAAGGAGAUGUGACUGUAAAUGUAGCAUAGGACCCAGUGUCUGAUCAUGGAAAAAUGAGUAGAAAAAUGGUGAAAUUCAAAUGUGUUCUUUAGUCACAUAUGUGUGUUUUUCUGUCUAGUGAUGGAACUGGGGGUCUUGUGAAUGUUAAGUUAGUGUUCUGCCAUUGAGCUACAUCCCCAACCUUCCGCUCUUCAGUUUAGUUAAUGGUAUUGUAUGAGGUCAGUUAUAUGCAUUUUUUUAGUCACUGGGGGGAAAACGUUGUUUGUAUUUUCCUGUCUUCUCUGCACUCCCUUUACCCCUUCUGCCAGGUCCCAAAUUGAUUUGAGAAUAUGUCAUUUAUAGGUAUGCUGGUGUCUUAAUUUUUAACAAAUCAGUCUUAUAUUGGAUAUUGUUAAAGAAAAGCUAGAGCUAGGGCCUGCAGUUGUAGCUCAGGGGUAGAGCACCUGCCUAACACGUUCCAUCCUCAGUACCACAUAAAAUAAAUAAAUAAAGUGAAAGUAUUGUGUCCAUCUACAACUAAAAAAAUAAAAAUAAAAAAAGCAAAUCUAGAGCUAGACAGUGGAGAAAGUGGGAAAACAAAUUUUAUCCAGGACUGUUGCAGUAUGGGGAAAGAGACCUCUGUAGAGAGCUGGUUCAAUUCUGAACAAUGCAACAAGGAGAGAAGGUAAUUUAUAGCCAAGGAGUAAGAUCUGAGGUUGGGGAUUGGGAGGAUAGUAAGGGAGGGUUCUAAGCCAACCCUAUUGGAUUCUUACUAGAGGCAGGCCAGGGGGGUUAUCCUGGGGGAUGGCAGAAGAUGAGGAAGCUCACCAGAUAUGGAGGAUAGCCAGAUGUUGAGGAUGGGAUUCUGUCUAACUGACUUAGCAGGAUUUUUACUGAAUUUAAACAAUAGGGAUGAACAUAGCAGCCCACAAGUCAGGGCUUGGUUAAGAAGAAAAUCAGAAUAGCCUGAAUAAUGUCUAGUCAAGGAGAGACUCUGUGUCAGUAUGAAUAAUAUUUCCAAAUCCAUUUCCUUUCUUCCAGCUCCCCCCAGAGUUAUAGUAUGCCUCUUUAAAUGAAAGAAUAGAAUGAGCACUAACCCAAAUUGUCCUUGACAAUGUCUCACCCCAAAUUUCUGCCACCCCCAGAUUUAGAAAGUUUAUCUAAUCUUCAUAGGGGAGGGUGUCCUCAGAAUCCAAACAGUAGCAACUGGGCUUCAGUUGGUUGCUUCUGGCAUAAAGGUGCAGCCUUACAUUUUCCUGAACCUUAUGUAUAGCAGCGCAGUUCAUCACGCCUUGUUCUUGAAGUCCUUUAUAAAGAUAUGAUAAAUCUGGGCUACAGCCUCCAGCAAGUGGCAGGAUUUGUGAUGCACAAACAUUGGGGUCAUUCAGGAGUGAAUAUAACUUAGCAAUCAAUGAAGUGUUAAGACACAAUAUGUGGGAGUCUAAAUGGGCUCUUCUGUUUGGAGUAUUAGGGUUUUUGUUGUUGUUGUUUGUUUGUUUGUUUAACCAUUUCUUAGGCUUCUAUAAUCUUCAGCCUAUUAGGACUGAUUUAAAAAGCAGUAUAUCUAUGCAUCACCAAUAUGCAAAUUUGUUCUGCUUCUGUAUUUAUUGACACAUAAGUUAUGUGACACCAUCCUUAAGAUUGCCUACAUUUUUGGCUUAAUGACAAAUACAUAGUUGGAGCUCAAGUCCUCCCUCCCCCUUUUUCUAGUAAACAAAUGUUUUCAGAGUUCAAAGUCUUCAUAGAACUCACGGGUAUGUAUUAAAAGAUAAUUUUAAUGCUGAAGGUUUGACCUCAUGAAAAAUCAAGAUGUUAAAUAAGCAUGUUUUAUUUACUUAUUCCUGUUCCUUGUUAAUCAUAAUUUUUCAAAGCAGUUUUUAGUUUUUUCUCUGUUACUAUAUCCAUGGACACAUUUAUCAGCAUGAUUUCCUUUUAAAAGAGUCAGGGAUCAGAGAACAAUUUCUGUUAUUUAAAGAAAGACUGAGUUAUUUUAAUCCCAAAUGCCUCCUUUAAACAUAAUCUUUGGAGAAUGCCUUUUGUUAGUGUCUCUAUUUCUUUAUUUCAAUGCAGGGUUUCUCUUUUUCAUCUCUUGUUGCUGUAUUUCAGUUCUUGAUCUUUUCACCGGUGAGCCAGAGUGGCAGAAUACGAGAACCAGGAUGGAUCUGUUGUUGUGGGCUCACUUGUUAGAGGAAUUGCAUUGAAUUGUAUAUUGGGAGAGCCAGAGGCUAAGCCCCUGGUCUCCUGUACAGUUGAUUUUAUUAUUGAUUUAGGAUUUCCACCAGAAGAGGGAGCCACAUUCAUUAAAAUAACAUCCAUAAUCCAAGUUGCAUUCUUUCUUUUCUCAGCAAGUUCCAGAUGGAAUGCAUGUGACAUCAUGCUCCAAGCAUGCUGGAACCAGGCCUUUCUUUGGGGUGGGAGGGGGGCUGCCACAGAGACCACCACCAAAAGUUUGAGGCCUAGAGGAUACUUUAGGCUCUGUAGUGGGUCUGCAUGUUCUAAUUCUUUUCACUAUGAAAACAACAAAACGCAAAUGAAAACAACAAUCCAAAAACUUUCUGCUUAUUCUCCAAAGCCCACCUUUCUACUCAGCUGGGGAUCAUAUUUGUGCUGGAUUAAAAGGAUUGGAUCUUUGAUUAAGCAUGUAAUAGCUUACUUCUAUUUGUCAUGCCACAAAAACAACUGUCUCCAUUUUGUGGGAUAAAUGUCACAGUAUGAAUAAUAGAUUGUUACUUUUGUGUUAUAAUUUGAAGAUACCUUCAAAAGCUCCCCACCUCAGAAUGCUCCCUUUAUCUCUCCAUGUAUCCGCCCAAGUGUAUAGAAGUCCAGCAUGAACACUUAAUUCAUUUGCAUUGUUACAUUUAGCUUCACAAAGUCUUAAGAUUGUAAGUAAUUCCAGCAUGAUCAUGUGUUGGUUUGUCAUGAGCCAUUUAAGGACAUGUCCUAGGUGAGCUAAUUAGAUAGGCAAGCCUAUCACCUGAGUGACUAACCGGAGAGAUGGUUGUUUGGAAGAGGACAGGGGAGUUUAUUCCUAUGGCAUGCCUGAGAAAGUGGAUCUGCACAUAGACUACAUUGAUAAGUAUCUUGGGGCCAAAAAAGCAUAAAUAAAGCGAGGCCUCACCACAGACAACAUGGAAAGGAAAUACAGACAAGAAUACAGAUGGCUUUACCCACUGCACCCAUUGGUCUCAACAGAGUCCUGUCUAUAACUUGCAUAAAAUUAUGGCCAGGACAUGGACAGAAUUCUAGAGUGGGAUAUUAGCAAUUCCUUCCCCAUAUUUCUUUCCUGAUAUAAAAAUUUGUAGGUGAUGAUGUUGAAUACAGAAAUCCACAAAGGUAGAGGUGAUAAAAGGACGGGGGGAUACUAGAUGUCACUGGGCAAACUAUCUUGUUCUAUUCAGUCAUCAUGGGCUUUUUGUUUGGUUUGUUUUGGUUUGUUUAUUUUGAUAAUGGAGAUUGAACCCAGGGGUGCUUAACCACUAAGCCACCUCCCCAGCUCUAUUUAUUUAUUUAUUUACUGAGACAGCAUCUAGCUAAGUUGCUUAGGUCCUUGCUAAAUUUCUGAGGCUGGCUUUGAACUUGUAAUCUUCCUGUUUCAGCCCACCACAUUGCUGAGAUUAUAGGUGUGUGCCACUAUGAUCAGUAAUUUGCAUGCUUUUUUUUUUUUAGCCCAUAGAUGAGAGCAUCCAUAAUAUCCUAUGGGUGAUGGUGACAAACCCUCAUAUUUGUGGAACACCUUGUCUGUACAAGCUCUUUACAGUGCCUCCAGAGGUAGCUAUUAUUAGCACAUCAUUGUACUGGUUUAGGGAAGCUAAAUAACUUGCCCCAAGUAUCACAGCUGGGAUGAUGCAGAGUUGAUUUUUGAACACUACCCAUUCACAGACACCAAUUACCAGCCAUUAUACAAUACUUCCUUCCAUCCUAACAAAUAGCCCCAAAGCAAUAUUACACAUUUUCCCUUAAAAAUGACUGUACUAGCUAUGUAAGGUGGCAGACGCCUGCAAUCCCAGCUGCUUGGGAGACUGAGGCAGGAGUAUCACAAGUUCAGUCAGACUUAGCAACUUAGUGAGACUCUAUCUCAAAAUAUAAAAGCAAAGGCCCUAGGGUUGUGGCUCAGUGGUUGAGUCUAGUCAUAUACUGAACUCUUGAUUCAAUAUAUGAAUAUUGUCCUUCUGACCAUUUUUGAAAGAUUUGCUUUUGUAUGGGUCACUGAGAAUUACAGAAUAUAAUAUUAUUCCUAUAAUUAAAUUAUUUAAAAAUGUAUCAUAUAAGGUAAAAAAAAAUAUCUCAAAGUCAGGGUCUGAUGGUUGCUGUUUCUUUGUACUGUAAGUUAGGAAUACAGUAAAUUUUUGGCAUCUACUUGUUUUCUGCUUCAGCCAACAACCCUAAGUUGCAUAGUGAUCCCUUUUGCCUUAUGCUUAAACGGUUAAUGCCUAAUUGUGUUAGCAAUUUUCCGUUACCUCUCAUCUCUGCCAGGUUCAUUUCAUAUCACAUGGGUUCUUCCACUAAAGAAAUGCAAUUGCAAUUUUUUUUAAGUGGAAACAGAUGGAUUUCCAUUGCUUGAGGUAGGUCUGUUGUGGGGAGCUGGCCUCACGUGUGUGUGGGUGUGGGCUCGCCACACACACUAAUAACCAUGAAUGGGAGCCACUUUUAUGUAAGCACAUGGGGCUCAGCAAUCCUGAUAACUCUCAUCAGAAGUCCCUGCAGGCAGCCAGUAGAGUUUGCAUGCUUACAGCUGCAGUCCUGGGUUAAUGUUGUCACAAAAGGGAAGCUGUGUAUAAGCACUGAUAAAAGAUGGCAGAAACACUCUGUGAGAGGAAAAGAUACGACAAACCCUCUAGCUGUUAUGUCAGUAAAGCUCCACCAUCCCCUGGGUGAGUUUCCUUGAAAGGCAAACAGAUGCAUUGCUUCGUCUGUGCAAUUGGACCUAAUUGGGAAAGAAAAGAUUUCCAUUUUGAUUAGUAGGAGGAAGAUUUACUGUAGUAUGUCUCUUGGAGAUUUCAAGACUGGGUGCUGGUGAAAUUCUAGAAACAGAGCAGUGAACAGGAACAGGGUUUGAUACGUUGCUCUCCUGUUCAAUUCAGUGAACUUCAGCAUUUCAAGGUCAAGUCCAGAGCUGUCAGGAAGACUUCUUCAAAACUUACUUCGUGAUGUCUAUCACGUAUCUGUUGUUACUGACAGAUGCUGGCAUAUUUUUCUGGAAGUCACCCUUAUUCUGGGUUGCUGGAUUCAGGUUUGUUCUAUAACGUGACAAGUAUAUUGAUAGACAAUGGAGAUGGGAAUGAGUAGAGUUGUCCCUGAGCUCAGGGACUCCUGGGAGACAGGGACAGCAAGUCCAUUUGCUGUGCAGCUUUUAGGAGAGGGAAAGUGUACACUGUCCAUGGUGCCAAGAGGCAGUACUGGAGCUGAGUCAGCACUUCUACCCCACAGUGAGAAAUCUACUUUCUAUUGGAGAAGUAGUUUUAGUCUCUCUGCUCUGAAAACUAAAUCAUGAACAUAAGCAACAGAAUAAACAACAACAACCUAUAAAAAUCAAAGACAAUGUUUUUGACUGAAUAGUAAAUGUGGAUAAUAAAAAUUGGUGUGUUUUAUCUCAAAUAUUUUCUGCUGACAAGGAAGGGGGAGAAACUGUGUCUUUGGUCCCAGCUUAUAGUUUCCAAGUUCCUUUUAGGGAUUGGAUGAAUUUAUAGCAAACUAACCAAAAUCAGUGAUUCUCUAACUCAAAAGAGGAAAUAGACACUCCAGAAAGUCUGGCAAGUGAAGGAGGAGGAGAGAACCAGGCACUGGAAAGGUCAACUCCAAGGCAUAAUAGACCUUUUCUACCAAGCAUUGCUUUUAAAACCCCAUUGGUGCCAGGCGAGGUGGUGCAUGCCUAUAAUCCCAGCGAUUUGGGAGGCUGAGGCAGGAGGAUCCUGAGUUCAAAGUCAGCCUCAGCAAAAGUGAGGCGCAAAGCAACUCAGUGAGAUUCUGUCUGUAAAUAAAAUAUUAAAAGGGCUGGGGAAUGUGACUCAGUGGUUGCGUACCCCUGAGUUCAAUCCCCAGUACCCCCCUCCCCCCACAAAAAAAAUCACAUUGGUAUUGAGAAUCCCUAUAACAAAAGGGAGCACAUAAAUGUUUCAGGGAUCUUUGUAAGAAAUAUGUGGAGAUUAAUCCAUUAAGAAAAUGGUGGUUUUUUUUUUUUUAAACUUGGUGUUAUGGUACUCUUUAGAAAGUAAUAUUCAAGUAAGAUUUUUUGAUCAUGAAACUUCAUUAGUCGAAGCUUCCUCUUGCAAAAAUAGUUUGACAAAACUUCUAAAUCAAGGAACAUGGCUUAAUAGUGACUAAGUGCAUGGCCUGGAGAACCAUGUUGUCAGUUGAGCCCCCACUCCAGCUUUGUAAUGUUGAAUACAUAAUUGACCAGGCAUGGACUUAUUAAUUUGGAAAGUGGGAAUGCUAACUUGCUAUUACCAAGUUCUAAGGUCACUGUGAGGAUUAAAUAAGUUGCUGUACAUAUAUAAAGCACUUGAAAUAGGGCCUUGCAAGUAGUAUGUACAAUAUUAAAAUUAUCUGUUUAUAUUAUAUUAUCGCUAUUGUGAUGUGGCUUUAGAGCUGACUUAAUGAAUCAGAUCAUAUCUUUAUAGUUAUCAUGGGCAGGUGUGAAGCUGGACAGAGGAUGGGAGAAGGACCGCAUAGCAGGGAGAUACACCACGAGUAAGAAGAAAAUUCUUUCACGGAAAAUAGGAUUUUCAACACUAGAGGUCAUAUGUUCAAAUAUUAUCUUACAAAUAACUAAAGCCCCAAAGUACUUGAUUUGUACAAGGCAGCCUGGUUAAUCCACACCAAAGCUAAAACUGCAAGCUGAUUCCUGUUUUGUGCUUUGAUCCUGGGUAUCAUGUUGCAGGGAAGGAAGAACAGUUGAUUCUUCCUUCAGGAAUCAGGAGCCCUGAGCCCAUUGCUUAGCUUCAUUAGCUAGUCCUUGAAGCAAACCCCUUCACCUCUAAUAUGUUACUCUUCAAGAAUUAUUUUCUCAUUUGUAAAGUAUUGAGGCUUUUUCUACUACCUACCCUGCCGGGUUGGGGAAUCAAAUAUGUUAACACAGCUUAUAGGCUCUGAAGAACUCUGCAAAUGUAAGUUGUUGUUGCAUCAUCACCAUGCAAUAAUUUAAAAAUGACCCAUGCUGGGAGUGUUCUUAAUGAUGGCAAAGACAUGAUUUAGUAAUGAUUUAUUUUAGAUUAUUAAAUAAUAACUAGAUUAUUGGGCUAAUUUCAACCCCAGAGUGAGAUUGAGAUGAAUGGGCCGACCCGGUUAGGCCAUGUUUUUUUCAAGUUACCCUGUUUCAUCCAUGUACCAAGUAUCAUCACAUAAAAGUUUUAUUCUAACAAAAGGACUUAAGUUUUUAUCACAUACAUCUCUAUUGCUCCUACGUAAGUGGAUAUCUGAGAGAGGCUGAAGUUCAGAGGAUUUUAUUUUUUAAUUAAAAGCCACAACCCAUUAAUCUUAAAACCUGGAAGGUGCUGGAGUCCCAGGAAAGUAUUUGAGCUUCCUCAGUUUUAAUGUGGAAAUGUUUAAUUUACUUAGGAUUCAAGUUAGUGCUGCUUAAUUCCGAGACAGUACCAAGUUCAGUAAUCUUGUCAUCUAGAAUGCAGCCUGCUAAUCAUAAACCCUCUCAAAAGGAAACAGGUAAGGUUGACUGCCUGAAGCUGCAAAAAAAAAAAAAAAAGAAAAAAAGAAAAAAAAGCACACGGUAAAUCACAAACUGAAGGAAUGUCAGCCACCUAAAACCAGAUUUCAAGUUUAAAGCUUUUUUUGUAGUUGUAGUUCGGUUCUUCAGUUUAGUAUGUGAUGAAUUUUAAAGAGAUUCAAGACUAUGCCGAAAUGAAAGACAUUUUAUAGCUUCGAUAAUGUGAGCUAUUCUCUAAACUUAGGGAUUUUUAAAUAUAAAAGUGAUUAACAUCAAACAGGAAUGAAACAUUCUUCAUUAUCCGUCUGUGUAUGUGUGUAUGUGUUUAAAUUUAAGAUAGAGGAAAUUACCCUAGGGCAAGAAUACAAAAGACAACAGGGAAAAGUUAAAUACAGACAGACCUUCAUCUGAGCACUAUUGAGAAGGACAAAAAGUAAGUAAUAUAAAUGACCUGAACCCAAGACAUUGAUUAAUUAAAAGAUAUUAUAGCUAGCCUAUGAACUAUAAUGGAGCCAUUUACAUUUUUGUGAAGACCCUGAAACACACACACAAAAAAUUACUUAUGGUAGAAUGUUGAACAAGAUAUCAAAUUGUCUGCAAAUUAUGAUUACAUCUCUUUAAAGUGUGAGCAGACAAAAUGACUGAUAGGAUAUUACAUUAAAAUAAUGACUUUAUUGACUAGUUUCUUCAAUUUCAGGGUUCCUUCUUAAAAGGUUCCUCUCCCAAUUCUUUACAUGGGGACUCCUUGCUGCCUUCUGUUCUGUCUGAAGGUGCUGCCUCCUCCAGGAGGCCUUCCCUGAUAGGCCCCACUCAUUACUUCCACCACAGUGGCCCAUUUAAAUUCCCAGAACAUUUUCCUCAGUUUGUCUGCUAUCCUCUGAGAACAAAGGCAACAUCUCUUACACCAACUGUGCAGCACUAUAGACAGCACUCAGGCACUCACCACCUUUGCUGACUGGCAAGUGUUAAUGGAAUUAACCUCUAAAAUAAUGAAAGUUUUUGAUAUACACUGAUGUGAAAAGUUGACCACUAAAUGAAAUCUGUUGAUGAUAGUGGAGAAUCUUCCUUUCAUGAGAACAAGAGAUGUAGUUUCUCAUAGGGUACCUAAGGAGCCAACUGGUGAUCAGAAGGUGACUUGGUAGAAAUGGUAUCCAGUCCCUUGUACUUUGAUGACACCAGAGAGCAUCUGUGUUUCACAGCCCAAGCUUAAACACAUGAGAGCCAAGAUCUCCUUGAUGUCUGCACUAGCGACUCUGCACAUGUGAGUUCCAACUUCUGGUCAUCUCUGGUUCCUGUGUUCCGGCAGAGUCAGUCUGCUUCUCUCCUAAUGGCUCCAGAUGAGCCGCUCUACAAUGUGGUUUUACAUUGCACAGGUGUACCAUGAUUUAGUCUUUCUAAUAGAAAUUUGACUUACUUCUACAAAAAUAAUGACGCUGAUGAUACUUAUAAGAGUUUCUUGGAACACUGCUAUAAAAAUCUUUUGAAGGCACCUAGGAGGAGAAUUGUGGGGUAUUAAGCUAUGAGCAUCUAGAACAUUGUCACAUGCCAUAUUGUUCAUUUUUUGUUACCAUUGCCAGUGUUCGAGACUUACUGUUUCUCUACAUCAGUGAUUGUCACCGUCAACACUGUGUGUACAUUUGGGGCUAGAUCAUUAUGUGUACAUUGUAGGAUAUUCAGUAGCACUACUGGCCUCUACCCACUAGAUGCCAGCAGCAGCCCUCCCCAGUUGUGAUAAUCAAAAAUGUCUUUCGCCAUGACCACGUGUCCCCUGGAAGAGAGGAGGCAAAUCGUCCUUUUUGAGAACCUUUGCUCUGUCUUUGCCGACACUUGGCAUUGUCUGGUCUCUCUUUGUUAAUAUCACAAAGUCGGGAAAUUGAUGUCAACAUAUUUCCCUGUGAUGAGGAAUCUCUUAGGUAUCCAAAUAUGCCUUAUUGCUUCACGAUGAGACAUUUUAUCACAAUUCUUUUCUAAAACAAAUGGCUUCAUUUCCCACUACCCUGUUGUACCAACCCAAUAAUGCUUGAAUUUUUCGUUUUGGUAGAUCCAUGGAAAGUAGAGAUUCUGGGUAGACUGAAAGGUAGGACAAACCAGACCUGAGUCUAGUCAUUUAAACAAGCUGGAGGUCUAUAAGCCACGAGAGAAUUGCCAAGAAUGGGUAUAUGAUUUGGAGUAGGAAUGAUAAAAGAAAAGAUGAGAGUGAGAGUCCCAUCUGAACCACCCCCCAAACCUCUGUUUAUACAUUUAGAUAUAAGGUACAGACUAAUUUGUUUCGUGCCCUAUUCUCUUACUAUAUUUUCAGCAAAGACCAAUAAAGGAGGCAAAUGAAAUCCCCAGGAGUGAACAGCCUCACCAAUUUCCACAGCUGGAAAGAGAUUCAAAUUCACCUUUUGCUCCAGAGCCCAGGUUUUUGCCUUCUACCCUCUUCUCCUGUGAUGAUGAUCAGUGUUUGAAUAUUAUAGCCAAGCCACAGUUUGGAUGAGGAAUUCUUUCAGACCACUUGGCACUGCAGAUUCUGUGGAUAGAUAGAUUCUGUUGAAAAAGAUUAAUUUAUACAUCACGGAAAAGUAUUUCCCUGCCUCCCUGGGGAGCUUUUCCCUGCUUUGCAUUCCCAUAGCAUGGAACUGCACACAAUGAACCGUUUGAAAAUUGACUUCUUGCCUGUGGGUUUGGGAUUGUUCUCUGAUUGUUUGCUGUGCCUCACUUACUUUAUAUUGUCUGUUUUCUUAGGCAACACUUUGCUUUAAAGUAGGUGUGCAAAUUGAUGCUUGCCUUGUUCAGUUGAGAUAUGCUCAUAUUUAAGUUAUCUUAGUUUGGAAUAUCCACGCUUACAAAACAGAUAAAUUAUCCAGUCUGCUUGAACAAGGAGAAGCUCUUAGCCAGUUUACAAGGCUGGCUGCACUUAACAGCAUUCUGAAAAUCAUCCGAUGCAAUUGCUUGACGGAGAAACUUAAAGUUAAGGUGUUAAGGUAACUGACAAGUGAAAAACCUUCACAAUAAUGCAUCUUCUAACAUGUGAAGAAAUUAACAUGUGGUUUUUUUUUAGGAGCUCCUGCUCUUGAAAAGCACUCGGUUUACAAACGUGUAUUAUUUUAACUACUGAAAGCAAUUUAAGAGGAGCCACAAGUGACUUGAAUAAAAUUCCUUUGAAAUGAGAAUACAAGUCAAUAAAAAAAAAUGGAAGAUGUGUGAAUAAAUAACAAAAUUAAGCUCUGUUCUCCCUUUAUCUUUUUAAGAACACAGAGGCACAUAGCAAUGCAGCAUUUCUGACCUAUAUCCAUUACUCAGCAGGCGCUAAGUGUUUUAGACUUCCAGUUUUCAAAGGAUUUUUAUUGUGAAAUUUUAUUCUAGCACAGAUAUAAAUCCAUCCUGAGUUGGUGUUGAUUGAUUAAUGACCAUCAGUGGUAAGUAGUUGUCAUCCUAAGGUUUUCGGAGAUGCCAGUGAACCCUUGGCAGGUUAAAUAGUUGUUCCUAAUUUCCUAUGGGCCUCCAUUAGGAAUUGCCUAUGGUAGCUGAGGGACCAAGAAGACCUAGGUUUCAGUGAGGCCAGACAGAGUUCUGAGUCUCUGAUAAAUGAGGGCCUGGACUCCAGGCCUUAGUGUCUCUACAAAUAGAAGCAAUCAAGUUAAAGCCCCAGAAAAGACUGAUCCGAGAGCACUGGAGUGUCUGGGGCCUUCAGGACCCAUCACACAGUCAGAAGCGUGACAACCAAAGUGCUGGGAUAUUUUCAUCUGUAGUGAUAGCUCUUUAAUUUCUCCUGAGAUAUUCUAAGUGCUGGUUGGAGUAUUUUCUUUUUCCCUCUAAGUUCCUUGAAACUUAUCUUUCAUGUUUUUUCAAACAUAUGAAGGUAGAACAUUUUCAGACAUUUCCCCCUCUCUGUUGUGAUGAAGCCUAAUGAGUUUCCCACAGCAAUGCUUUUAUACUUCUUUAUGGAUGUGAAAACAUCACCCUCAUUCUCUAGUGCCAUCUUUAUGUCACUGAACCUUCACAAUACUGCAUUUUCUUACAUGGAAAAAAAUAACAUAUGACUGACUGUCUGGGGGCUCCUGCUCUUGAACUACACUUGGUUUACAAACACAUAGUUAUUUUAACUACAGAAAAUAAUUUAAGAGUAGCCACAAGUGGCUUGGAAAGCCUUCAAUUUCCUGGCUUGUCUUUUUAUAAAAGUGCAUGGUUGUGAAGAUGUAAAACUUGAAUGGAAUGUUUUCUAAGUUAAAAAAAAAUGUAUUACGGUCAGGAAGCUAGUUGAAUGUUUCUUUAAAAGUGAGUUACCCAAUGUAGAGGUUGAUUAGAGUAAUAGGUCAAAGGCCCAAAGAUAUUUCAGAAAGGAUGUAGGACUUCUAAUAAAUCACUUUCUCUCCCUUUCAUAGUAACUCUCUAUGUAUAGGGAUAAAAAAAUGUUUUCUUUUUCUAAAAAUAAAUAUCAUACUGAAGUGUUAAAGUAUUGUAUUUAUACUUCUACUUUCCAUAGAGCAAUUCCUUUUCAACGUAAGAUGCUAUAACUCUUGUAAAUGUGGGUGCCGUACUUUAUAAAUUCAAAACAUUUUCCAUGCAGAUCUUUAAUCUCUAGCACAGUGCUUCAUGUGAAUUUUAAAUGCUGUAAUUAAAUGAAUCUUACUAAAAAAAAGUCUCUUUAAACAUUAUUCCUUGCCUGCCUGCAAUAGAAAUUAUCUAAAACUUAAAAAAAAAGUAUCUUCUUGUUUCUUUGUCUAUUCCUGUAGAACAUCUUUUCUGAGGAGGCUGGUGUUAUGGUUAUGGAAAACAUAUGCCCUUGGAAUUGAUGGGUGCCUGAUGGUAGGAUCUGUAUCUAAAUUGUGAAAGAUGACACAAACAAGACUAAGGGGAAUAAGUACAAAUAUGAUCCAAAUUUUUCUUUAGAGAUAGAAAGAAUUAUAUAAAACUGCCUGAGUCUAAACUUGUAUUUCAAGGGUCUUCCCGAAAAUUUUUUAAAAAAGGCAUUCUGGCUUAUAGAUCCUUGGCACUAAGAGAAAAUAUUUUUGUGCACAGCUUCAGGCAUUAUGCAUCUCAUUUCCUGCUGUCAUAAAAAGUAGACCUUUUUUGAACAGGUCUGAGCAGAAAGACUGUGGUUACUUUCACACUUGAAUCUCACAUGAGAGUUUUUAAGACUUUAAAAGUGACUUAUAUCUUUAAAUUUUCGCAUAAGAAAUAUGGUGUCUGUCUGUAAGGGAGACCCCAGAGUAGUUGCUGGGCUCAGCAGUGUGUGGACACACAGUGGUCACACUGGGGCAUGAAGUGGCACUUUUCUAGCUUUGCUUAGAAGAGUGAAUAUCAGCUUUAAUAGCAAAAGCAUAUGUGUUUGCUACAAUUGAUUGACACAUGGUAGAGGAGCCUAUAUACUUGAAGUAAAGAUUAGGGUAGAAGUGCAUAGCUGGGGGAAAGGUCUAAAUUUAGUCUUGAAUUCAUUGCUCUUAGGUGUGUGGUGUUUGAAAUAAUUUUAGAUGGACUACUUUUGGAUAAGCAUAUCAGGUUCAGGCGGACUACAAAGUGCUGUUUUAGGUGCACGGUAAUUAAGAUGAGUCAUGGGUAUUAUUUCUAGUUCAUUGGGGUUGUCAAUGCAGCAAUUACCAAGCAAUUGAUUAACAAACAUAAGACAGGUUCACUACUAAUGCAAUAUGAACAGCCUCCCUAGAAAUAGAUUAGUACAUGGAUCUCUGAGAGUAAACCUUGGUACUGAGUAUGGAAGUUCUAACAGAAGGAUAGGGUGGAGAGUAGCAGAAAGAAUGAGUAAAUAGUGUGACUAAAUGUUCCAAUUUAGAGACACUGGAGGGUCAGUUACCCAAUAUAAGACUUUCAGUGAUGGUCUGAGUUGCUGUAGUGUAUAUAUAGCUUUCAAACCUUAUUUUAAUCAGUGUUAUAUAUUGAAUUGUGCACUCUAGAAUUCUAGUAACCUCCAGUGCCUCAAAAUAUGACCUAAUUUGGAAACAGUUUUUGAAGUUGUAAUUAAAAUAAGGUCAUAGUUGUGUCAGGUGAACCCACGGGAGAGCGUCCUGUGAAGAUUGGCACUCUGUUAUCACAAGGUAAGAAACCUCCCAGGGCUGGGAGAGAGACAUGGGCAGCUCCUUCAAACCAGCACUGGAAUCCCUGUAACCAACUGACCCUUCAAUGUGUAUAAAUUGGGCCAUUUAUUCACACAAUUCAAUCAGCCUUCCUACUAUGUACCAUUUUUUUCUUCUCUUCAAACUUCCAAUACCCAGUUCCAAGGCUUUAGAGGGAGUGUGAUUAUGAAUUUCUGUUGUGCUAAGUCACUCUGUUUGUAGCAAGCACCUUGUUACAGCAGCCCUGGUAAACUAAUACAGCCAUGGGAUCUUUAUUUAAAUGCAGUCCUAUCCAGAAGUCAUCAAGCAGAUUGCUCUUUGAAGAUCAAAUUGGGGGAAGAAGAGUGAGGGGCUUAGGUACCAACAUCAGGUGAAUGUAUGGUCAUCUUCCCUCUGCUCCUCUCCUGAUUUAGGUCUAAAAAGAUACCUGAGGAGUUUUAAAAUUACUGUUUAACUCGUAGGUCUUGCUGUUCAUCCUACCUAGCAAUAUUUCCCUCUCCAAUCAAGUGGUUCUUUCAUAGUCAUCUCAACUUAUCCAUUCUUGCUCCUACCAUAUUGUCUGCUCUUUCUAAAUGGUUAUUUUUUUUAUCUGAUAAUAUCUUUAUUUACCCAAUUCUCUGAAAAAGUCAGAGAUUUUAUUCAUUCUCUGAAUAAAGUCUUCUAUAACUACUACAACAUUCUCUGAAUAAAGUCUUCUAUAACUACUGCAAGCGUCAUUGCCUUUUCUUUCUUCUGAAUCCUUUCAAAACGUGUAGGACACACCAACAGUUCUCACCAGACCCUGCUCAUUCCAUUUCCUUAUGGAACAUAUGGCAUUCUGGAGUAGUACUGCCCUCCACGUGGGUCACUAACAGGAUCUUUGAAUUAAUUAACUAUUGGUGCCAUGGCAAGUUACACAUUUGACAUUUUAAAGCAAUAGGAGUAUAUCUCAUGUUUCCAGAGGUCAGAAUUCUGGACUGGCUAUACUAUAUUCUCUGCUAUAGGUCUCAAGGCUGAAAUCAAGGUGUUGGUUAAUGAGGCUCUUAUUAGGAGGCUUACAGAAGAAUCUGCUUCCAAACUCAUCCAGUAUUUUGGAAGGUCUGAUUUCAUGAAGUUGUAGGAAUAAGGGUAUCACUUUACUUCAAUUGUGGUCCAUUCUCAGCUCUCAGAGGCCUUUUAGCGGUCCUUAUGUAUGGGCCCUGCAUCUCAGCACCAACAAAGGCACUGUGAAUCCUUCCCACAUUUGUGAUCUUUCACUUGUCCCUCUGCUUCUGUCUGCUGACAACCAGAGAAAUUCUUUGCUUUCAGCGCUCAAAGGAUUAGAUUGGCCCUACUCUUAUAAUCUCUAAAGUCAUUAACCUUAAUGACAUCUGAAAAAUUGCUUUUGCUAAAUUCAGUUUUCAGGGAUUAUGGUUUUGGAUGCCUUUGGUAGGCCUUUCUUUCCAGUAUCUACCAUGGUCUGUCAAAGCAAAAUCCAUGUGUAAUGUUUUGUUUCUCGUUCCUUCUCCCUCUGAACCAUGCCACCCAUCCCUAGAACAGCAGUAGGGUCUCUCUCAGUACCUUUAGUUGUUGAUUGAUUAAUCAAAUGAGCAAUAAUUGAUGAGGCACAGUUUUGUGUUUUUGAACCUGUGGUGAUUGAUCUUAAUUAUAUUUUGGAAGAUUGUUUCGUUAAUUGAAUAUAAGUUGGUUUGUAAAUACGAGAGGUAUACAGACCAGCAAGUGAUGGAUAUAAUCUAGAAAUGAGAAUUGUUUAUGUAACUCUGAGAUUAUUGUGGGAAUGGAGAAUAAAGAAGUGCUGUCCUUCUGAGAUGUAAACAGGGCACCUGGAUGCUACUGUCAGAGUAGUUGGUCCCUUAUUCAUGUGUCUGGCACAAAAUCUCAAUAAUACUUUUGAAUGAAUUUUAAAAUAACACAUGAAUUUUCUUAAUUCAUAAUACAAAGUGAGUUCAAAAGAUGAAACCUCAAUUCUGAAGACUGAACUAUGCAUUGCUAUUUGUGUUCUUAAGAAUAAAUGAAAGAAAAUUUCCAAUUAUCUUGGAUUUCCCCUACCAGCCCAGGGGGAAAAAACAAAAAACAACAACAAUAAAAAACAUCUGCAGGAAGAAGUUCACUUUCUUCAUAUUUGCUCACAUUACCUGUUUCUAUAGCUGCAUUCAUAAGUAUUCCAAGAUUAAAGAACACAAUGAUAGCAAAUAUACUCAGCACUUGCCUUAAACAGAUCCCGGUGAAUAUCUCCCUAACCAAGAAAAAUAGAACAGAAGAAACAGAACCCAUUAAGUAUCCAAAAGGACAACUAACUGAUUUCUGCUUAGUUUGUUAUAUAUGGGGCAAUAAAUCUUCCUCUCUCUGUCUACCUAUUCUCUCUUUCAUUUUGAAGCACAUCUCUCCUUUAGUUGAAUUAUUAUUUUUUUUAAUUUAUUUUUUUAUUGGUUGUUCAAAACAUUAUAAAGCUAUUGACAUAUCAUAUUUCAUACAAUAGAUUCAAGUUGGUUAUAUAUAGUUGAAAUAUAUAUUGUAGCAACCAUAUUGCUAUCAUCCCUCAGUGUUUUGUGAGGUAAGGAAUUAACUAGCUCUACCUUCAUUUAUGUGGGUGAUUUGAAAGGCAAAUGGAGAAUCACUUUCUCAAUUGGAAAAUACCUAUACUCAUUGAAUUACCUUUUCUUUAAUGAAAAAAUUAACUUGAAUAACCAUUUCCAUAUUGGUAGUGUUGUUUACAGCUGUACCAUAGACAAUGUAAGCUCUUUGUUUCUCUUCUAUGUGUUUUCUUUUAUACACUGUGACAAUGUUCCUCAAAGUGGGGGGUCAAAUCCAAAGCCAUCAAUAUUUGAACCCCAAAAGAUGUUCAUUAAAUAUGAAGAUUUCCGGCCACAUCUACAUCUUCUGAAUCAUUUUCUUUGGCAGUUUAUCUUGAAAGGGAAAAAUACCCAAAUCCUUAAAAUACAAACUAAAACUCCUCCAAUAAAAGUGUGAAAACAAUAUGGGGUUGCUCUCUUAUAAUAAAUACUCAAUAAAAUUAGCUAAGUAUAGAGCCUCUUGUUCCUUUUGUAAUCUGUCAAACCCAUACAAAUGGGAGCCCUUUCUUCUGUUAUCAAUGUUCCCAUGUAGAAAUACUCUGUCUUAACAGGCUAACCUUUUCAUAGGCAAUGGGUAUGCCCACAGAAGGUCUAGCAAGUUCAUCUCUAUUACUGCACUAUAUAAAUUAUUGUGCUUGAGGUUUGGUGGUUAUAAGCAAAUACAAUAUAAUUUUGUAGGUCUUCUCUUUACCUACAGCCCAAUUUGAUAGAUGAGACAUACAUAUAUUCAAAAGCAAUAAAAGUCAAUAGAUUCCAGAUGUCAGGUGUGUACAGUAGCUAUUGAAAAUAUUUGAGGUGAUAAGAAAUUAUAGCAAGUUGGCAGAAUGGCAGGAAUAGGAGAGGAGCUAGGUUCUGAUAGAUGUAUUCAAAAUAAGGCAAGAGGAACAGUGUGAUACAGAGUUAGAAAAUUCAAAUGGGAGAUAUAGGCGAAUACAUCCAGAGUGGAGAGUUUAUAUAAGGGGAUUAUAAAUUAAGUUUGGAAGCUAGCUUGAGAUGAAUUUAUGAAUUAUCUUGCAUGCAAAUUUUAAAGAGUCUGAAUUGUGUUCAUUGGGGAAUAGGAAAUCACUGAAUACGGAGAAAGUAUUGAUUAGGGAUUUAUGAUGAAUGGUGGGUAUAGGAAAGUGAGAAUCAGAGGUGAGAUCACAGGUUAAAAACCUAAACAACUAUCUAGGUCACAAAUUAAAGUGUGAAGCACAGUUGUAGAAAUGGGAAUGGGAAGAAUACAUAGAUACAGGUACUGCUUUGGAAGAAGAACCAAGAUCCAGUAUGUUAGUGCCAUCUUUGCUUGUGUUAGGGCAAAGAAAUGGCAAUUUGAGUCUGGAAACAAUGUUAUGAUAAAGGCAUACAUAAUCUUUAAGAUUCUAUAUAAACUUUAAUUUAUUCAUUUCACCAGCACCUACUUUGGGGCCAACUGGAAGAUGGUAUGUGCUAUGUUAAGUCCUGGAGAUAGAAAACAAACAAACAACAAACAAAAAAGAGACAUGUUUUCUUUUAAGGAGCUUCCAGAAUCAUAGAGAACACAGAAACUUGGGCCAACAAUUAUAAGAAAUCAAAAACUGAUGCUGAAUACCUAGGAGUAAAUAAUCCUAUUAAUCACAGGAGGGAGCAUCACAGGGGCAGUAGCCCAGAAAGAAGGCAAGUAGGCGUUUUCACUUGAAUUAAGGUUGUGCACAGCAGUCAGGAUUCCAACAGGAAACAGACAUCACAUUUGAAAUAGGAUGGUUCAGCAAAGUUCCACUAACUAGGGGUUAUUUACAAAGGUGUAGAAAUAGGGAAAGGACAAGAGACAUCCCAGAGGCUGUGAACUUUGUAGCAGUUGAGCUGUUAUGAGCCUAGUUGAAGAGUCACAUAGGAAACAUGUUCUCCUAUAGGAAACAGGGAACAAUUAUUGGCAUCUGAAGAGAAUAAGUUUUUUUAUUAGUCAGGGUUCUCCAUAGAAACAGAGCCAACAAGAUUGUGUGUGUGGGUGUGCGGGGGAAAGAGAUCAACUUAAGGAAAUGGAGCUUGUAGUUGUGGAAGCGUGGUAAAUCCAAGAUCUGGGGGUCUGAGAGAUAGGCUAGAGACCAGAGGAAGAAUUUAUUUGAUAUCAAAGGCAAUCACCUGGCAGAAUUUUCUUUUCUUGAGAAAUCAAUUGUUAUACGAGGUCUACUCAAGAGUCUACUGACUUAAAUGUUAAUCUCAACUGAGAAGUAGCUCCACAGAAACAUCUAAAGUAAUUGUUGAUUAAAUACCUGGGUACUAUGGUUUCGCCAAGUUGACACACAAAAUUAACCACCACAGUCUUGUAGCACGGGUCACCUUGAGAGUAGAAGGGACUUUAGGUAGAGGGAUAUAAAUACACUAGAAGUAAUUUUUCAGCUGUGCUGUGGUUCUCCAAGUGGGGGCCUGACUAGCAGUAUUCAUGUGUUAGUCAGCUUUACAUCACUGUGACAAAAUACCCGAGAAAAGCACAUUAAAGGAGAGAAGAUUAAUUUUGACUCAUGAUUUUAGAGGUUUUAAUCCAUGGUCACUUGACUGUUGAUCCUGGGCCUGUGUGAAGCAGAGACAUCAUUGGUAAAAGGGUCCCUCAGAAGAAAGCUGCUCACUUCAUGGCAGCCAGGGUGCAGAGAAAGAAAUACGAAGGUACUGGGGACAUAGGAUAUUGACUGUCUACCAUGACCAUCUUCCCCCAACUAGGCCCUGUCCCCUCCACUAAUGAGCAUAGAGCCCUCAUGAUCUAUUCAUUUCACCCCAAAUCCCAAUUCUGAACAUUACUGCAUUAAGGACCCAGCCUUCAAUGAUGAGCCUUUGGAGGACAUGAUAGAUUCAAACCAUAGCAGUCAGCAUCACUGAGAAACUGAUAGAAAUGUGGCUUCUCAGCCCCCUCAAGCCCCACUGAAUCAGGAGUGGUCUGUGUGAAUUUUGUGUACCACGAAGUUUGAGAAGCAUUGAGUGAGAUGAGUAAAUAAUCCAGUCUCUGUCCCUCUUCCAUUUGACUUCCUGAUUGACCUACUUCUGAGCCAGACUGCCGCAGUCUGGCUGGGCACAAAAUAACGGAGCCACUCACAGCCUUGUAGAUUCAAACAGCAAUUCUUUAUUCCCGAACUCUCACCGGCACUCUACACGCACGUUCUGGGAAAAUCUCCACUUCCACCGGGCUCUGCAUCCCAAAUACUCUCUGAAUCCCAGGAGAACUCAACGGGAACUCAAGGAGCGGGCGCCUGAGGCAGCAGGAUACGCCCUAUUCCCAGCAGGAUCCACACCCUAAACCUGGAACCGCCCUAAACCCAGAUCUGCCCUGGUCCUUGAGCAGGGUCACCUUUCUCAAACAUUCAUGCAAUGUCACUGCAAAUGACCUGGGUCCAAGGCAAGCCCAUUUCCACAAUGGAGAGUCCUCCCUCUAAGCAACAUGGGGUAGGCUGACAAGGAAAUUGCCAUGCGUCAUUCCUACUUGGCUAUGGCUCUCAGCACCAGACCUCUUAAGAAGGCAAAGACACAUCCCUUCUAAUGGAGGACCAUAAAGAUUCACUUCUCAGCACUGGGAUAAGAGUAGAGAAGAAAUCUAGGAGGUAACUGCAAGAUAUGCUGCCCCUGUAUUAAGGAACAUGCAAUUUACAUAGGAUUGAACGUGAGCCCCAUGGGCAGAGAAGAGAUGGCAUUGCCAAAGUGGAGACCUUAAGAGGAUAGACACGUGAUCCGGGUAUAGAUGCCAAGUGUAAUGUAAGUGUGCACUGUGAUAUGGAGGCUUACCGAAAAGCAGCAUGGAAGUGGCGGAAGCAUCCUGUGAUUUGUCUUUCUAGAAUCACAUUUCAUCUGGAGCUUCCACUGUUGCACUGAACUGGCUUUUUGCCUGGUCAAGACUGUAAGUCAGAGUUUUUAAUUUCCUGAACAGAUCACUCCCUUUGACUUUUUGUCUGGCAUGUAAAGCAUCUUAGCUCCUCUCUCAUCUCUGACACAUGGUCUGUCUGCCAUUGUGGUUAUCCUCAGAGAAUUCAACUAUGACUUGAUUGCAGCCAAGCUCUUAUCAAAGUAUUGCCUGAGACAUCUGGUCUUUCACAGAGGAUGUCUGAUGGACAAGUGAUUUUUGCCAUGACCUUUAAGUUUUAUCACCAUGAUAAAUUAUGUGUAAUCUCAGACCCUCAUGGAAAUGAUUGUUCUGAGCUGACAUUUAUGUUAUGCCUUCAGAUUACAUGGGUGGCGAAAACAGUACCACUAAUUAAUGAGGAACUUUUUUUUCCAACCUCAUUUAUUGAUUUUUCCAAACAACCUUACUGGAUAACACACCAGUGCUCUGUACCAGAGAUGCUUUUAAGACAUGGAUACUGUCUGUAAGUUGUCCACACUCUAGUGCAUGAAUUGGAAACUUGAGCAGGUACAGUAUAAGUGCUAUGAGUGGAAGACAGGAGAAAGAGAUACUGAAGGUCCCCAUUUGUGAUGGGUUGAUUGUUAAUUUUUUGGUAAAGCUACAUGAAUUCAGUAGAAACUAAGUUUUGAGUCUGGAUUUUUUUCUGGGCUAGUAUGCAGUGUAAUACUAUCUCAAUGCUGAGCAAUGGCAGUGAUUUGCACCUCUUGGUCAGAUCCAUGAUUACGAGGGAUAAUGACCAAAACUCUACAGCACACUGUGUUGCUAAGCUAGUAGGCUCCGUGGAUGAAGAGCAUUAAAUGCGUUUUCCAUUUACAUUGUGCUAUGGUUUGGACAAGUGUCCCACAAAGGCCCAUGUGUUCUAGGUUUGGUCCUUAGCUCAUGGUACUCUUGUGAGGUGAUGGAACUUUUAGGAGGUGGGGCCUAGUAGAAGGAAGGUCAUGGAGGGUGUGUGUCCUUGAAGGGGAUAUUGGGACCCCAGCUUCUCCACUUCCUCUCUCUCUUUCUACUCUAUGGUUACCAUGACAUAAGCAGCUUUAUUCUCUCAUGUGUUUCCUGCUGUAGUAUGCUAUCUUGCCACAGGCCCCAAAAUGGUGGGGCCGAACUGAAACCAUGAGCCAAAAUAAACCUUUCCUCUUUGCAGUUGAUUUAUCUCAAGUAUUUAUCACAGUGAAAGGAAGCUGUCUAAUAUAUGUUGUUUUCAAUUUAUGGUGGGUUUAUAGGGAUAUCGUUUUGUAAGCUGAAUGCUUUUACUCAGGAGUGAUAGAGCUCUUUCUAGUGAGCUUUAGGGUUCACAAGUAGACAAUGGAAUGGUGAUCUUCUGGGAGAAAAGGGAUUUUAGGACCAGGAAAGAGAGCAGUGGCCAUGGAUAGCUAAAGAUGGGACUAGAGUGACGACUGGAGGACAUAGGUGGCCAAGAGCUUUAUACUGUUUUUACCCUGGAGUUAGAAUUCUAUCUUUAAGGUGUAAGGGGCACAUUAAGGGUUUUAUGAGUCCUGGAUUAACAUGACUAGAUUUGAGUAGAGCAGGUUUGAUAUGUUUGAAGCUGUCAAACCUUAGCUUUUUAAACUUAAAAAAAAAAACUGUACUUUUUACUUUUUAAAGCAGUUUUAGGGUUACAAAAAAAUUGAACAGAAAAGUACAGAGUUCCCGUAUUAUCAGCUCUGCCUGUAUUGCCAGCACAAUCCCCCUGUUGUUAAUAUCUUGCAUCUGUAUGUUACAGCUGUUAGAACAGAUGAACCAAUUUCAAUUGCUACAUUGUUACUAACUAAAUCCAUGGUUUAUAUUAGGGCUGUCAUUCUUGGGACACAGUUGACAAAUGUGCAAUGUCCUAUGUCCAUAUUAUGAUAUAAUACAGAAUCCUUUGCAGAUCGGCUCUUUUUUCCCCACUUAGCAAUACUUAAUAUACUUAAGGUUGUUCUAUGGUUUUUCAUGGCUUAAUAAAGCUUUUCUUUAUACUGCUGAGUAAUAUUCCAUCAUUUGGAUAUCUAUUCAUUCAUUUAUCUAUUGAAUACUGAUGGAUUUUUUAAAUUAAAUCUAUAUUUAAUUUUAUAAGAAACUUCUAAACUGUUUCUAAAUUGUCUGAUUUUUAUAGGCCCACCAGCAGUGAAUGGGAGCUCAUGUAGCUUUACAUCAUCACCAGUAUUUGGUGAUGUCAGUUUUUGGUUUUUAGUUUGUGUGUGUGUGUGAGCUAUUUUAAUAGGUAUUUUAAAAUAUUUCUUUGUUUUAGUUUCUAAUUCUCUAAUGGCAUAAUGUUGAGCAUCUUUCUGUACGUUUAGUUGCCAUCUGUGUAUUUUCUUCAGUGAGUUGUCUUUUCAUAUGUCCCAAUUUUUAACUGUUAUUUUUAAUUAUUGACUUAAGAGUUCUUUUUAUAUUCUGAAUACUUAUCCUUUAUCAAAUAAGAUUUUUCUAGUCAAUGACUUUUCAUUAAUAGUGUCUUUUUCUUUGCAAAAUACAAGUUUUUGAUUUUACCCCUCUCCAACUUACCAUUAUUUUUUCUUUCAUGAAUCAUCCUUUGUGCAUUGGGUCUGAAAACUUUUCACCAAACCAAGUUUGCUUAGAUCUGCUUUUAUAUUUUUAAGUUUUUUUUUUUGUUAUUGAAGUAUAGUGUACACAAAUGUACACAUACCAGUAAAGCUUAUUGUGAUUUUACAAAUUGAACCUGUAAAUGAGCACCCAAACCAAAAAAACCAGAACAUUAACAUUAUCCAUAACAUCUAUCUCUAGGCACCCAGCCAAAUCCCCGUGGUGAAAACCUACCAACAUAGAUGACCUUUGCCUGUUUUACUUAAUGUAAAUGAGAUCAUAUACAGUAUGUGCUAUUCUCACUAAACAUCAUUGGUGAGAUUCCUCUACGUUGUUUGGCAUAUCUGUAGCUUGCUCAUUCUUUGUUAUGUGCUGUUUGUGUUUCAGUAUACCAUAAUUCAUUUAUGUUGAUGAGCAUUUGGGUUGGUUCCCGUUUCAGAAUCUUGAAAAUAAUGUUGCCAGUACAUGUCUUUAGAGGAGCCUGUGUACAUAUGGGGUAAACAUAUGCACCUAUCGUAGAAUUGCUGGGUUACAGGUGUUGCAUACAUUCAUCUUCACUAGAUAAUGCCAGAUGGUUUUCCAAAGUGGUACCAAUUUAAAAUCCCAUCAGCAAACCAAUUUACUUAAAAAAUUUAAAGUGUGAUUUCUUGCUAAAUAAUGAUGUUCUAGGAAAACAUGAAAUAGGCAAAAUGUUGAUGAAGUCUUCAUCAGAGAGAAAAGGAGUCAGAAGCUCAUUUUGCAAAGAAUUAAAGAAGAAGGUGGGAGCCAUGUAUGAUAUGAAACUCUGCCCUGGAUCAAGUUAGAACCGUGGAAGUCAUGAAUCAUCAUUAAUAUCCUUGAUUCCUGAAGUACAUGAAGAAGUCCUCAUAGUUUCCAUUAAGCUAGCAGUUUAUUCACUCUUUCUGUCCAAAGUUAUCAAAGACUAAACAACUGAUUGAAAAAUCGCACUAAUAGGUGACAUCUAUUUGGGGGGUGAACACAGGGCAUAAAUGAUAUGAGUAUGCCAAAUACCCCACCAUCAGUCUGAAAGGGAGGUUAACAUAGGACAGAUUAUUUAUACAUUCAACAAUAGGGACCAAAAGUAGAAUGGUUUAGAAAAAUAGUCCUAAAGUAGAGUGUCAUUGACUAGAUUGUAAUCCUCAGCACAGGAAGCGUUGUCUUAUUCUGAAUAGAAAGGUAGCAUCUCUUGAGUGUCUGGCACAAAAUAAGUUAUUACUAAAUAGUCAGUGAAUGAAUUAAUGAAUGAAAAUGCUGUGAUGUAUACAGAUUAAGAAAAGACAUAAAUAUUUUAAUGGGCAAGAUUAUCAAGGAAAACUAUUGUAUAAAACAUUCAGGUGUCAUUGUAGACUAAAAGAUAAGAGCCAAUAAUGGGUCAGAGGUAGGUAUUUGCUGUCUGCUAUGUGUCAUUCAACAGGUAAAUUGAAGGACUCUCUGUAGAGAAGAUCUGUGGGUUUGUGGUGGUGGGGGCGGGUAGGACUUGAUGUCUAAGUAAGAAGGCAACACAGAGCAUUAAGAAUUAGUAGUAAGUAAUGAACUUUAACAUUAGUCAAAUUAUUUGUAUAGUUUUAUAUUUUAUUUUGAUUACCACUUUUAAAGAGAAUUGUGAAUAUAGAGAAAUGUAAUAAAAAUUAGAAAAAAAUGUAUGACAAGCCACAUGAGUACAUCAUACUGCUUACCAAGAGUCUGUGUAUAUAUCUGGUAGAGUGUCUGUUAACAAUAGUCUAAAUCCUGACUAAUUAUUAUUUCCUGGAAUAAAUCAUUUUCUGAAGAGUUUUGAGAUUGUUUCUUUAAUUCAUAGAAGUCUAAACAAUAAGACAAGGAAUUAAGGCACACAAUGUCUUGCUCAAGCCUAAGGAAAACCCUAUGAUUACCAGAACAUUGAAGUGUUGAAGUAGAAUGAGACUAUCGGUACUUUUUGUGGAGACCAUCAAGAAAUGCAGAGACAAUGAUCAGUUCUGAGCAAUUGCUAUGGGCUGAAUGUUUGUGUCCUCUCAAAAUUCCUUUGUUGAAACCCUACUUUCCAGUGCUAUGGUAUUUGGAGAUAGGGCCUUGUGGAGGUAAGUGGCUCUUGAGGAGGCAGCCAUCAUGAUGGGAUUGGUGUCCUUACCAGAAGAGUUGUGAGGGAACUUGAUUUCUCUUUCCACCAUGUGAGGCUGCUCCAAGAAGGCAUUCAUCUGCAAACCAGGAAGGGGUCUUCUAGGAGCUGAAAUUAGCAGGCACCUGGAUCUUGAACUUCCAGUCCUCUAGUCCUGUAAGAAAUAAAUCUCUUGUGGUUUAAGUCAGUGAUCUUUGUUGUUGUUGUUGUUAUAGAAGCUUGAACAAAGUCAGCAAUUGAAGCGUUUCACUGCUUCUUAACAGUGACCUGGAUAAGGUGGUUACUAUGGCUCCUCAAUGCCAUUUUCACUUGAAGAAGCAAAAGUAAUGUAAAAAUUAGACACUUAGAGUGUGAAACACAUAAGUUGAAUUGAGGAUAUGCUGACAACAUUUAAUUAAACAACAAACUCUUUAAAGGCACUAAUGGAAGAUUUUUAAAAGAUGACUGUUACAUUUGCAUAAGCACUCAAUGUGAAGCUGUGCAGUAUACUGGCUUUCAGAUGGGUUAUCAGCCAAUAAAAGUUGAUAUGAUACAGUGGAAAUGACUUCCACAUUGCCCAUAACCCUCUAAGCCACUGGCUUUUGCAAGCAACUGAGGCUUCUCUGCAAACUCCAGAACACCACUUUCAGAGGCAAAUUCUAUCACCCUGAUAGCAUUUUCUAGUUUUAUUUGAUCUUGAAAAACAUUUCAUUAUGUUUAAUUUAGGGAAAUGAGAUUUCUUUAAUUACUAUCAGUAGCAGCUAUUAGAGGCCCAAUUACAUUUGCAAAUUCAUUUUUAAAAGCUUUAUAGUUUUGAGAUAAAAAUUUCAAGAUCUAACUGCACCCAUUAAAAGUUACUGUUCUUCCCUUUGGUGCCCAUACUUCCAAGAGAGAAGACAUGUUUUAUAGUACAAAAUAAAUAAUGCUGGAAGCUGAGGAUUAGCCUAAAUAGAGCUUAGAAUCACUCACUUGAAUAAAUUAAAUAUUCCAUCAAAUAAAUUGGUUCAUUAAACAUGCUUAUGGAUUUCGUUUUUUGGGGGUUUCACAUACACUGAGCUCUACAGUGUGAAAGGUCAGGAUAUACCCAUAAGGUAGAGGCUGCUUUCUAGCUGGGAAUGCAGAUGCUGUCCAUCCCUCUGCAUGUCUACCCUAGCUUAGAGUCCCACAGAGUUAUACCUCACCACUAUUGCAUGUGGAGCCAUAUCUCCAAAAGAGGUCAUAAAAGGGGGUCCAGGUGACCUCCAGUUUAUUAGUGUGCUGAAUCCCAUGAGUUGUUGCAAAAGUGACUCCAAUUCUAUGUGCUCUUGAACUUCUUGUUCACAUAAUUAAACACUUAUUAGCAGUAAGAAACUUCUUUUCAACCUGGAUGUUGUCCUUGUUCUCACUCAAAAUAGCAUUAAUAGGUUAUUUUUCCCCCUUAGGGAUUAUUAAAAUUAAAACUUAUAUAUUGAGGUCUGAAGAACAUCUGUGCUGAGAUGCCCAUGACAUGCCUUUAGCCUCCUCACUCUUGAGCAGGAUGUAUUUCACCUGCAGCAUCUAGAAAAACAUCUGUGCAAAAUCGGCAUUUAGUAAAUGCUAGAUGAUGUGAUGAUUGCUCAACUCUCCUCAUAUUAGAAGCAGUCAUUGCUGCAUUGCUAUGACCAGAUCAGGGUUUGUCUGUCCACUUGGUGGCAAUUUUGAGCUAUGCCAUAGAGAAGCCUUCUCGGAAUAAGAAAUAGAAAACAUCUUUUGGAAAACUUUGGGGUUAGUUCAUCAACUUGCUUUGCUGUAAUGCAAAACCAUGUCUCUUGGCAGGAAAUAUGAACUGCUGCUAAUAAAAAUUGUAAAUGCCUUUGUUGUUGUUUGUCAUAGAUAAAUACAUGCAGGUUCAAAUGAUUUAAAAAUCAUUGUUACUGAGUUCUUGCUAAUAAACCUGAAGCCAAGAGCAUGCCAAAACUUAUUUAAGGUGCAUGCACUCGAGGACUUGUUUUUCUUGUUCAUUGAAUUUUAAGGUGUUUGCUUUAUUUUCUUCUCAACUUGCUUUCAUUUUUACGAAAGCCACUAAACGUCUAUGGAUGGAAAACAGGGGUUACGCACUUUAGGAAUUUAGUGUGUGAGUAGGUUAGUAUUAGAGGGAGAGAGUUACAUAUGGUGCUGGUUGAUGCCAAUCUUACAUGUGUGGCUGCCUUACAUUCUCCACAGAUUCCUGCUAUCAGUUGUAUUAAGAGAGUAAAUCAUGAUAAACAAGUAAUUGUAAGGUAAAUGUUCAUAAAAAGCCAGGAAAGUGUAUUAAAGGCCCAAAUUAAAACAUGUCCUCUGUUUGGGAUCUAAAGCUAUAGCUUCUUAAAAAAAAUUCACUGCUGUUUAAAGUGGUUCUGGAACAGUAGCAUCAUGAAACAAAGUUGUGACUGUUUGCAUCUUGCCCUUUGUUCCCACACCCUUUUUACAUAGCUGUUGCUCUCUAAUAGCUUCAGGGCAAGAGAAAGUGGAAAAAUGAACAGGAACAGCAUGGCUGGUGCUGUGAAACAGCAAUAAGGGACAAAGGCAUAUUAAUUGUCAUUCUCAGAAAGCUUAUGAUUCAAUAGCUGUCUAAUUUAAUAAAGUCCUGUUACAGUGGAAUGAUUCAGCUGUAAGAAGCUUGUAAAUAUUGUAAUAAGCACUGGAGCCGAUGUGAUCUUUUUUUCAUUCUUGGAGGUGGUGGUUUUUUCAUGCUGUCCACUCUCAGGAAAGCUGCAAUGUGCUGCAGAGUUUUGUCAAUGCCGGGGUUUAUUUUCGUAAGAAAGCAUUGAUUACAGAAGUGAAAAACAUUUAGUUUAACAGCAAUCAAUGAGUAGCAGACAAAAGGACAUCUGAAAUUUUGAAGUCUUUGAAAUAUGAACUAAAUGCCCCAUCUGGGGAAUUAUUGGUAAAAAGCAUGACCCAAGGGCCAUACAGAGUCAAGAUUGCAAACUUGUGCUCCCUCUCCUAAGCUAGCUCGACUGUUAGAACAUUCGAGAACACUGAAUUAUUGGAGAUGCAGGAAAAUUAACUUAUUUAGCACACAGUAAAUAUAAAACUUUUGGUGUCGACAUGAGGCAGUAUAUUUUUCUACUACAAAAACCUAUAAUCUAUACACUGGAGGAUUUUAGACUCUAAGUUGUUUAUUUUAAAUGAGUAGUUAAGCUUAAUUUUUACAGCAUCUGAGAAAAUAUGAUAGGAAAUUAUUUAAAGGUGCAACAUCUGUCAACAUUAAAUCUUGUAGGCUUAUGUAGUAUUCCAAACACAAAACAAAAUGUCAGUCUGUCUCAUUGUAUUAGCCAACUUUGCAUCAUUAUAAUGAAAUGCCUGAUAUAGACUACUUAUGAGAUAAAGAGAGGUUUAUUUAAGCUCAUAGUUAUGGAGGUUCAAAUCCAAGGUCUGGUGGCUGCAUUGGGUUUGGACCUCUGAUGAGGGUAGCACAUCAGGACAGAGUGGCAGGUCAGAGUGAGCACGGACAUCUGGAGCCAGGAAAUAGAGUCCCUUCUGGUGGGAUCCUAUAAUUCCUCAGAGGGCACGCCUCCAAGGACCUGAGGAUCUUGAAUUAGGCUCCACCUCUGAGAGAUCCAUAACAUCUCCAUAGCAAUACCCUGGGGACCAAGCCUAUAACACAUGGGCCUUUGGGGACGGUCAACAUUCAAACCACAGAAGUGACUGAGGGAUCAUUUUCUGUACAUAUUCAGAAUUAUUUCAUGUUGAUAUUAGUUUAUUUAUUUAUUUAUUUUUCAGUUGUAGAUGGACAUAAUAACUUUCUUUUUUUCUUAUUAUUAUGUAGUACUGAGGAUGGAACCCAGUGCCUCACACAUGCUAGGCAAGAGCCCUACCACCGAGUCACAACCCCAGCCCUCAUGUUGAUAUUAGUAUGAUCUGAAGUGGGCCCUUUGUGAAUUGUUGAAUUUAAGUGGUUUGAAUAACCCUAACCUUAACCUACCUUGGCAGCAAGUGACUUCAGAGCCUACUCUCCCUCCAGCAGGGGGCAACUGUUCCUAAUAGAAUAAGAAGAGAUCCUGACUAAUGGCUCAACACCAAAGGGUAAAAUCUAAUUCCAUGUAUAACACAAAACUGUUGCUUUUGUACAAAGAUGAAAUCACACGGGGGAUAAAAAAAAAUUUGUUCUUAGCACACAGACAAGCACAGACAUUACAUGAUUUCUAGAAUUGCUGAAAGGGUCACCCUUUCUGGAAAGCACUAACUUAAUUUUUUUUCAUUGUUGACAGUGGCUACAAAAUUCCAUUAAAUUUAAGAGAAGGUGUAUUACGUUUGUUUCUCAACAGCAAGAAGAUAAUUCUGCAAUACUGUGGCUUCUGGGGAAUUUAUGAAUUUUGGAUAACAAAUAAAAUAUCACUUCCUGGAAAACAAUUAGAGCCAAUUCCUUUUUUGUGAGACAUUCAUUAUAAAUUGUGAUUAGGGGGUCCACAAAAUGUGGCCUGGCUGUCCUCCUCUCUGCCCAUUAGCAUGGGCGGUUUUGUUGGAGCAUACACUCCCAUUCAUCCAAGGUGUCUUCUGUGUCCAUUUUUAUUCUAGAAGGGUGCAAUUGACUAGUUGCAACAGAGAUUACUCCUGCACAACACAAAUUGCCUGAAGUAUUUACCAACUGAUCCUUAGGACCCCUGCUCUACCAGCUAUAUCUGGCCACCUAAUUGUCACAUAUGUACUAAACUUAGUGUAACACCAUUAUAAUAUUCUUAAUGGUAAAGAUCAUCUGUCUGUCUGCCUGCCUCUCUUUCUUUUAAGACUUUCUCCUAGAUAUUUUAGACCUCAUAGUCACUAACUGGGAGGAGAGAUACUUAAGUAUUUCAGUUCAGCAAUUGAAGUGAAAGUUCUCUAAACAAGAAAAGAAACUUCUUCAUAUGUACGAAGGGAAGCCACCAAGCUUUAGGUCCCAGACUCAGAUUGCUUACACUCAAACCCUGGCUCUGCAGCUUACUAACUGUGACCUUAGUUUCACAAUAUCAUAAAAAAAAAGUUGAGCUGGAAAGAGUGUCUACUAUACAGGGUUGUAAAGAUUCAGUAGAAACUGUACUACCUGAAAAGCACUUAGAAUUCAGGAUCCAUCCGCAUUAUCAUUAUUUGUGAUGCUGGAAAUAGUCAUGCUUUUCGCCAUUUUAUUUUAUUCAUUAACAUACUUUGUCUUGGAAUAAUUUUAAUAUUUUUUCCAUGAAUAAAAAGGUGCACUUUAAAUGGAUACAGGUGUUUUCAUUUCUUACUUACUCAUCAGUGGGAUUACUGGCACUAUGUGUAGUUUGGUCUUAAUGUCAGUGGUCACACUUGUGUUGAGUGGAUGAAUCCUUUCUACACAAAAAAUAAAAAGCCAGACCCCAUAUGGCGUGAAAGUAGUGUUUCUAUUUAUUUAACAACUAUCUGUGAGACUGAGGCAGGAAGAUCACAAGGUCAAGCCCAGCCUUAGGAUUUAGUGAGGUCCUAAGAAAAUUAGACCUUAUCUCAAAAUAAAAACUAAAAAGGGCUGGAGUUGUAUCUCUGUUGUAAAGCACCGCUGGGUUUAAUCCCCAAUGCCAAAACAAAAAAUGACCCACACUGUUUGUAAGUAGUGUUUGAUUCACUGAAAACUUGGUCACAUGUAGAUCCCUUUUAAUUCCUCCUGACUUCAGCAGUGAGAAAUACUAAACAUUGGUCCUUGGUGGUAGUUGACUCUCACUCAUUGGAACCAUCUUAUUUGUACAUGUUAACUCUGAUGCUUUGGUCAUAAAUCCUGGGAUCCUGUAUAAAAACAUACAUUUGUGGAACAAUAUGCCAUUUUUAUUGGUUGUUCAAAACAUUACAAUGCUCUUGACAUAUCAUAUUUCAUACAUUUGAUUCAAGUGGGUUAUGAACUCCCAUUUUUACCACGUAUACAGAUUGCAGAUUCACAUUGGUUACACAUCCAUGUUUAAAUAUAAAAGUGAAGGAGUUAUAUUUCAUAACAUUCAAGGCCUGCCCAAAACUUAGUUUUCAGUACUGUUAUCUCCUGAAAGGGAAAAAUUUUGUAGAAGAGCUUUUAAAGACUAAUAUAAUGAUUAAAAAUGUUUUAUGAUGUUGCCAAUCACUUUUCUAACUUUAGGCAGAGGUUUAAUUUUGAGCCUAUAUAUAUAUAUAUAUAUAUAUAUAUAUAAUAUAAAAGUGUAUAUUACAAAAGAAAAUGAUUUAGAAAUGUAGAUGAAAGUUUUACAUACAAAUCUUAUAGGUUCAAAUACAAAAUUCCACCAGCUCUUGAUAAUUCAUUGGUUUUGGAACUGUCUGGAAAGUGAAUCUUGAAAGAGGAUGUUUGAUCUCCUGUAUGAACAGCUGCCCAGACUUGGGAUGGGCUGGAUCCCUGGAUAAAUUAGAACCUUCUUGGACCUAUUUGCGCUUGGUGGUCUAAAGCACCUUUGUAAGCGUGAAAUCUUCAAUUUCCCUUUGAUUAUAAGCCCUAUAAGACAGGUGUCCAUGUGAAAAAAUAACUGUGCCUCUGUUUAAGUCUGGGAAAGCUUUUCAGAGAGACUUCUGCAUGAGAGAGGUUGAAAGUUUAUCCAUGAGUUGGAACUAGGGAGAAUCCAGGAGAUUAUAAAAAGGCCCCUGAGAACACAAUUUGACACUCAGCAUACACAUUAAGAGCCUGUAAUUUUGAGGUAGAUGUUUCCACUUGAUCCAUUUCCUUCCCAGCUACAAGAUAGAAACAAUUUCUGUUACUGGUAACAAUAGCCCAUGUUGUCCUCUUUUCUUGUAUAUAUAUAUCUGUACAUGUGGACCAUGUUUUCCAUUUGCUUCCACACUCAGAAACUGAGAUGAUCUACUGUAAGGCAUUUGUGUGAUUAACCAAGGGUUAAGUGGACUUUUAAAAGAGACACUCAGAUGGUCUUUAAGAAUACACAUUUUCCAUUUCAAAAGAUUAACUGUGCUCAUUCAGCUCAUUUAUAGGUCUUUAAUGAUUUCUUCAUAAAAAUGAUAUUUCUGUUUAAGCUUACCUCUCAGAAAUAAUACAAACUAACCAUUCAAUAUGCAAUAUUUUCAGUUUCUCCUAACUUUGGUCAUUGUGUGAAAUGAAAUACUAAAGCAUUCAACCAAAGCUUGUGAUUCGUUCCACAUUGCUCUUUUAAGUAUUGUAGCUGACCUUUUAAUGGCAUGAUAAAAUGUGGAAGCUUGCAUUUGCUAACAAGGAGAAGGCAAACUACUAAAAGCCAUGUUUAAAAAUGUUCAGGUUCCUAAUAUAUUUUAAUAUCAUAAAAUAAUAGGAGUUAGUCUUACAAAAACCAGUCCAGUAGUUCCCAAGACUUUGUUUAAAGAAAAUUUCCACAAUGAAGUGAGAAUUAUGAAGCCAUCUAGUAUGUUUUCAAGAAGAAUAAAAAGUAUUGUGACAAGACAAGGGGGAAUAAAGGGGAGGGAAGGAGGAUGCAUUAGAUGUACCUUUCACAUGCUCAUAUGUGAAUUCAUGACCAACGUAAAUCCACAUCAUGUACAACCACAAGAAUGGAAUCAAAAUUGGAAUGGGUUGUACUCCAUGUAUGUAUAGUAUGUCAAAAUACACCCUACUGCCAUGUACAUCUAAAAACAACAAAUAAAAAAAGUAUUAUGAAAAUUAAUACUAAUUACUAUGAUACUGAAAGCCAUUUCUCUGGCAGACUUAAAAGCUCCACUAGUACCUUGUAUAGUCAGUUGUUGACAUUAUAAUUAUUCUCUUAUUUUAGAAGAGUGGAUAAUUAUCAUAGCAAAUACUCUUAAUUUUUCAUACAUAUAAUUAUACCUAUCACUGGAGGAAGACAGAAAUAUAAGGAUUCCAGCUACAAGAAUAAAAGUAUUAUUAGUCUAAAAAUUUUUUUUUCUUUCACAAUUUUAGAAAACCUCAUAGGGAGAACAAAUAGAACAGUAAAAUGUACCAUCCUAAUACAAUUACAAACGCUUUUUAAACGAACGACUAUAAAUCCUCUUAGAAAUGAAAUCUUUGAUUUCAUAGUCAAUGAAUGAAAGUGUCUAAGCAAAUAAGAGACUUGAAUAUGAAGUUGGAACUGCAGUCUGUGGGUUGUGGGGACAAGGCAAUGGUAAAGGGAAAGAAAAUAAUGGAGUGAAAUGUAUGAAUGGAAAUUCAGAUCCAAAGAAAAAUUCCAUCACAGUAUUUUAUCAUCAGGAUUAUGAUUUUUAAAAGGCUGCUAUUGAUAGAAAUUUUGCACACCUAGAGCUGGCUACCAACUAAGGAAAAAGGAAUUAGAGGGCAAAAGGUCAGCUAAACUCAACAGGUAUUUAUUGCACACUUCAGGACUGCUGGACAAUAUGUAAAUAUUCCAUGGAGCUUCCUUACUAUGUACAAGUCCUAAUCCCCAUUUUUAAAAAAGUAUGCUUCCUGAGGAGGUGGGGAAAACUAAUUUUAUAUGAAAUGUUUAGCAAAGGAUAUGACAUCAUGCAACUUUCAGAAAAGCUAAGUUGAUUAUUAAGAACAUAAGUGAAUGAGAUAAACCAAUUAUUAAGUGAGCAGUACAUAAAAGAGACAUUAUAUUGAGAAGGCAAAGUGUUAAUCAUCAUAGUAAAUAUACCUGAAGUUCAAGACUUGAGUAUAGAAGGGGAAAAUAAAAGAUCGUUGAGUCCUCUGUAAAAAGAAAUAGAGAAAUACAUUGAUUCACAUUUGAAGUGGAAACUAAAUUCGUUAGAGGAUCCAUUCAUUUUUCCUUGGUCAUUUUGGGGUACAGACAGAAAAGUAACAUAGUAGAAGCGCAAGAGGCACAUAACAAUCUAGGGUCACUCUAAAAGUGUGUAGGUGGUACAGGGUACAGAAUUGGAAGUCAAAAUUGCUAAAGACUGACAUAUCACCCUUUCCUUAUAUAGAAUAUACUGCCUUCCCAGAAAAGAAUACUUAAAAGACUUCAAUCAAAUACGAAGGCACUUAAAAGAAAUUGAUUUCAGAUAACCCUCAUGAGGAUAGAAUAAUUAAUAGCUAUUGUUAAUUGUAAUCAAUUGACAUGACAACAGAGAAAGAUCUGUGACCAGCAGAGAAGAAUGAGUCCAUUGACCUCUUAUAAAAGGACCCAUUGGUCAAGUAAAUGAAGUGGUUUUCUAAGUCCAGUUGAGAAUCAAGCCUUUUGACCAAAUAAACUCAAGGGGAAAGAUCAGCAUAAGGAAAAGAGUGUGUCUGCAUUAGACAGCAGACUCCUGAUACCAGGCUUGCCACCCACCUGGCUUAUUACUCAAUGUCUUGCCUGCCUUGGUGGUCCCUGUGAUCAUUAGAUAUUCAAAGCCUUGGCAUGAAAUGGUGUUCUGAGAUGCUGGUUCAAAUCAGAAAGUCGGUGAGCCGGAAAGCCCUGUGGAAGGGCCUUUUCCAACUCAAGGAACCAUUGCUAAUAAAUGGCAGUAAUAAAAGACACAGUCAGCUCCGUCCUCUUAACAGUAGUCUCACUUCUGGAGCCCACAUCCAGGAAGAACAACCUUAGUCAGAUGGCAUUUAGAUUAGGUCAUUCUCCUUCAAAUCUACAGAGAGCUCUAAUUAUUAGGGAAUCAAAUUUAAACUGAUGUGUCUGGGAUCUGUUUCACCACUUCCCCUCCCAAUUGUACAAUGUGCAGUGUCAUCAUUUUAACUUCACCUUGCUUGCUUUACACCAGCCAAGAAAACCAUACUCUUAGUUAGCCUCUUAAAUCUCUAGCUUCACUUACCUAAUUUUCCAAAACUGGGGUGUUAGUCAUCUUCAUUGGUAUCAAAUGAAAUUUAUGUUCUGACUGAUCCCCAAUAUAUGUUCACACCUACACAGUAUCUUGUAGAUAUCAUUUUAUCUCCUUAUAUCUUUAACACUAUUAGUAAUCAGGCUUUUCUUGAUAUGGCUGUGGCUAACUUCAUGGCUACAUACAAUGUGAGAUUUGGAAGGGACCUUAGUAUUUUAGAAGUAGGUCCAGAGAGAGUAAGUAUAUUUUCCAAGGUGAGAUAGCAAGCUGGUGGGUAAACCAAAAUGACAGGCCAGAUGACUAGCCUCAUGCCUCCACCUCAGAAACCAUGACCGUGAAAAUGAAGACGUUUAUACUGGUGAAAAAUAGGUCAAUAUGUAAAUUUCCUCCUGAUCUUUUUUCAACUCCAUGAUGACAUCAGAACCCAAAGUGCAUUACUUUAUGUUUUGGAUGUGAUAUUGUCAUUUCAUUCUUCAUUGUUAGCCUUAGUUGAUAAAUAAUAAGUUUCACUGACUGCAUGCUAAAAAAGUUUUCUUUUUGUUGGAUCUUAUAAUCUGUUGUAGAUUUUCCUAUCAUAUCUUUACAAUACAUACCAUCCUUGACAUGCCAAAUUAUCUUACCUUGCCGUUCUUUACAACCCACCCUGAAAAUAUUAUUCCCAUUAUGUUCAUAUCUGUACCCCAAUGCUAACUAAUAAAUACCCAACUAAACUUUGCCUAAGAAAAUGGAGUCCUUUGUGGUGAUUCACUGUGGCACUCUUCCUGGUAGAGGUCCCACAUACCAUUGAAGACACUGAGAGUCAUCCAAGUGCCCACUUGUUUUCUUUACCCUUGAAAUUCCCAUCUCCCGCCUCCACCCCUUGUCCUCCUCUUUGUCUCUUUCACCCUUUUCCCCUUCCUCUCACUUUUUAUUUUUACACCAAGCUCUGCAUCUUUUUUUAAGUUAGACUAAAUCUUUGUCUCUCUCGGGUGAUGUUAUCAGCACUGUGGAUAUAGAUGCUGGCCUGUUUCUAUCCUAGCAUCUCAAAAUCUGAUUUUGAUUCUUCUGUUGCAGCCAACAGUACAGGCUUUAAAAAAAAUCAAUUCUUAAGUUCCUUAUCUGUUUCUCUGCUUCUAAGAUGACUGAAUCUUUCAUAACUAAUGGGGAUAUUGAAUUCAGAGGGCUUUGUGGGAAAAAAUACAUUGCAAUUUGUGUAAAAACCAAAAAAGGGCUGCAAUUAGAUGAAAUAACUACAGCUUAAUUGAGAUCCAUUUUAUGUUGAUUUGUUAGAACUUAUUUUUAAUUAAAAACUAGUUUUUGUGAAAACAAUUGGUAUAAUUUUUCUGCUGAUGUGUGUAGUUCAUAGUAUUUUAAAGAAAAAAAAAAUCAGUUGUCAAUUUUAGACUCUCCAGUAGCCAAGAGAAUUAAAAGGGUUAUUUUGGGUUUCAGUAAUUUUUAGACUGUCUCAACUGUUUCACAUAUACAUUGGUUGCUGAUCAGUGAGAACAUGGAGAGACAUACCUGUGAGUUUUUGGACACUAAUUAAUAAGCAGAUUGGACUAGAUCUAGAAGUUCUGAGUUGAUGAUUUCUUCUUUGCUUUAUAUUUGUAUCAUUAACUCAAAUGUGUUCAUCUUUUCUAGUAGGCCAUGUGAUUUUGAAUUCCAGUUGCAUAAUAUAUAGCUUGUUUCCCAUUUUUUGAAUGAGCUCAUAUAUUUUUCCAUUAAUACUCAGAAAUAUAAUUUAAUCCCUAUGGCCUUCUCUUAUGACCUCUGUUCAUUUUUCACUAUGUUUAAGGUCUUCUCAUUAUCCAGGUUUUUUUUUUUUUUCAUUUAAAAUUUUUUAUUUCUAAUUUGAUAUAUAUAUAUAUAUGACAGCAGAAUGCAUUACAAUUCAUAUUAUGCAUACAGAGCACAAUUUUCAUAUCUCUGGUUGUAUACAAAGUAUAUUCACACCAUUCGUGUCUUCAUACAUGUACUUAGGGUAAUGAUAUCUAUCUCAUUCCACCAUCUUUUUUAUCCCCAUGCCCCUUCCCCUCCUACCCUUUUGCCCUAUCUAGAGUUCAUCUAAUCCUCCCAUGCUCUCCCUCCCAACCCCAUUAUUAAUCAGCCUCCUUAUAUCACAGAAAACAUUCGGCAUUUGUUUUUUUUUUAAGCGGGGGGUGGAGGGGGCAUUGGCUAACUUCACUUAGCAUUGUAUUCUCCAGUUCUAUCCAUUUACCAGCAAAUGCCAUGAUUUUAUUCUCUUUUAUUGCUGAGUAAUAUUCCAUUGUGUAUAUAUGCCACAUUUUUUUUAUCCAUUCAUCUACUGAAGGGUACCUAAGUUGGUUCCACAAUUUAGGUAUUGUGAAUUGUGCUGCUAUAAACAUUGAUGUGGCUGUGUCCCUGUAGUAUGCUGUUUUUAAGUCCUUUGGGUAUAGUCCGAGGAGAGGGAUAGCUGUGUCAAAUGGAGGCUCCAUUCCCAGCUUUCCAAGGAAUCUCUAUACUGCUUUCCAUAUCGGCUGUGCCAAUUUGCAGUCCCACCAGCAAAGUAUGAGUGUGCCUUUCCCCCACAUCCUCACCAACACUUAUUGUUGUUUGUAUUCUUAAUAGCUGCCAUCCUGACUGGAGUGAGAUGAAAUCUUAGAGUAGUUUUGAUUUGCAUUUCUCUAAUUGCUAGAGAUGUUGAAUAUUUUUUCACAUAUUUGUUGAUUGAUUAUAUAUCCUCUUCUGAGAGGUGCCUGUUAAAUUCCUUGGCACAUUUAUUGACUGGGCUAUUUAUUUUUUUUUCAGUGUUUAAUUUUUUGAGCUCUUUAUAUACCCUAGAGAUUAGUGCUCUAUCUGAUGUGCAAGGGGUAAAAAUUUGCUACCAUGCUGUAGGCUCUCUCUUCACCUCACUGAUUGUUUCUUUUGUUGAGAAGAAGCUUUUUAGUUUGAAUCCAUUCCAUUUCUUGAUUCUUGAUUUUAAUUUCUACACUAUAGAAGUCUUAUUAAGGAAGUUGUGGGUCUGGGGAUGUGGCUCAAGAGGUAGCGCAUUCACCUGGCAUGCGUGGGGCGCUGGGUUCAAUCCUCAGCACCACAUAAAAAUAAAAAAAUAAAGAUGUUGUGUCCGCCAAGAACUAAAAAAUAAAUAUUGAAAAAUUCUCUCUCUCUCUCUCUCUCUCUCUCUCUCUCUCUCUCUCUCUCUCUCUUAAAAAAAAAGGAAGUUGGGGUCUAAUCUGCCAUGAUGGAGAUUUGAACCUUUGUAAUAUACACAGUGUGUCUAGUUUAAUUCCUAGGUCCUUGAUCCACUUUGAAUGAGUUUUGUGCAUGGUUAGAGAGAGGGAUUUAAUUCCAGUUUUCCCAGCACCAUUUGUUGAAGAGGCUAUAUUUUCUCUAAUGUAUGUUUUUGGCACCUUUGUCUAAUAUAAGGUAACUGUAAUUAUGUGGGUUACUCUCUGUGUCCUCUUUUCUGUAUCAUUGGUCUACCAGUCUAUUUCGGUGGCAAUACCAUGCUGUUUUUGUUACUACUGCUCUGUAGUAUAGUUUAAGGUCCGGUAUAGUGAUGCCACCUGCUUUACUCUUCCUCUUAAGGAUUGCUUUAGCUAUUCUGGGUCUCUUAUUUUUCCAGAUGAAUUUCAUAAAUGCUUUUUCUAUUUCUAUGAGGAAUGUCAUUGGGAUUUUGAUUAGAAUUACAUUAAAUCUGUAUCAUGCUUUUGGUAGUAUGGUCAUUUUGACAAUAUUAAUUCUCCCUAUCUAAGAACAAGGUAGAUCUUUUAAUCUUCUAAGGUCUUCUAUAAUUUCUUUCUUUAGCCUUCUGUAGUUUUCAUUGUAGAGGUCUUUCACCUCUUUCAUUAGGUUGAUUCCCAAGCAUUUUAUUUUUUUGAGGCUAUUGUAAAUGGGGUAGUUUUCCUCGUUUCUCAGAGGAUUUGCCACUGAUAUACAGAAAUGCCUUUGAUUUAUGGGUGUUGAUUUUGUAUCCUGCUUCUUUGGUGAGUUCAUUUACUAGUUCUAAAAGUUUUCUGAUGGAAUUUUUUGGGUCUUCUAGGUAUAGAAUCAUAUCAUCAGCAAAUAGUGCUAAUUUGAGUUCUUUUUCUAUCCAUAUCCUUUUAAUUUCUUUCAUCUGUCUAAUUGCUCUGACCAGUGUUUCAAGAACUAUGUUAAAUAAAAAUGAUGAAAGAGGGCAUCCUUGUCUGGUUCUAGUUUUUAGAGGGAAUGCUUUUAAUUUUUAUUCAUUUAGAAUAAGGUUGACCUGGGGCUUAGCAAAGGGAGCUCUUAUGAUAUUGAGAUAUGUUUCUGUUGUCCCUAGUUCCUCUAGUGUUUUGAACAUGAAGGGGUGCUGUAUUUUGUUGAAUGCUUUUCCUUCAUCUAUUAAGAUGAUUAUAUGAUUCUUAUCUUUAAGGCUAUUGAUGUGAUGAAUUACAUUUGUUGAUUUCCCUAUGUUGAACCACCCUUGUAUCCCUGGGAUGAACCCCACUUGAUUGUGGUGCAUUAUCUUUUUGAUAUGUUUUUGUAUUUGAUUUGGCAGAAUAUUAUUGAGAGUUUUUACAUCUAUGUUCGUUAGAGAUAUUGAUAUGAAGAUUUCUUUCUUUGAUGUGUUUUUAUCUGGUUUUGGAAUCAGGGUGAUAUUGGCCUCAUAAAAUGAGUUUGGAAGUGCUCCCUCUUUUUCUAUUUUCUGAAAUAAAUUGAAGAGUAUUGGUAUUAGUUCUUCAUUAUCGGUCUUUUAGAACUCAGCUGUGUAUUCAUCUGGUCCUGGGCUUUUCUUGGUCAGUAGGCUUAUGAUGGCAUCUUAUAUUUCCUUGCUUGAAAUUGAUCUGCUUAAAUUGUGUAUAUUAUCCUGAUUCAAUUUGGGCAAGUCAUGUGACUCUAGAAAUUUGUCAAUGCCUUCGAUAUUUUCUAUUUUAUUGGAGUACAAGUUUUCAAAAUAAUUUCUAAUUAUUUCUGUAUUUCUCUAGUGGCUGUUGUGAUACUUCCUUUUUCAUCACGAAUGUUAGUAAUUUGAUUUUUCUCUCUCCUUCGUUAGCAUGGCUAAGAGUUUGUCAAUUUUAUUUAUUUUUUUGAAGAACCAACUUUUUUGUUUUGUCAAUUUUUUCAAGUGUUUCUUUUGUUUCAAUUUCAUUGAUUUCAGCUCUGAUUUUAAUUAUUUCCUUUCUUCUACUGUUUUUGGUGUUAAUUUGUUCUUCAUUUUCUAGGGCUUUGAGAUGUAAUGUUAGGUAAUUUAUUUGUUGAUUUUUUCUUCUUUUAAGAAAUGAACUCCAUGCAAUCAACUUUCCUCUUAGUACUGCCUUCAUAGUGUCCCAGAGAUUUUGAUAUGUUGUAUCAAUGUUCUCAUUUACCUCUAAGAGUUUUUAAAUUUCUUUUUUGAUAUCUUUUGCAAACCAUUGUUCAUUCAGUAGCAUAUUAUUUAGUCUCCAGGUGUUGGAGUAGUUUUUAUUUUUUAUUUUAUCAUUGAUUUCUAAUUUCACUCAAUUGUGAUCUCAUAGAAUGCAGGGUAGUAUCUCUACUUUUUUGUAUUAAUAGUUGCUUUGUGGUGUAAUACAUGGUCUAUUUUAGAGAAGGAUCCAUGUGCUGCUGAGAAGAAAGUGUAUUCUCUCGUUGAAGGAUGAAAUAUUAUGUAUGUCUGUUAAGUCUAAGUUAUUGAUUGCAUUAUUGAGUUCUAUAGUUUCUUUUGUUCAGCUUUUGUUGAAAGAUCUAUCCAGUGGUGAAAAAGGUGUGUUAAAGUCACCCUGAAUUAUUGUGUUGUGGUGUAUUUGACUCUUGAACUUGAGAAAGUUUUUUUUUUUUUUUAUGAACAUAGAUGCUCCAUUGUUUGGGGCAUAUAAAUUUAUAAUUGCUAUGUCUUGUUGGUGUAUGGUUUCCUUGAGCAGUAUGAAAUGUCCUUCUUUAUUUCAUUAACUUUAGCUUAAAGUCUAAUUUAUUUGAUAUGAGGAUGGAAACCCCUGCUUGCUUCUGCAUUCCAUGUGAGUGAUAUGAUUUUUCCCAACCUUUUACCUUCAGUCUGUGUAUAUCUUUUCCUAUGUGAUGAGUCUCUUUGAGAUAUUGUUGGGUCUUUUUUCCCCCUUUUUUUCAUCUAAUAGGCUAGCCAAUGUCUAUUGACUGGUGAGUUUAGGCCAUUAACAUUCAGGGUUAUUAUUGAGACAUGAUUUGUAUUCCCAGCCAUUUUUAUUACUUAACUUGACUUGGAUUCUCCUUUGCUUAGUUUUUCCUUUAGUGUAAUACCUCCCUCUGAUGAUUUUCAUUGUUGUUUUUCAUUUCUUCUUCAUAGAAUAUUUUGCCAAGGAUGUUCUGUAGUACAAGUUUUCUAGCUGUAAAUUCUUUUAAUUUUUACUUAUCAUGGAAAGUUUUUAUUGCAUCAUCAAAUCUAAAGCUUAAUUUUGCUGAAUACAAAAUUCUUGGUUGGCAUCCAUUUUCUUUCAAAGAUUGAUAUGUUAUUCCAGGAUAUUCUAGCUUUCAGGGUCUGCGUUGAAAAACCUGCACAUAAUUUGUUUCCCCCUAUAUAUAAUCUCAUUCCUUUCUCUCAUGGCUUUUAAUAUUCUCUCCUUAUUCUGUAUAUUAGACAUUUUCAUUAUAAUAUGCCUUGGUGUGGAUCUGUUGUGGUUUUGUAUAUUUGGUGUCGUAUUAUAAGCCUCUUGAAUUUGGUUUUCCAAUUCUUUCUUCAUGUUUGGAAAAUUUUCUGAUAUUAUUUCAUUGAAUAGGUUGUUUAUUCCUUUGGUUUAGAACUCUAUCCUUCCUCUAUCCCAAUAACUCUUAAAUUUGGUCUUUUUAUGAUAUCCCAUAUUUCUUGAAUGUUCUAAUCAUGACUUUUUACCAUUUUCACUGUGUGCUCUACAUUCUUUUCAAGAUUAUAUAUUUUGUCUAUUGUCUGAGGUCCUGUCUUCAAAGAGGUCUAAUCUGUUGGUGUUGAUUUCAAUUGAACUUUUAAUUUGGUUUAUUGCUUCUUUAAUUUCAAAAAUUUCUGUUUGGUUUUUCUUUAGAACCUCUAUCUCCCUAUUGGAGUAAUCUUUUGCUUUCUGUAUUUGUUUAUAUAGAUUUUGUCGAAAUGAUCUUUUGAUGCCUGUAUUUGCUCUCUUAUAUCAUUCUUUAAUUCACAGAACAUUUUAAUUAUGUACAUCCUACGCUCCUUCUGUCAUUUCAUCUGCUGUGCUGGCCAUGGAUUCUAAUAAUGUGAUAUUUUGAUUUGUUGGGGGCACUUUGUUCCCUUGUCUUUUCACAUUGAUUGUGUGUCUUCCCUUCUAGAACUGUGGAUCCAAGGUAUUACCAUUUUUACCUUAUAGGCUUAUAGUUCCCCUGUAGGGUUCCAGUACCUCUCCUUUGAGGGUUAGGACAAUGUUAACAGAUUCCAAUAUAAACAAUAUAUCACCUAAAAACAAAUAGUUGCUAAUAGACAUUUAUAGUUUGGUCACAAUGUACAGAAAUAGUGAAUUCAAUUAUUAUCUACAAUAUAAUCAGUAGGUUUGUAAAAGGGUUUAUAGUUUCUGGUGGUGGACAAAGAACCUGGGGGUGAGGUGUAGGAAGAUAUGCCAAGGAUGGAGGAGGUAAGGAUAUAGAGUUGUUAUAUCUUAGGAAGUGUGAAAGAGAAAUCUAAAGAAGAAAGUUAGCAGCAGGAGAAUAGAGAGGACAUAAUUUUGAGUAGACAAGUAAGAGGGAAGACAGAAGAGUACACAAAACAAACACCCAUAUAUUUUAAGAAAAAUAAAAAAUGUUAAAUUAGUAAAACCUGGAAAAAAAGAAAAAAUAACCACAACAACAAAAAAGAAAAUAUACAACACAACUGAAAUAUACUAUUCAGUUGUCUCAGACCUCAGUAUCCUAAUUCAUGGAAAGUACUUGGUUUCACAUAUGUUGGGGAUAUGAAGGCUGGAGAAUAAAGAGGGAGAAGAAACAAAAAAAAAUCUCAAAAGAAGAAACAAGGGUUGUUUUGGUUGGAGAUCAAUAUCUUUUCUGCUUCCUUUUUUUUAUCUAAUUGGUGGGGUUGUUUGUUGUUAGCUGGUAUCUCUGCCCACAGGAUGGUGAAGGUAACCAGGGAGGGAGGGUUUUUCCUGGAUAGAGAGCACCUGGAAAUGGGGUCUGGCACCAGUCAGUCCCUGAAGGGAAACUGCACCUCAGGGAUCUCUUUUUGGGCCUGUUCCUGUGAUGUGAUUGCCUGGUCUUAUAUCCUUAUCUCACCUGAAGACCUCCCAGUUCCCGGUCUCUGUUGGUCUCUAAUCUAUAUAAUUCUCACCCUCUCCUUUACUUCUUCCUAAUAAGGAACCUUUCUCUCUGGGGCUCUUAUGUGUGGCACUUUGGGUGCCCUCUGCACCUGCCCUGCUGACAGCUGUUUUUUUUUUGUUGGGCAGGCACUGUGCCAAGUUAGCAGCUGCUGGAGAGAAGGGGAAGUUAGAAACUGGGUACCUGUCCAGCCAGAGUUCCAAACUGGGAGUUGCCCUUACUAAAGAUGGUGAUGAAGGUGAUCCAAGAUGGAGGUGUUUGCUUUCAGCCAUGAGCUGUUGGGUUGGGUGAGGGGAGCCGGGCGAUGGUGUUGGACCAUGAGUUCAGAGACUGGGUCUCUGGCAUGCAGCAUGUGCUGUGGCUGUCUAGAGAGCCUGUGUGUAGUUCCCGGGUGUAGGCGGACUAUAGCACAUAGGGGACUAUCUCCUUUGCUGCACAGUCCCAAUAUGGAGGUGAUGGGGGUGCCCCAGGUUGGUUGAUGGGGGUCCACACAGGAGUGGCGGCUGGGGAUCCUGUGCGUGGGUAGCCUCCAGGUGUCCUGUGUGGGAGCUGCAUCCUGAAUUUCUACUCAGAUGGGUGGCCGAAUGUUCUGUGGGAGUGCUGAUGCUGGUGGUCCCGCUCAGGUACCAGGUAGUCCUACGUGGGCAAAUAAUUGGGAAACCUACUCUGAUGCCCAGUCCUGGAAUCCUGCAUGGUCAUGGUGGCUGUGAUUCCUGUGCGGAAGCAGGAAUAUCCCUCGAAGAGAAGCAGUAUUCUCACUUGUUGAGUCCCAAGUCAUGGAGCGACACAGAAUGCUGCCUCCUUCUGGCCAGCCACCUUAGAUCGGCCUACCCAGGGUUAUUACUGUUUCUCCUAUGAUUCUUUGAUCUACGUAUUAUUCAUCACAAGUAUUAUGAUUAGGAGUUUUGCAACUUGAACACAUUUCAAGAAUUUUUUAAAAAAAGAAACAUUGUGAAAACUAUUCUGUAUGUCAUCACACAUCUCUCAAGCAUCAGGUCACUGCAGAACACAUGGAGAAAACUACUGCUUCCUUGUAUUCACUAAGCAGGACUCACAGAGGUGUGCCUUGGGCAGAUGUGGGUGGGGCCUGUCCUGUAAUGGUGGAAAUUUUACUUAACAAGGUGGCCAUGGAUGGUGGAGCUAGAAUUUGCACACCAAGUAAAGAAAAUUCCUGCCUUUCAAUCUUUUUUUUUCACUUUGCCAAUAUCACCACCCACUGAUGUAAUGAGAGUCACCAAAUAUAAUUAGACUUAGGAUAGAGGUACAGAUUGACUUUUUAUAUUUGAAAUCAAGUGUUCAUAUUUUAAUUUCUCCCUGAGGGUUUGGCACACCAUACAUCAGACCAUCUGUUUGAAAUUAUACUUCAUAAUGGGGUUAAAAAAUAUCUUUUAAGAAAGGCCAAAUAAAGAGUUGUAUACAUUGUAGAUGGGAUCCAUAAUAAUUAGCUUCUUUAUUCUCAUAUUAAAAUUUACAUUAAUAUUGUGGGAAAGACAUUUUAAUGUAUGAUAUGAAUUGAAAUACAUUUUUAAUUUUUUAAAAGAUGUAUUACUAGAAUAUUUCUCUAAUAUGUAAUGAUCAUUAAAGACUAAAGUUCCUAGAGAAUUUAUCAAAAUUAGCUGAACUACAUUAGGCAAUAUAAACUAUAUCAUUACAUUUAUUUUUUGUGCAAAUUUUAUUUUGCACCUAAACUUUCAAUUUUUAAUCUUAAAAUUUUUAUUAUAGCCAAUUCAAUAUAAGGGUGCAAUGCAUUUUUAUUUCUGAUCUAUCAUGUUUUGAAACACAGUCAUGAAUUCUCUGCCAAGGGUGAGCCAGACAAAUGUUCUUUAUCUGUUUUAAAGUAUAAUUAAAAGUAUUGAUUCCCAAACUAUUGCAUUCAUAUAAGAAUUAAAAUAUAUCAUAAUUAUACAUUUAGUAUGAAAUAUAGAAAGCUAAUUAUAUUAAUUAAAAUCAAAAUACUAAUUUUACAUUAAUAGGAAACAUCCAUAUUAAUUUAUUUUAGGACUUUCAAGCUUUUAAAAUACAUAUUAUUUUGCUAUUUCCUCACAGUAUCACUAUGAAUGCAGCUUGGGCCAUUUCACUCUUCUCAAUGUAUAGAAAGGAAUUGGCUUAAAAGAGUGAAGUGUUACAUGGCCUGUCUAAAACCACUGUGUUUUAGAAGCUGGUAGGGUUCACCAGUUUCUAUUUAAAUAUUUCCUCAUUCUGUAGUUAGCCGCUAGAUUCUGUUUUUUCUUCACACAAUAGCCAGAAUGAAAUUUGCAAAAAUCUUAAUCAGAUCCUAUCACUCACAUGAUUAAGCCUUGGUACCAAGUGACCAUUGUUUUUUUUUUUUCAGGAUCCAGUCUCAAAUCCUUCAUAGGAUGGUGGUGGUCCACCAGUGUCCAGCCUCUACUGUUUCCACCUUUAUCGCAUGCUGUGGCUGUUCCUUGCUCACCAGGCUUCAGCUACAUGGGGCUUCUCUUUGUUCUUGCUAUGUGUGACCAAGGACUCUGCCCUUGCUGCCCACUCUGCCUGGCAUGCUGAUCCUUUAUCUUCACCAUUAAGCACUGAGUGAUCACAGAGGUUUUGGUGUCAAUGCUACUCACUCAAAGAAGCCUUCCUCUAAUCCACCGCACCACAUCAAUUCCUCUUGCUUCGACAAACCUUUAAUUACUCAUUAAUUGAAAAUGACAUGUUUUCCUUUGUGGUAGUUUCUUUGGCACCUGCCACUGCUCUGUUAGUCUAUUGGAGUCAGAAUCAUGCCUCUUUGGUUCAUUGCUACCCUCCAGAGCUGGUCAAGUGUUUGGCACAUAGUAGCAGCUCAGGGAACACAUAAGUUCUAAGAGAAUGAAUGAAUCCAUUUGGUGGUACAUAGUUCUUUUCCCCUUUAUUAAAUGAGGGAAUUAUCAGAAUUUUCUCCUUCCUGGGAAUGUGCAUAUAGAAAUGACUUCUGAUACUUGAAUGAUUUAGGCAACUGUUAAAACAUUAGUAGAACAGUUGUUUUUUUUUUUUAAUAAAAUGAGUUAGAAGCUAGAAUCUCCUCCCUUUGAGGUUUAAUUAGAGGAUAGCUUAAUUAGCAUGAGUUAAUGCAAGUUCUGUUGCUAAGUGAGGGCUAUGAUUUAUAAACAAAGACUUGGACUUAAGAUAUGAUUUGUAGAACAAAGACUUGGACUUAAGAUAUCCUUUGGUUUUUAUGUUUGAUUCUUUGUGAUUCAUUCAACUCUUUGCUUGUCCUUGGAUAGGGAAAGUGCUUUGGAAUUCUGCUCUUAAUUCUGAUUCCUUUUUUCUCUAUCAUGAUGUACAGUCUGCCCAGCUAUAACAAGGCAUAUAUAUUUCUAAAAAUCACUGCGCUCUGCAAAACCACACAAUAGAAACCAUAAGGCAGGGAAUGUGACUAGGAAUGCGAUACUAAAAAUUUUGUCAGUGACACCUUAAAAAAAAAAAGAAACUAAUAAAAAUGGUAGUGGAGUUUUCCAUGCAUUAAAUGGUUAAGAAAUACAUAAAAACUGCAAUGAAUUUGACAUUUUACCUUGAAAAAGACCUACAGUUGACUUGUGGGUGUGGGCGUCAAAAGCCAUGCAGCUGCUAAGUUAUCAUAAAGUGAGCGCAGAAUGAUUGUGGCUCAUGAUGUGCACAGUGGACUGAGGUCUGUUUGAAAUGUGUGUAUUUUGUGUGUUUCUAUGCAACUUGGGUCAGCAGGGUACAAUAUUUUUCUCAUGAAUGAAGUUGGGCAGAAGCAAAUGUGAGAUUUGUGUCAUGCUCAAGUUGUUCCCUGAUUUAUCAAUUGCACUGGAACAAAUUUGUACUUUUAAGAGAAGUAUAACAGCAGAUCUGACUCAAGUGAGUCCACAAAGAAAAGAAUGUUGAUUGUGUGUAGUAACUGAGUAUUUUUAUUGGUAAAAAAUGUAUAUAAUGUAAAAUUCCCAUUUUAGCCAUUUGUACCAAGUUAGCCUAAUUCUUUUCUAAGACCAACAAUUUUUUUCCUUUCCAAAGCUUUCAGAAUAUCACAUUCUAAAGUGUCAGUAUAAAAUUUUGAUUUUUUUCUGAUGUUGAUAAAAGUAACUGAUUUGGGAGUUAAAAAUUGAUUAAGGACUUAACAAAAAAGAUUGCUUCACAAUUGAUAAGUGAAUGUUUCCAGUAAUACUAUUAGGUCAUGUGCUAAAUGUAAAAAUUGCAUUUGCUCUUACAAUCUACUCAUCAUGUCCAACAGAUGUUUAUCCAGCUGAAAAAUUAUGACAAAUGUAUAUGGAAAAUAACAACAGCAUAACAUUAAAGGUGUUAAGUAUAGUAGGCACUAUUGGAAUCCAAGGAAGGGAGAGAAUGAUGGUCUGGUGAGGAAGAAUUCCAGAAGGUGUGGCUAUAGCUGAGCCUUAGAAAGGCCCUUGGCUUCCAAUGGAGACCUUAGAGAGUAUUUGAAGCAGAAGCGAGGACAUGAUCAAAGGUGCAGAGGAAGGGGGAUGUGUAGGCAUUUUUAGAGGAUAAUGAUUUAUUUCUAGAUGAGACUCUGAUAUUUUCUUCAGGACAAAUUCCCCCUCAUAAGUUAGAACUAAAGAAAAUUCAUCUUUUGUGUCACUUUCUAUGAGUACGCCCCAUGUGAUGGAUCGCAUUUAACCCUGAGUAAUCCAUGCGACAGAGUAAUAGAAUUUGAUUUAUGGCAACAUAGAAGUCUCUUCUUCUCUUCUUUCCUGUUAGUAAUUUAUGUUCCUCAUAAUAAAACUAUGCAUCUUUGGUUUUAUCAUAGAAUUACAUAUUCUUAUAGAAAGUGCUCAAUUUAGUAGCAGCAAUAAGUACGGCAUGCUUAAAAAUGGCAACAAGAAUAACAGAAUUCAUACAAAACAAAAAGAGAAUAGCUAAAUCAAUUUUAUAAGGAGGAUCUAAGCCCUUGCAGAACCAACUACUCUGAGUCAGUCUGUCUUUUGAUCCAUAGUCUCCAUCGGUAAAAUGAUCUAUUUAUCUAGAAUUAUAAAAACAGUGGGUGAUUUGGCUUAUUUUUAUCUCUGAAAACCUCAUAUGGCAAAAUUAAAACUCAUUCAUUAUCUUGUAAACUUGAAGGUUUUUGUCCUUUUAUGAAAACAGUAAUAUAAAGAAUAUGGCAGAGAUUGAGAACAUGAAAUAAUUUUGAAUAGGUAUAAUGCUCCUAUUAAUUAUUAUCUGAAUUAUUUUGCUUUCGAUAGUAUAUUAGGGUCAUCAUUCUUCAUCGAAAGCAACUUGGUUUAGGGGAAAUCAUAAAAUUUUGGAAUUAAAUCAUCCACUACUCAAAAUCUGUUACCUUUUGGUCUCUGAAGUUGGAUACAUCAUUUACAUCUCACUGAUCCUUAGUUCCCUGGUCUCUAACAAUAGAUAAAUAACAGAAUCUAUUUCAUGGGGUUGUCACUGGGAUGAAAUGAACACAUAUGACGCUCACGCUAGCACUUAGGGACCAACAGCUAUUACUAGUUAUUUUUUUGUCCUAAAUACAUUUUUGAAAGUUCUUCCCUGUGUCUUUCAUAGCAUGAGAAGCUGAUACAUGAACUGGAAGAGGAGAGACACUUGCGUCUUCAAAGUGAGAAGCGGUUGCGGGAGGUGACCCUUGAGUCAGAGCGCAACAGAGUUCAGAUGCGCGGUCUGCAGCGGCAGUUCUCCAGGUACUGUUCUUGACUGAGAGG
This 130451-nucleotide long non-coding RNA is filed under the name Marmota monax (woodchuck). The stretch from base 48025 to 48097 matches the Rfam family "tRNA". The record is from RNAcentral. Lineage: Eukaryota; Metazoa; Chordata; Mammalia; Rodentia; Sciuridae.